This 99418-nucleotide long non-coding RNA is filed under the name Ananas comosus (pineapple). Its description in RNAcentral is "long non-coding RNA (ACOM_LNC000279)". The record is from RNAcentral. Lineage: Eukaryota; Viridiplantae; Streptophyta; Magnoliopsida; Poales; Bromeliaceae.
UUCAAAAAUCUGCUCAAGAUGAUAGAAUGCUUUAUUAUGAAGCUCUCAUGCAUUGUUUUGCAGUCUCCAUUGGAAGCUGGCACUUGGAACUGAGUUUUCUUCUGCAUGUCAGGGUGGUGUCCAACGAGUUCACAUAGUUGAUGGUACUCUUGGCGGGGCCCUGCUGCUAGAGUUAUUUACAAGAGAUGGCGUGGGGACAAUGGUAGCUAGGUAUGGAAAUUUCCUCUUAAUACAUCCCGAAUCUGUUCAAUAUGAUGAAAGUAUCUCCCCAUCUUAGAGCUUGGAAUUGUUUUUCUUGUUACCUAUUCGUCAGCAGUGAUUACCUACUAGGCAUUAUUCGUUGAGAUUUGGUGCUCCAUUUGUAGUAAAAUUGAAGUUGCAAAAUUGGAAUUAAGUGCUAAUAAUUUCUUAAUUGAGAACUUCCUCGGCAUUUUUACAUUGUGACACCUCUUGAAAGUUUAAUCUAGAAAAAAAAAGAGAGUAAAAUCUCUUGUCAGAUUUUCUCACACUGAGAUGACAGGGAUGUCUAUGAGGGUACACGAAUGGCUAGGGCAGAAGAUCUUCCUGGUAUAAAAAGAAUCAUUCAACCAUUAGAAGAAUCUGGUGUUUUAGUUCAGAGGACUGAUCAAGAGGUACUUUUGAGAUAAUCUUCUUUAUUAACUUUGAAUAAUAAGUUGAAAGCUAGACAUUUUCUUACCUUCUGUAUUUUUUUGUGUUUUGAAUAUGCCUCUUCUUGGAGACAUAUGAACCAUGCACAAUAAGCAUCAAGCUAGAAUGCCUAAAUGAUCUUUUUUUCAGCUCCUUGAAGCAUUGGAAUCGUUUAUAGUUGUGGAGAGAGAUGGAUCAAUCAUUGCUUGUGCAGCACUAUUUCCGUUCUUUGAGGAGAAAUGUGGAGAGGUUGCUGCUAUUGCUGUGUCUCCAGAAUGUCGCGGACAUGGGCAAGGGGAUAAACUUCUCGGUAAUAUGCAUAAGAUAGUAUUUUAUCUAACUGUUCUGCAAACUGAAUCUGCACUUGUCUGGUUGCUUUUACAAGGAAAACUUUGAUGUUCUAAUGAGCAGGUUGCUCUGAUUCUAAAUCUGGUGUAAAGGUGGGGAUUUUCCCCUCCUUCAGAAUAAAAUUCACAAGAUCAACAUGAUACCACACUUUUUCUUGUUUUCAAGGAAACACGAUAGGACCCUUCAGAAUCCACCUUUAGAACUGUCCUACCUGCUUAAACUAUAUAUUGCUAUCUUCCCACUGUUGAUGGCUUUCUGGUGGUUUGAUAGAUAAAUGGUUCCUCACCACUCAUGUCGCUUAAGUCAUUAUUAAGUUCUACUGCUUGUAGUGGUGGAUUGGACGCUGUACAAUAUUAAUGGGAUACUGGAUCGAUUGUUGUACAGCAUUUUCAGUACUAGUUGAGCUGCUUUCAAAAUUCAGCAAAUAGAGCAUUGUUUAUUGUUAGUAUACAGGAAGGUUUUAAGAAGUUAAAUAAUUAAAUCUUAAAAGCUGAAUUUGUGACAUAAUCUGCAGAUUACAUUGAGAAGAAGGCAUCAGCUCUUGGGCUGGAGAAACUUUUUCUGCUUACAACUCGUGCCGUGGAUUGGUAUGUAAUCUCAGUUUGUUGUUAGUGUCUAAACAUAAUUUUGACAUCCUCUGGUUGUAUUUUGCUGUCCUAGUAAACAUUUUCCAUCAAGUUCAAAGUGGAAAUUGCUAUGCACAAUUUACAAGGCAAUUCUAUUAGAAUCGAUGUGUCUUUUUAUGCUAUUUGCAUUCUAUACACUAGGAUUAAAAAAUCAUUGCGAAGCAUUUAACAGAAUAACAAUUUUUAUAAGGGUUUGAAAAGCUGUUGAUAUCUGUUGCAUUUAUAUCUGUUUUCUUGAACUUGACUGGAUAUGUUAUUGGUUAUUCAUAAUUGUCUCCAUCAAAGACCCUUUUUCCAUCACUAGUAAGUCUUUCAGUUUUUCUCAAAAAAAAAAAAAGAAGAAGAAGUAAGUCUUUCAGCAAGCACAGUUGAUGUUUGUUAAUCUUAUCAUGGAAAUGAUCCAUUAACAUGUCAGCAUGUUUACUUACUAAUGUGAGGCUUUUUCCUGUUACAUCAUAAUAUAUUCUUUUAUUAAUCACCUGCACAAACUAAAAGUGUAAUAGGAUGACAGGAAACAAAAGGUGUAGACAAGCAUACUCAGAUCUGCAUGGGGUAACACUACCAGGGAAUUACUAUCCCUUGUCGUGUCUUUGUGUGUCCACAGUAUUAUUAUUGUUGUUUAUGUUCUUUGCAAUUUCUUUUCGAUUGCGAAGGGAGUGCCGUUUGGAAAUUUACUACAAUGAUGGAGCUUUGUACAGAAAAUCUACACCUGCUUGAUCUUUUACUGUUUGUUUUAUAAUGUUACAGGUUUGUGAGGCGUGGCUUCUCAGAGUGCUCAAUUGAGUCCAUCCCAGCGGAAAGAAGGAAAAGAAUUAAUCUCUCACGUGGGUCGAAAUAUUACUUGAAGAAGCUGCAACCAGAACGAGGUGGUAUCGCCGCCAACGACUUUGUCUUGAGAUAACGCGAAAUGCAUAAUUAACUCGCUAGCUUAUCUGUUCCUGGUAUUAAAUGUUUAAUCUUAUGCCACCAAUUUUGUUUACCUUGCGAUCAAAUUGUAGCAGUUUAUUGCAUCUUAUGCAGUGAAAAAUACGGUGCAUUAGAAUCUGAGAGAACCGUUGUUAAAUAAGUUAAAGGUUGUUCUUUUGCACUGGUGAUCUAAAUUCCGUCAACUUUCCUCGUCCAAAUAUUUAUAGGAACUUACAUAUUGCUGAAACAAUGCAACACCUGCAUUUCGGUACUUACUGUAUUAUUCGAGUUUUAUGUAACGAAAAUCUGUAUAAGAUUGUUUUGCGACCACAUCGUCGUGUCGGAGAAGGAAGAGAUUCAGCAAUGUCUAUUCAAUUUGUGUUGUGUUCCAUCUAGAGAGAUUCUAAUGAUGCUUUUGGGCCCGAGUAAGAAGCAUGCGGGCUAAUAUCCCUAUCAUCUGAAAGCGGAAUGUAUCCUCUGCUUGGAAAGUUUGGUCAAUGAUAUACUCUGUUAUCAGACGGAUCGUAAAUCACGAAUAAAACUUCAGUCGAAAGCUCUCCAACCCGUCUUGUUUGGGAAGCUCUCCAACAAGUCUUGUUGGAGAGCUCUCAGAUUCACCGCUACUUAUGAGUUUUGUCUCCAUCCCAAGAAUUCAUUUGGUAUUUUUAAUACUAAGAUGGCGAAAAAAAAAAAAAAAAAAAUCUUGUUGGAGAGCUCCGUGAUUCACUGCUACUGGUGAGUUUUGCCUCCAUCCCAAGAAUUCAUUUGGUAUUUUCAAUACUAAGAUUGUGAAAAAAAGAAAAAUUAAAUCCGAAAUAGAAAGAUUAUAAUUUUUUGAUAGAAACAACACUGACAAUAAAUCAGAACUUCUCAAGAAAAUGUUAUUGGAUAGCUUCUCAUUGAAUUUUUAUUUAUUUAUUUUUUUUCAUUAGCAGGACAAAUCCACGUUUAUUCCAACCCUAGUCCCACGUUUAUUCCAACCCAAGUUGCGACCCAAAAAUUACAGUACUAUUUGGGGAAGUGUUUUACAUUGAUUGGACAAAGUUGACAGGACAGACCCAAGCAGUUAGGAGAGUGAUAUGGACAGGCACCGAGAAUGAGAUUGUUUGAGAUCAUACGUUAGUUUCAUCUGUGGAGAAAUUAUUGUGUGGAUUUAGUGCAUCAUGAACCGAUAAACUAGAGCUUAAUCUUUACUAGUUGAUUUUUUUUUUUGGAAAGGAAUAAUUGCAUAUGUAUCUUCUUAAAACGGGAUAUUGCAUACUUAUCCCUCUAAUUAAACUUUAAAAUGUCUUUUAUGUUUGUGCAAGUUUUAAAAACUUAUUGUCAUAAAUAGUUUGCACUUAUUGACGACCGAUUGGAAUUGUGAGAUUAAACUCUAGUGCUUUUUAUUAACAAUUUGAUGCCAAUUGAUCCGCUCAGUUAUUUUUAGAAUAUUAAUGAUUAUUAAUUUUAUGAAAGCAAUGAAGCAAAAAAAGGCAAAAUAGUAUUUUUAAGUAAAAUAUAGUGCCUUUUAACUAGUCAAAGAAUGUAAUUGUAAAUUUUUAAAGUUUGUAGACAAAUUUGUAACUUUAAAACCUUUAAAUAUGGUAAACAAAUUUCAAGCAAUAAUUUCUCCAGUUUAACCGACUGUCCCUAAUGCAGAUGACAAAAAUUUUAAUGAUCGGUACCCUGAGGUCUAAGUUCAAAGUUUAAUUGCUUCAUAUUUCAAACUAUUUUUUUUUUUUUUAAAAAGACUUUUAUUUAUGGAGCUUUUGGUGGAGGGCACAACGCACCUCGUCAAAGUUGGCGAGUUUCGUCCGUACAGUAAAACUUGACAUCGUUCUCGUCAAGCGCAAAGUUACAAGUUUGCGCCAUAUGUGAAUUCGCCACCCCUGUGAGACUGAUAUAGUGCGUUCGGGCCUCCCUAAGGAAGUCCAAGUUCACCACUAUGUCCAAACACCGGCGAUCUCUAGUUACACGAACUCGCGAGUUCGUCCCUAGGUGGAAGCAAACACGCCCUAGUACUUCGGUGUAUCUUUGGUUCAGUGAGUGUGAACAUAAGGGAGAUUCCAAAGCAAGCCACUCACCCCAAAAAAUAAAAAAAACAAUAAAAAAGAAGAAGAAGAGAGAAACAAAUACAUGCAAGUUGAAAAAUUCCCUGUGGUCUUUGUCAAGAGAAGAGUAGAUUCUUUUUUGUGCUCAAGUUUCAAAAUUCUUUUUUGUCAUGAGAAGCGUAGUACGUUACCCGUUUCGUUGUGGCAAAGGGCUUGGUGGUUGGUACCUGAGAUUCCAAGUUCGAAUUCUAGUUGAUUCACAUUUUCAGCUAAGUUUAUUUCUAAAUAAAAUAAAUGAAGUGAGUAGCGUGUUAUCUAUUUCUCAAAAAAAAAAAAAGUUUCGGAAACUUCAAAAGACUCUUCUUUUUUUCUUUUUUAAGUAAUUUAUUAUUUUAUUGUAUUUUGGCCAUUUGCCUUGCAAGUUGGGGAAGCAAUAUCUUCUCAGAUCACUUAAAAAAAAACGUGACAUUUUAUUAAGUGUUAUUAGACACGCCGAUAAAAAGUAUGCGAAUUAACUCCUGUAGUAGCUAAAACUUACUGUUGGGUUUUUAAGGAAGAGGAAUUUAAAUCAACCGACCCUUUCUAGCGCAAGUGGUAAAGAAUUUGAUAGUUGACAUCCGAGGUCCCAAGUUCAAAUCUUAAUUGAUUCACAUUUUCAGCUAAGUUUAUUUCUAAACGAAAUAAACGAAGCGGGUAGCAUAUUACCUAUCUCUCUUUCUUUUAAAAAAAAAAGGAAUUUAAACUAAAGAGUAAUGAAAGGCUAAAUUAUAAAAUCAAACUUCUAAAAUAAGCACUCAUUUCUGAAUAUGUGUUGUAGAAAGACAAAAACUGUUGGCUGCGAGUUCUGCUUGGAGAACAUAUAUAUCCUAUAAUAACACGCUUUAAAAAGUUAAUUUUCGAUAAAUUCAUGAAAAAAAUCGGUACCUAUGUGGGACGAUCAUGCAAAGUAAACCACUGGGAUUUUAUUAGAGAUAAGGCAACGGGCGAAAUUUCGUAGAAUUUUUUUGGGUUCAAUUUCCAGUUGGGUGGGCUCCUAAAUAAGUGUGUACAGAACCGAACAACCAACUAAAAAAAAUUAAUAAUAAUAAUAAUAAUAAAAAAUAAAAAGUUAAAGCAAGAAAUUAUUUAGCAGACGCGCUGUAAUAGAUAGAGACAAACAACCAACAAUAGAUUUGCUGUUUGUUAAGUUGUUUGAUGGUUGAGUAAAGAGAGGGAGACGCACGAGCGCCUACGCGUCACUCACCCAAAAACUGAAAGUGUUUAAUGGCCCUUGUUCGUUAACAAAGAAGCAGUUAAUUAGUAACUUACAAGGCCGGAAUUCGGAUUCUCUAUUAUGAGCUUUUUACAGCCUGUAUGUGGUGGCAUCUGCCAUCAUAUGCAGGGCGGUCUCAUCCCCUUUAAUGGAUUCAUUGAAUGGAAUUUGAUGAUCAUCAAUAAUGGAUUCAUUGAAUUUUACCAUCAAUAGGAGGAUGAUCUGGAAUCUCCAUUGAUCCGGUCCACCCAAAACAUGGUGGAGCAGGUUUUGAUUGGCUUAACUAGCUCAGUAACUAUUUAGCUGCAGUUUUUUCUCAUUUUGUAGUUGUGGUUGUCAGUCCCACUUUCGAACCCCAACCAAGAGCUCAGGGUGUCGAUGAGUUGUAAACGGAGGCCUCAUUAAUCAUCAAUCGACUACUGUGUGAACCGCAGCUCUCACGAUCAAUCCAAGAGAGCAUAAUACCCGUGGACAAGAAAAGGAAACGUUACGGUGACCUCAGCUACAAACGAUAUAUAUAUUCGGAGUACCAAAUUUGCACAUCACUAGAGAACCGUAUAUCUGCAAUCUCUCAUUAUCGGAUAAUAGAGGAAGUUAUGUAAAUUAUCAAAAAUCACACACGCUCGAAAAACCCGAGCAAUAAUAAUGGCUUAAGCAUUCACCAACAAAACAGAAAUUAAGAAUAAAAAAGAAGAAGAGAAACAUAAGUUUAUGUAUCCACCGCAGAGGAUGAUAUCACACAGCAUCAAAUAUGAAAUAUUUGCACACCAAUAGCAGCAAGCUUGUCCAUUUCUUUUUAAAAAGCUAGACUAGAAGAAGAGAUACGGUCCCUAAACAUCUACCCAAUUUCAGAUUAUUCUCACAGCACAAGUCGACGAGAAGAGGAGAAAGUAAAAUGGUAAAAAUAAAAUCUUUCGGAAGCAGUGAAGUGAAUGUGAUCAUCUACUUUGCUAGCGGUUGAUGCCAACCAUCCUUCGGUUGCACGCAGGGUUUGAUGAGAGCUGCGAUCGCCGACUCAAAAGCACGCUUCCAAGAGGCAGCAGCAGCAAAGGGCGGCCAAGCUGCAGUUCGAUCAGAGAAUUAAAAACAUCAACAAGGAGAUAAUAAUAGAAGGAAGCGAAUAGCAGUAAGAGAGAUUAAACAAAUGUAACAGGUGAGCAGUUUAGUUAUCAAUACUAAUAAAAUUUGAAGUCGAUUUUGGGAUCCAAAAUCCUUGAAUUCUGUAGAAUUGGAAUAUGGUGUACAUAUAUCCUAGAACUUUUUUCCGUAAAGAAAUAGAUCGAUUUAGCGACACUUCUGAUAAUGAAAGAAAACCCUAAUUUCAAAUUGAAUUGGUGAGGUUGCAAGAAUUGAUUGGCUACUAAUGAUAAUAUCUUCAUUGUCCUCGUUAGUAAGUGGUGUCCAUUUUCUCCUCAGCAUAGAAAGAAACAAAAAAAAAAAGAUACUGUUUUUUCUAUCAUCUCGGCCGCCAUGAUACUGGAAAGGAUUUGAUCAUGCUUAAAUGCGGUAGCUUCGUAAGGAUUUUGAUGAAGCACAUUGUAGCGUGUUAAUUGGCAUGAAGAUUUGGUGUAAUGGCACCUAACCACUUUAAUGAUGUUAUCUUUGUUAUAUUAGUAUAACAUCAUAGUAUUUGGUUAAAAGUCAUGUUACCUUUCUACUUUAUUUUAACUAAAGAUGGAUUAAAAAAGCAAAUGCAUCACCCAUUUCCCACCGUUUCCCAAAAGAUACUAGUAUGAUGCAUGAAUUGCACUCAGAUAUUUCCUACAUCUCUAUAACUCUACGAAUGAAUAAUCAAUUAAUGAUAACUAAAUGUAACAAAUCUAAAAUCAGCUUCAUUUACUCUUAUCUCAAAUAUAAAAUAAAUGGUCUAACCAUUAGACUCAGAACUUAUAAAGGAGUCAAAACUAUCCUGCAAACAGUAAAUGCGGCAUCUUUCUCAGGAAACCUUCUGACACGUAAUUAAAAUAUCUGGACUAAGCGGUUAUUUAUAGUAUUAUUAUUAUUAUUAUCUCAAAAAAUGAUUAAAUAAAAAGUGAUUAUGAACAACCACGAAUAUUUCGGAGAAAACGCAGGGGCAUUAUGGGGAGAUCAAAGGCUACUGGUCAAACACGUCGCCCACGUUCCCGAGAAAGCGAUUUAAUGCAAUUUCGGUGGUUAACACGUCGAAUCAUGCGCCACGGACGCACCGCGCACGAUAGCAAGGGCAAGGGCAACGCGCUAUCGUGCGCCGGCGAUGGUGGCGAGGCACAAUUGAACAAAAAAAAAAAAAAACAAUUUUCCAUCCGCCAAUGGACUGGCACGAAUCUUAAAGUAUACGAGCGCUGUACGGGAUGGGUUCCAGUAAACGAGGAGCGUGCUAAUUUGCGCGUUGCUCCUCCGAGGCGCAGGAUAGCGGCGAUGCGCCUCGCAGCGGCGAGGUCGUGUAGCGCGCGCGGUAGAGAGAUUAGGGUUAACCUCGCUAUCAUGCGCCGAUCCUAGGAGAGACCCCGGAGUUGAGGUGUGCAAGGUAGCUAGGUUGAGUAAUAUCCGCUAUCGUGCGCCGUCCGACGAGGAUCGAGGUCUCGCCGAUCCCUUAGCCGCUUCGAUUGAUCUGCGCCGAGGUGCGCACAGUAGUGAAGCGACGAAAGCCUCGCUAUCGUGCGCGCCACGGCGGAGAUCGGGGCCUCGCCGAUCCCUAAAUCCUUUCGAUGUGCGGCGAUCGGAUUCGGGAUCGAGAGAGAUCGAGAUGGAGAUGUAAAAGGAGAUAAGAGGGACGGUGAGAGAAAGAUUGAGAGCGAGAGAUCGCGAUCGGGAGUGAUUGAGAUCCAGAUCCAGAUCUCGAUCGGGAGAGAAAGAGAGAGAGAGAGAGAGAGAUAUAAAGCGUACCAUCCCUCCAUGAACGAGGGUCCGCUACUCUGCUGCUGCGGCGGAGGCUGGGCGUAGGGAGGCGGAUACCCCUGCGGCGGCGGGUACCCCGGCGCCGGCGCCGGGUACCCCUGCGGCGGAUACCCUUGCGGCGGGUACCCCGGCGGCGGGUACGCGUCCUUCCCGUAUCCCUCCGGAGGAUAACCUAAUCACAACAACAACAACAACAACAACAACCACCUCAUCACCAUCAGAUCGGAUCCCCAUUAUCCCCACCCCUCGGAAACCCUAUAAAACGGCGAAACCCUAGAUGAGGAGCAGGAGGAGGAAGACGAUCGCCGUACCUUGGGGCGGCGGCACGCCGACGGGGGGCUGUUGCUGGUUGUAGUAGCUCAUCUCCGCUGCGGCGGCUCCAGCGACGGAGGAGACGAGGGGGGCGAACGAGGUGGUAGAGGAGAACGGGGAUGGGAGAGAGAAAUAGAGAGAGAGAAGGGGGAUUUUAUAGGAGGGGUUGGGACUUGAGAUAAGAAAGAGGGGGGGUUGGGGAACGCGGAUGCGGCACUAUUCUGGGCAAAAGGGGAAAACGCGUCGAUGCCGUUUUCGUAGCGUGGGUGUAAUUUAUGCGUAUUUCCUUUCGGUUAAAUUACUGAAAUUUUUUUUUAAUAAAUAUAUUUUUUUUCUCUUUCUAAUUUUUUAAAAUUUAUAUUUUAUUUUUCUAAUAUUUUAAUUUAUUAUAUUUAGUCCUCUUUCCUCACGAUUCUAUCAAUAUUGCGUUUACUUUUUAUAAUUUAUACCUAAAAUACUCUUUAAAAUAAAAUUAAAGAAGUAUAUUAAAAAAUAGUUUUUAUCUUAUAUAAAAAGGAUAGUUUGGUCAUUUUUUCAUCUUCGUUUAUGUGCUAUUCUUCUGAAAAUUUUUUAAAAAUUUUAAGAGGACAAAAUAUAAAUCUUUGAAAUUCAAGAAAAGAAAGAAAAAAAAAACGAAUAUUUACAAAAAAAUAAUUUCUAUAUUUUAACUUUGUUUUAUAAGAAAAAAAAGGAAACAGGAAAAUAUUAUAGAAUGCUUUUCCUUUUUUUAACAAAUUUGAAGUAGAUAGUGACUAGUUUUUUUUUUGGAUUAUUUUUUGGAAAAACUUCAAAAACCUCCCCUGUGGUUUCGUAGUUUCUCACUUUACACUCAUGUGGUUUAAAAUGUAUCAAUUUGUCUAUCUGUGGUUUCUUUUUUCUCUUUUUCUUAUCAAUUUUAUUAUUUUUUUUCUUAAAUCAGUGAUAAAGUUAAUUUAAAGGGUACUAAAGUGAAUAUUUGAUAUAUUAGAUGAGUAUCUGAAGUUUUUUGUAUAUAAUUUAAUGAAAUAUUAACGAAAAAGCUACUGAAAAGAUAAAAACGGAACCACAUGGGGGCAAUUUGAUACAUUUUAAAUCACAGGGGGGCAAAGUGAGAAACUACGAAACCACAGGGGGGUUUUUGAAGUUUUCCCUUUUUUUUUACUUUAUCAUUUUGUGUUUUAAAAAUUUAUAUUUAACUAUUCUAUAAUUUAGUAUAUUUUUAUUUUGCUAUUAUGUAGUUCAAAAAUUAUAAUUAAUUAUUCUGGAGAUAUCAUAAAAGUGUUAUUUUAUUAUCAUAUUUGAUAAUAAUAGGAAAGAUAAAUUCAUAAAGUAGUUAAAUAUAAAUUUGAAACCAGAAAGAGGCAAAGCGUCAAUAAGCUAAACCACGGGUGGCAAAUUAAAGUUUAUUAUUAUUUUUUUAUUUUUUGCUUCACUUAUAGCACUAAGCCAAAUUGAAAUUUAUCCUUAUUCUUCGCUCCGGUUAGCGUUUCAUUUAGGACUAGUGUAAUGACCCGCGCUUCGCGGUGGGAGGUCGUAACGUUGAGAGCUAAUAAUAUGACUUUUAUUAUAUUUAUUUAUCACGAAACAUACAGAUAUAUAUAUAUAUAACAUUCACAUUAUGUAAGAUAACUAAAUAUAUAAUAUAGAUUAUCUAAUACGAUGUGAUGUCUUUGAUAAUACAAAUAUAAUUGAUAAAACAGUUCUUAAAUCAUUAAUUAUGGCCUAUCGGUUCCACUUGAUUUCUUGCGGGUGUUAACUUUGCUUGGUCCUUUUCCAGUCUUCGAACUGCAUACGUAUGAACAAAAUAGCAGAUGUUUCAAUAGGCAAAUCACUAUCGUUGUUGUCGAGCAUCCUCAUAAAUUGAAUUGGUAUGCAACCACUCAGUCAACAUUGUUUUUUCAAUAUUUGGUCUACGCAAAAGACUUUUUAAAUUUUCAGUAUUGUGAAAAAUAAUAUUAUUCAUUGAAGGAAGAUGUACUCGUAGUCGCUCAAUCGAUGGUUCUCUAAAAUGGAUAUCAAAUUGGAACAAACGGCAAGUUGCUUCAUAUGCAGAUAAAUAUCUGCAAUCUAUAUAUGUUUUGAUUUCAUCAAUCUCUUGUUUUUUCUUUUGGUGAACAGCAAUACUAUAUAUAGAAAAAAUUGGGGGGAGCAUGCAUGCACUCUCAUGAUUAGAAAGAUAGCAAAAGGACAAGACAAUAUUCUAUGCACUAUGAAUUUUUUUGUUUCAUGCACCAUGUGUAUGUAGUAUGAAAAAUUUUGUAAGAAAAAAGGUUAUCUUGUGGGUGAGAUAUUAUUUCUAUUAGACUUAAAAAAGUAAAAAAUAAUUUACAAAUAAUCCAUCGUGAAAUUGGAAUGAAAACAGGAGAUUUAGAAUUUUCUGUAAGGAAUAUAAUUUUUUUUAGAAGAAAAUACAGUGUAAAAAAAUUAUUAAACUUUGAAUAUAUGCCGGAAUUAUUUUUCUUAGGCUAGGUUUAAAAUUUCAUGUCAUUCUGACACUCCAAAAAUGAGGACGAAAAAUAGUAGCAAUCUGAUAAAGAUUUUAGUUGGUAGACCCUUCGGCGACAAAGAAAAUGUUCAGAACUGUAAAAUUAAGAUGACGUUCUUCUGGUUGAUUUUAACUAAGCUUGCCUUUAAAAUCAUUAUUGUUUACAAUGAUACAGAGGGUGCAUAGAACAAAAUUUUUCAUAGUACAUGCCUCUUUAACAUAGUAUCUUGCCUUUAAGGGUGCGUUUGGUUCGCGCUAUCUUUUAAAGAUUUCUAGUAAUUCAAUGAGAAUAAAAAAAUAUGACGGUAUUUGGCUAAACACAUUAAGUAAUCUAGUUGGUAAUAUUAGAUUCACUUGGGAAUAAGAUUCACCCCAAAGUACUAAUCUCAUUCCCUUGAGAGGGGUGGGUAUCCCAUAUUAAUGAAUUGGGAUAAUCAUAAUAUGUCUAAUCUCUUUCUUUCGUCCUACCCGGCGGCUAAUUGAUAUUAUUUUUCUUUACACUCUAACCUUAUAUCUCUCUCUAAACUUUUUUUUCUCUCUCUAAACUAAACUUUCUCUCUCUCUCUCUCUCUCUUUCUAAAAUUUCAACUCUCUCACUCCCUCUAAUUUCGACUAUAUUUUUCUUUUUAUUUUUUUAAUUAUGCUCUCUCUCUCUAACUUAUACUCUCUUUUUUUUCUAAAAAGAUGUUGAAACUUUUGGUAACAUUAUUUAAAAAUAAAUAAAUAAAUAAAUAAAUAAAUAGUAUAUUUUUUGUAAUAUUAAAUAACAUGGCUAAUUAAUAUUACCGUACCGUGCGGACUAAACAUAAGAAUUCCACAUUCUUAGUAAUAAGAUGAAUAGGAAUAAGAUAGGAAUAAGAUUCUCGGAUAUUUUUUAUUCCUACUAAUCUUUCAUAAUGCGAACCAAAUGCACCCUAAAAUCAUUACGGUUUAACAUGAUACAGAGGGUGCAUGAAAUAAAAUUUUGCAUAGUACAUGUCCAUUUAACAUAGCCCAUGCGAGUCUAUGUUAGGGAAGGAGAACAUGUGAGGGAGAGAGAGAGAAAACCCAUAUAAAAAAAAGCCACGUGGCUCGAUGGAGGAACGGUAUUUGGUUUCAACUUUAGUAUAGAGUUUAAUAAAGCACAAAAAAUAGUAAAUUUUCGACAAAUUAUUACAAAUCAAAAUGGAUGGAAAAAAAUAAGUUCCUCAUCUUUAGUUAUAUUUUCUUAACUGAUUAGGACGACUAUGAAAUUAUUAUUAUUAUUUUUUAAUUCUUAGCCUUUACUUAACUGCCCAUCCGGAGCGGAAAAUGUCAGGAGCUCCAUAAAUCCGACCCGUUUCCUCCAUAUACUUAGUAGUUAAGGAAAAGAGGAAUUAAUUAUACUUUGAUCCCAGGUUUUCUGUGUGUUAUUAAUUUACUCCUAAAUCUUUUGACCUUUUACAAUUUGGUUAGAUAAAAAAUGCAUAAAAAACUUACCUCAAUUAUCAUCUAUUUAGAUUUAACUACUUUACUUGUAAAAACUUUAAUUUUACUAUUUGAUCUUUUAAUUUAUUUGAAUUGAGCAAAUUAAUGACUCUUUCAUUUAAAAUUUGAAGUGUGUCAUUAUAUUUUUAUAAAUUUAGUUAGCAUAUUUUAUAUAAUUUAUGUAACUAUAAAUUUAUUAGAGUAAAUAAUUAGCUUAAAUUUUAUAUUUAAAGAGCCAUCAGAUUAUUGAAAUCAAAUAAAUUUGAAGGUUGAGAACUAAAAUUAAAAUUUUAAAAGAUUGGAUAGUCAAAUCAGAAUGGCCUAUAGUUCAGAUAGAUUUUAUAUAUUUUUAUUUUAUUUUUAUAAGUAUGAUUAGUCACUUACAAAGGUAUGAUAAAAUGUUCUUAUCGAUUUCUAAAAGUUCCUUCAAAUUUAUCCAUAAUCUUAUGAUUUACUAAAUAGAAUUUGGAGUUUAAAAUUAUAUUUUGAAAAUAUAUAAAUUUAAAAAUUUUGAAUAAUAAUGACGAAUAUAUAGAUAAAGGAUAUAUCUAUAAACGGAUGAGAUACUCGCGUGGGAAGUCGAUAUUCUAGAUUUGAGUCGAAAUUGUGCUUUUAUUUAAAAAACUUUAUUUUUUGACAAUGAAAAAAAAAAGAGGAUAUUUUGUAAAAUGUGGAGUAGUAGAAUCACAAUUAGUGUUUCAUACAAAAAUUAUAUUCUAAUUUAGGCGUAGUUUUAACUACAGCAGUUGAGUUUCUUUGUACGAUUCCAACUCCGAUAGUCGAGUUCAAACGAUCAAAUCAAACGUCAGAUUUGAAUUUGCAUACAGUUAUAAUUGCAGUGCCGUUAUAAUUAUAUACAACUAAAUAGUCCCUGAACGUGUUAGAGAAAAGCAAUUAACUUUUGCAAACGGAUCAUUUUGGCUACAGAUAACUAAUUCUUAGUCUUUGAUUGUCAGGGUCAAAUCUGUCCCUAACAAUUGGUAAUGAAUUAAUUAAUAAAUUAGACGAAUCGGUGAUGCGAUGCAAGCCAGCGAUUCAGCAUUAAACCAUUUACAGAUCUUUAAAACAUUUUGAUUGAUCAAUUUUUUUAUGUUAUUACUGACCGUUUCUAGUGCAAGUAGCAAAAGAUUUGGUGAUCUCUAAAGCGAGUGGCAAAAGGCUUGGUAGUUGGUAUCUGAGGCUCAAGUUCGAAUCCUAGUUGAUUCACAUUUUCAGCUAAGUUUAUUUCUAAAUAAAGUAAACGAAACGAAUAGCGUGCUACCUAUCUCUCAAAAAAAAAAAAAAAAGAUAUUCAAAAUUUUAAGUUCGAAUUUGAGUUGGUUCACAUUUUCAGCUAAAUUUAUUUUUUUUAAAAAUAAAAGAAGUAUGUAACAUGCUUUUUUUAAAAAAAAAAAAAAAAAACUUUCUCAUAUUAUGAGCGAGAUCAUGUGGUCCAUCUCAUUUGUGUUGUUUUAAAAUUUUCGAAGGUGAAGUAAUAAUAAAAUAUCAUUUACGUUUGAAUGCAUAUUUUAUAAGGGGGCAAGGUCUAUAAGUGAAGUCGACAAGGACGAGCUCCUCAAGCUACAAAGACAAAAUGAAACUUUGCAGUUUUUAGCAGCCCACGUGUAGUUUUCUUUGGUACAUAAAAUUAAAAAAAAUUCUAUUUGUACAAUAAAAAAAAAAUAAACUUCAAAUAUUAUCUCUGUGGUUUCGUACUUUCUCACUUUAAUAUCCUAUAAUUUAAAGUGUAUCAAAUUAGUGUCUUGUAGUUUUAUUUUUAUCUUUUCAUCAGUUUUUCUAUUAAUAUUUCGUUACAUUAUAUACAAAAAACUUCAGAUACCUCACCUAGGUUUAUCGAAUAUUCACUUUAGUACACUUUGGUUUUAACUUUGUCAUUGAUUUAACAAAAAAAAUUAGCUGAAUCGAUAAUAAAAAGAUAAAAAUAAAACCACAAGGUAUUAAAUUGAUACACUUUAAACCAUAGAGUACUAAAGUGAGAAAGUGUGAAACCACAAGAGUGGUAUUUGAAGGUUUUUGCAAAAAAAUUGCAAAUUUUAUGCUAUUAUCCUAGUAUUCAUAAAAAUUUAAAUAUUUUUUUUAUAAAAAUAAAAAAACGUUGAUGUAAUAAAUAGAUAAUUAAUGAUCUUUGAAUAAAGUGGUAUAAAAUGUACAUCCCACUUUGAAGUGUAUUAGUAGCAUUGUUUAUUAACUGAAGGUAAAUUGCACGUUUGGUCCUUAAACUAUAAAUGGGGUGAUAUUUUAAUUUGUAAAUUUUAAUUUAUUAUAAUUUUUAAUACGAAUUUUCAGAAUUAUUUAUAAUCAAGUCUCAUAAUUUAAUUUAGCUGACUAAAUAUUAACAUGUUAUAAUUCUAUUUAGCUUUGAAAUUUAGUCAAUUAAAUUAAACUAUAAGACUUAAAUUAUAAUAAUUCUAAAAAUUUAAAUUAAAAAUUAUAAUAUAUUAAAGUUGGAGAGCCAAAGCCAAAGAUUCUCAAUUGACUCAUAGUUUGAGGACACACAUGCAAAUGUGGUGGGGGCCACCACCAUCCACUCACAAAAAUAAAAAAAAAAAAAAUCGGGAAAAAUUAUUGAAUGUACCCUACGUACUGUGCACCGUGCACCACAUACAUAAAAUCGUACACUGCCCAUAAUAAAAUUAGAAUUUCACAACAUUAAAAAGUAUAAAUAUAAAAAAUUAUAAAUUUGAAAGGCCUAUAAUUAAUAAAUUGCAUAAUUAAUGCUCCUCUCUUUAACUUUGAUCCUUAUGGAUUAUCACAGACGAUGCCUCCAUAAUAUAAUUUGGGUAAACUUUAAAUAUCACCUAUAUAAUAUUGUACUUUCUUAUUUUAAUAUUUUAUAAUUUAAAAUAUAUUAAUUUAGUAUUUUGUGAUUUUUUUUUUGUCAGCUCCUCCGUUAACAUUUCAUUAAAUUAUAUACAAAAAAUUCAGAUACUCCAUCUAGAUUUAUCGAAUAUUCACUUUAGUACCUUUUAGUUUUAACUUUGUCACUGAUUUAAUGAAAAAAUUAAUAGAGGAAAUAAUAAAAACAGAAAAAUAAAAUCACAGAGUACUAAAUUGAUAUACUUUAAAACAUAUGGUAUAAAAAUAAAAAAAAAUGCGAAAUAUAGGAGUGAUAUUGGAAGUUUUUCUGUAUAAUUUUAAAAUUUAUCAUUUUUCAUGUAUACUUAGUCGUUUGAGAUACGGUAAAUCACGUCUAUUGGAAUAUAUUUGGAUCUGAGAGAUAUGAAUAAUUGAACACGGUGUAAUAAUAUAUGAGUCGUACGCAGAUAUUGGUUACAGCGAAAAAUUGAGAGGAGAAACUGAACUAGUUGAAAAAGAAAUUUUUCAAUACACCACAGCUAUUUAAAUCUAAUCGUUAAUUAGCGACGAAGUAAAACAGGUUACCGGCUUAGACUAGUCAACAGGAUAAUAUUGAAAGAUAAUUAAUGCAUACACCACAAUUGUUAGUGUUCUAUAAAAUUUUAAAUUUCUCAUUUAAUUUUGUUAUUUGCUAAAUUAGAUAAUGUUCAACUUGUUAAGUAUCUAACUCAAAAAAUAUUGAAUUUAAACUUGAUUUUUGAAUUUGGUGUUGUAUUGUAAAAUUUUGAUUUUGAAAAUUCAAAUUCAAGAAUCUAAAUUGUACUUUUAAUCUUAAGACCAAAAUUUGAUUUUUUUUUUUAUUUAAGUUGAAAAUUUGAAUUUGAACUGAAAUUUUAUUUCAAAUUUGUGUUUUAUACACAAGAAAAAUUGAAUUUGAUUCAAAAUUAAGUUUUGUAUGUUGUUUCCAUAUUAAAUUCGCAGUUUGAAUGUAAUUUGAAUUUCAGCUAUUGUAUGUUGUUUCCAUAUUAGACGUAUUCUAAUGAAUGGUAUCUAUACCUCAAUAACAGAUCAUUUCUAAGAUCAUAUUAUAUCUAAACCACUGAUUUAAGAAAAUAAACGGUCAAAGUUUACAUAAUAUAUUCAAGUAUGGCUCCUAGUUCAAAAGAACAAUUCAAAACAUAUAACAAAAAUGUGGAAGUUAGAAACAAGGAAAAAAGGAAUAUUCAUAGCAAAGACACACUAACUUGGUGGCUUGUUUUCUUACUGAUUCUUAUUGAAAUCUCCAAGGAGACUCUGCUAUAUAUAAAUAGACUUCAUUGUGAUCUCUUGGAAUAUUUGUCAACUGAGGAAGCUCUCUACUAUGGUCCAGUUUGGCCUCCCUUGGUUGUUGCUCUAUGACCAGAAAUUAUGACCUUUAUAAAUUAAUAAAUUAGAAAAGCAAUAACAAUUAUUGGUAAAGCACAAAUAUUGCCCUAUCAUGAUCAUGACAAAGCAUGUGGCGUUGAUGGUUCUCAAAUGUUCUAUCAUGACCAAGUAUAUAUUUUAGGAGCUCCCCCACUCCUAUGGUCCAAAAUGGACAGUAAUUUCUACAACUUGUGGAAACUUUUUUCUUCUUUUUUUUUUUUUUUUUUCCAACACUAAAACACAAAGUGUUGCCCCCACCAUGGUCCAUACUAUGGAGGGUUGUAGGAUUCCAACUUCUUUUGAGUUAUAGAUGUAUGAGUCUUUAUGUUUUUAUGGAUUUCAGAAAUUGAAUUCACGACUUUAAAAAUAUCUGUAGUGCCAAUAUUUAUUUCGACACUGAAGUCACGAGAUCAUUCAAAUAUCAACUUUCAAUCGUAUGGAAAUUAGCUUUUAACUUCAAAUGGAUCACUACCAUGCAUCCUGACCGCACAUCUCUUUAUUUAAUGGCCAAAAAUCUAAUAACACCAACGAUUUUUAUUAAUAGUAUAGAAGUCUAUAUAUACAUACGUAUUAUACAGUGAUUAGGCCAAACUUUUUCUGAAUGCUGUAUCAAAGUAGGAGUCCAUUACUUGACCCACACCACUGAGGCUUUGUUUGAAAAUGCGGUGGCCAAAUUGGCGGCCUACUUUGAUGUUUUAAAGAGGUUAAAAAUUCUGAAAAUAUUUUAGAGCUUUUCUCCUCUAAUGUUAUGAGAAAGACAUCAGCAGGAUUGACGGAAACAUCAGAAAUUCUCCACUCAGUUGAUUAGUAUGGAGCCAUUAACUUGAGUCACUAAUCUACAAGCUUCAUGAAACAAUACCUUUUCUCCAUUCAUUUGUCCCAUUCCUUGUGGCAAACAUGCUCCACUUUCGUUUCAUCACUCCAUGUAUAGCUUCAUUCCCGACUCCGCAAGUUUAAGCACCUUGAUUAUCAAUCUACUAAUAUAAAACACACAGAUCAAGCGAAAAUUUGUGACGACAAAUGAAAACAAAUCGGAAUAGAGGCAACAGAUUUUUGCAGUUCAACCACUAGACUACAUCACCAGCAUCCAUGAGUGAAGAAGAGUAGAAUUUCAACUGAGAAAACACACAAGCUGGCCAAAUUGCUUCUCUCAAAAAAUUCUAAUUCCAGUACAUUCAGAAACCCCGAACCUUAAAAUAUGCAACAGUAAAACAGCAGUAGCAAAACAUAAUACAGGUAGAACCCCAACUACAAAUACAGAUAGGGAUCAGAAAUCGAAACACAAGCCGCAAAAUAUGCCGUAGCAAAAUGACAUAACAAAUCAAUUCCGAGAAUUCAAGACUAACAAUAGCACAUGGUUGUGAUAAGAAACAUAGGUUGACGAUGAUGUUCGGCGUCUCAAGCCAAACAUCGAUUGACAAAAUGAGGUGCAGUAUCUCAAACUACACCCAAAAUUCUUCUUUACACUUAGGCAUGCAAAGUCUCUGAGGCUUUUGCGAUAACUGGUAGCUAAAAGCAUAGCAAAACAUUGCAGCUAAAAGCAUAGCAAAACAUUGCGUCCAGCAUGCGCAAGUUUGCACAGAAAAAUAUAAUGCCCAACGGCAAUAAAAAAUAUACACCAAUUACAACACCAGCAUCCUCUCUCAAGGAUCUAAAGGACUCAACAAAUUGCAGUGACAUGAAAACCUGACAAAAGCAGAAAGUGAACUAUUCUUCUUUCGAAACCCCGGAAGAUUAAGACAAAAAAGAAAAACUCGGUACCCCAAAAUGAAGUAUAAGUGAGCAGGGGUGCUGUGGUGGAGAUGCAAGAAUUGUACAGGAAAUAUCAGCACUAGCAAACUUGUGAGAGAUCGCAGCUUUGCAGUGUUGCUAGUUGAUUUAUCUGCAACCAACUCUCGUACACGGAGGGCCAAAACUAAAAGAGAGAAUUUGGCUAGUGCUUAGAACCAGCGGAAAAGCCGUUGCCUCUGCGCGCUACUGCUAGUUCCAGGUGGAGUCACAGAUAUCCUGUUGGCGUUAGCUACUACCCACCGAUUGAAAUCUGGAGAAGACACUAGCUCAUCCACCGCCUUCUUAGUCUGCUCUUUAGUGAAUGUCUCCCAUUCUUCUUUCGACAUCUUCCUCCUCUCAGGAGUAUUGUGAAAGGUGGAAAAAUAGUUAUCCUCCGCUCGCCUUUGCGGUGGCGUCCUGGUUAAACCUGCAAUGGGAUGCAAGAUUAAGAACAGUAAAAUGAGUUGAGUAAAGAUUUAGGACUAUACUCGUUACAGAAGCAUACCUAAAAUAGGGGAACUGCAAGAAGUGAGUCCAGAGUAUUUGCGAGGCCAAGGAGGUGAUUCAUAUACUGGACGGUCGUAAUUGUUCAAGUAUUCUUCAUGAGAAUAUUUUGGGGGCGAUGCAUUAAGUCGAGUUCUUUGAACACUCUUGAUAAUCCGCCUGCCAGAUCAGUGUAAUUUUGUCAAGUUGUUACAAUUAGUCAUCACGAAGGAAAAAUCAGAAGACUAUAGGUGGUGCAGGAUGUGAGCAUGGACACACAAAAGGAGCAUUUCCUUUUUUAUUACUACAGUUCAAUUAAGCAAGAGGAUAUGAAACAUGCAGUUCAAGAAAGAGGACGACAGCAAGACAAGGGAAUUAAAAAUAAACAACACUAUUUUCUUUUCCUAUAGAAAGAAGGCGGUUGAUGGUAACAUAAAAAGUUUUCAUAUUAAACAACCUUGUCGAACACCAGAGCAUAAGGGGCCCCUAAGUUAAGAGUAUCACCCUCCUAAAAGCAAAACAUGAAAUACUCAAUGAAGACAAUUUACUCAUACAUAAAGCAUCCAAUAAGCAAACACAUAAUCCAGUUAAGACUUAUAUAGAAUAAAAUUAAGUAAUAAUUUGUGUAGUUCCAAGCAUCACAAAAUUUUUCUGAAUCUGUUUGAUGAUUUGCUCUACCUUUAUUGUUUUAUUUUCUAAUUUCCUCUUUAGAUUAUUCCAGACAUUUCAAACCAAGAAGUACAAAGGUGAAGUCCAAGAGGCUAAAACUUUCAAAGCUUGGUGUAUAUUUCCUACUUUACAACUAAGAUUUGUAACAAAAAUAUUACUGUUACCAAUAAUUAUUCUCAGCUAUACCCACAAAAAUGGAAUAAAUCCAAAAAAUAAAUUAAAGCCAAGAAGUAAUAGCAUCUGCAACUACAAAGCAUAGAACUCGCAUGGUCAAUUAAAGCAUGCUGCAUAAGCAUUUAGUGAGAUUUGGCGAAUAUAAUACAAUUGAGAAAAGCUGGAAAAUUAGUUUUAACGCCAAAAUGAAUAAACAGUCAUAAAGACACAAGGAUAAAGAAAAGACAUGGCAAUAUAUUUUUAUUAGUACUUCUUAAGCAAAGAUUUGUAAUAGUUGAUGGUGGACUAGCGGUAGCAAUACAUAUCAAUAACGCUUUGGCAAAAAAAUGAGUGCACAGUGCAACAUAACUACCUGACCAGGCGACGUAAGAAUCUCGAUUUUCCAUGAUUCCUCGUUAUGGCUGUUAUUAGGACAGAGAAACCCAAAGCUGCAAUUGCAAACACCACAUCCAGAGAGCUCUAGGUACAGUAAAGAACAGGAAAGAUUAGUAACAAUGAUUGCAAUUGUUGACAUAGAUAUGGUACAGUAGGUACUCUAGUAGGGAAAAGAAGCUAACAGGCAGAUGAACAGGCUAAAAUUUUCUAACGAUCAAUAACUAAAAGCUAGUCACUCAAAGGAGAUUUACCUGGAGUAUCAUUACAGCAGAAAGAAUCAUAAUUGACCAUUCAACAAAAUAAGCCACACUAGAGUCAACUGAUCCUUCCUCUGUUAGAACAAGCUUCCGAACACCCCAAAAACCAAACCAAGCUCCAGCCAAAACGAUGCAUACGAGAAUUAUUAUACCCAACUGCAGUAACAAUUCAUUAGAACAAUGAAAAAUAUUAGUUAGUCUUAUUAAUCAUCAUAGAAACAUAAAUCAAGUUUUCUUUGAGUGUUGUCAAAUCCUGCAUGUGACAGUUGCAUGCGAUUACGAGCGGCACAUUGCUUGGAAAGAGAUCAAGGCAAUUUUCAGCAGUAUAAGAAAUGAUUGCAUAAACACACUUGAUGCUCAUAUCAUUUGGAAAUUUUCAGCAGUAUAAUAAAUAAUUGCAUAAACACACUUGAUACUAAUAGUAUUUGUGACAGCUAAUCUUAGUGAAGAUGAUUGAGCGGCACAGCACUAUUAAGAACUCUAGAAAUUCAUGUGUGCAGCACGUAUGAUCUCUCCUUCAAUUUAUAGAUGCCGACUGGAAGAUAUGAACAUGAAUUGAACCCUCCUAAUUAAGCUACAAAAAAUAAUAGAUCCUCCACCUAUCUAAGAUUCAUUCCCAUCUUACUUAAAACUAAUCUAGAGACAGUAGCUGCCACAGAAAGCAGAUAAAGUUAAAUGACAAAAAAUGACUUUGAGAGAACAAUUUUUUUUGUGUCAUAAGGCUCUUUUGCAGUUUCAUUGUAACGAAGUAUCGCCCGAAUGCAGUGCAGCAGUAAACCCAAUAUCUGAGUAGGCCAAUAAACUGCAUUAGUUAUUGCAAUCAUCCUAUGACAAAGUUGCUUCACAUCAAAGGCAUAUUUAAUUAGUACGCUUAAGAUGAGCCACGAAGUGACCGUGGCUUAUAAACAAGAAAACAAUGAAUAAAGCACAAAGAAACUUACAUACAGGAUAGUGCAUAUCUUCACUAAUUCCUAUCUCCACAAGAAUUGAUCGCAAAAACCCAGACAAAUAACUGAGAAGAAAGGUUGUAACACCCACCUGUCAUCAAAGAAGAUAUAUUACUACAUUAGCCAAUGCCAUCGGGAUGCAUUAAUGUGGAAAUAGCUUUUCAAGGUCAUUACUUACAGCUGAUGAGUACAUAAAUAUUGCAAGAGAGCUCUUUCGACCUGUCGGUAGUAGCCUCAUUCCCUGCAAAGAAUCAGAUAAGUUCCUCAAAUUACAGCAAUUGAGAAGAGAGUGACAUUAAACAAAAUGGCACCCUAACCUCUAAUUCUUACUUGCAUCCGUUUCUCUUUAUUACAACAAAUACUGAAUUGUAUAUAUAAUUAGCAUCAUUCUAACAACCAACUAAGUUGGCAGCAUUUAGGCAUCCUAGACAGAAAAGGUCCACAAAUAAGCAGCGCAUCUCGCAACGAUGCAUGUAAUUGAAUAAUGAUACAAAAAUGGAUGCUUUUGUUAUAAAGCAUUUGUUUUUCCUCCUCUUUAAAUUGCACUAGUAAGAGUGAGAGAUGUCUAUCCUGCACCUAGUGGCAUGGGGCAUCAUCUAAGCCACGAGUAUCCCUAGACUCGAGAGUUGAUUAGCAUGAUACCCAUUACUAAACACACAUUUAGGCUACUUAAACUAACAAAUGCACAUCCACAUAGAAAAGCACAUGAUGGUGAUAAUAUAAACAUAAACACAAUUUCACGAAAAUUGAAUUAUAACUGUGAAACCCAAUCUGAAGCACAGAAAUAGAGCUAGAGGGUGAACCAGUACCUGAAAAAGGAUCAUCAGUAUCACCAGGAUGAUGCCAAUUGUCAUUGCACCGCCAUAAUAGAACACCACAGACUCACUUAAGGUGUGAGCUGUCGCCAUCAUGACCAUUCCCACUACCAGGAAAACAACCCUAAAAAGCACAAACUCUGCAAGUACAUGAAUCACCAGUAUCAACAACCACACUAAUACAUAAGAAACCUAAAACCCAUGAUUGCAAGUAUAUAACAAAAUACAUCUAAAGAACACCUUCCGCAGUGGAGACCUCAAUGGUCCUCGAGGGAUCCGGCGGCAUCCGAAUAUCCAAAAUCCUGUGCUCGUAAGGCGACAUGGAUUGAACCCACGAACUCUUCGAAAGCUUCUGCCACUGGGACGCCGGGCACGUCCCGAUCCCAAUCGACGCGUUCCUGCAUCGAAUACAACAAAUUCGAAUCAACAACCCAUCGGAGUCGCAUGCAAAGCUAGGGUUUUUGCGGGGAUUUACCGGUGGAAGCAGAGCUCGACGCUCUGGACCCGGAAAAGGCCGUCGCCUUGGGGGACGUCGACGGAGACCCUGAGCGCGUGGGCGAACCUGCACGGGUUGCGGAGCCGGGAGAGGCCGCGGAUGUGGACGCGGGCGCAGGCGAGGGGGCGGGAGCCGGGGGAGGGGUCGACGAGGCGGCCGAGGGGGAGCAGGAGCUUGGAAGGGUGGGAAUCGACUGCGGAAACGACGAAAACAAGGAGAAUGGUGAGACGAGAGGGUUAGGAGGAAAUUUCAAAGGGGAAAAUUAGGGCUUCUUCUAGGGUUUUUGGAUUCGUUACCUGUGAACUCGUCGGGGGAGGAGAGAGAUGAGGAGGUGGAGAAGAGGAGGAGGAGGAGAGAGAGGAGAAGGGGAAGGGGAGAGGAGCGCAUGGUCGCGUUUUUGGGGAGGAGGGGUGGGGGAGAAGAGAGAGGGAGGGAAAGGUUUAGAGAGAGGAGGACGCUUCGAUAGUAAGGAAUUUAUAUGUCGAAAAUAGAAAUUGGAAAAUCUAUGGACACCCCCUGCACUAUAGAAUAUUCUGCACCGGCCCUCUCAACAGCUUUUUUAUAUGUGAUUUAAUGAAGAAUUAACGGACGCGCUGAAAAUAUAUAUAUAUAUAUAUAUAUAGAGUGGAGCUAGAAUAUUUUUACAAGUAUCACCUGGGUGGUGCUUUAGUGUUUUUAGCCCUUGGAUGGAGAGAUAUGAGGUUGAGACGAUAGUGGUAGGUGGUGGUGAUACUUGUAAAAGUAUCCUAGCUCAACUCUAUAUAUAUAUAUAUAUAUAGUUGGACUGGGCUAUUAUUGGUAGCAAAAUCUCAUUGUUGCUAUCAGUUUUUUAGCCUUUGGAUCAACUCUUUUCAUUAUUUUUAACCAUUGGAUUAAAUACUAUAACCCAGUGGAGACCACUCAACCCUAGGGGAACCACUCAACUCUAACCGACUAAUAUCAUCCUGAUUCUAUAAUUUUUCUUCCAAGAGUUAAAAACUUGAUAGCAAAAAGAGCGUUUUACUAUUAGUAGUAUUCCAGCCUAAUUCUAUAUAUAUAUAUAUAUAUAUAUAUAUAUAUAUAGAGUUGAGCUGGAAUGCUAUNUAUAUAUAUAUAUAUAUAAAGUGCUAAAAUAAUACACUUUAAAUUAUAAAAUUUUAAAAUAAAAAAAGCAACAUCACAGAGGUGAAAUUUGAAAUUUAAUCAAAAUUUUUUUGACGAGUCACAUAAAUUUUCACUACGGCUCCUUAAACAUUUAAGUAUAUCACACUACCUGCGGCCAAUAGGAAUGCAAACUGAACGAAUCUGAGGGCAGGAACCCGCCCCGCUAGGGGUGGCAAUUCAGCUCGCUGUUCGUGAGCCAGCUCGUGUUCGGCUCGAAAUGAGCUCGAGAUCGGCUCGCUCGUUUAGUAAACGAGUCGAACACGAACUGGAUUUUUCAGCUCGUUUAAUAAACGAGCCGAACACGAGCUGGGAUCAGCUCGUUCGUGUUCGGCUAGAUAACAGCUCGAAUACAUAUAUUUUAUAUUUAUAUAAUUUAUUUAAUUUAUAUUUUUAUAUAUAAAUAAAUAAUUAUAUAUAAUAUAUAUUUUUAUUAUUUAAUUUUUAGCAAAAUAAAAAUAUAAAUGCUAGUAAUUAUAAAAAAACUCAUUUAUAUGUAAAUGUUUCAACAUUAGAUCAAAGUUUAAUGGAUAAAAUUUUAUAAAAUUUAUUUUUUAUAUAUAUUUAAUCUAUUUUUUUUUAAUUUAUUGUUCGUGGCCAGCUCGUGAGCCAGCUCGUGUUCGGCUCGUUUAUUAACGAGCCGAACACGAGCCGACCCCAGCUCGCUUGUGUUCGGCUCGUUUACACCCCUACGCCCCGCCUCACGCGCCCCGACUAACAAAAUCCUAUCACGCCUCCCGCCUCGAAUCUAUGACGGAUUAAAAAAUAUAUUUUAUAAUCCACCUCGCCUCGUAACUUGCUUCCUCCCGGCGCCCCGAAUCUGCCCUAUCAACUAAUAUUUUUUAUAAAAUUUUAAUAUUAUUAAAAUUUUAUAAAAUAUAAAUUAAUAAUUUUUAAUAAUAAUAUAUAUAUAUAUAAUUAACAACAUUAAUUAUAAAAAGUAAAAAUAUGAAUCACAAUUCAAAGUAAAAUUCAAAAGUUUUAAAUACAUGAGAAAUAAGAACACUAAAUUAUUUGUAUUUUGAAUUUUUUUUUAUAAAUACAUUAUUUUUUAGAAAUAUUUUUUAAAAUAUAAAUGAUUUUCAGAACGUAUUCGCGGCGGAUCAAAAUUUCUCCCGUUUUCUAUCCCGAAUUCGUCUCGGAUCAUAAAAAUUAAAUCGUUUUCCGCCCUGAAUCUAUUUAUUUUCUUUCGUUUACUGCCUCAUUCUAGACAAAUCGGGGCGGAAGCUCCACCAACCGGGAUCCGUUGCAUCCCUAGCGGCCGAACGUUUGAACAAGUUUCAUUUUGGUCCCCAAACUCUCUUUUUAUUAUUAUUUCAUAUUUCAUUUCGUUUUUCAAAUUUUGUUUUGUUAUUAUUUCUUUUUGGUAGGUAAACUCUGAAGUACGAUGCUAGAUUUUACAAAUUGUUUAUUUUAGUUGCUGUACAAAUUUAUCUUCAAAUGCAAAUUUGUUGCCUAGAUCUAGCACACAUGUAUAUUUAUGUACUGUGCCGAUACUAAAUUUUUUUCCCAUCUACUCUCCAUUGUGUUAUAAUAUUUGGCUAUGUGUUUGGAUUUUGGAAAUAUAUUCCAAAAUAUAAUUUUCUAGUGUAAAAAAUAUUUUUUUAUCUUUCUAACUCCUAGAGAAAAUAGUUUUUCCGAAUUUAUUUCGCAAAAUUUAUAAAAAUAGUAUUUAUAUUUUUUAAUUUUUUAUUUAAAAAAUAAAAAUUUUAAAAAAUAGUAUUUUUUUAUUUUUGAAACAAUUCUUUUCCUAAAAAAAAGUUUUUCGUACAUUUUUGGAGAACCAAACGCUUCUGAGAUUGAAUUAUUAAUUAAAAUUAUAAGGCGAAUAAAGGAUUGAUGGAUUUUUUACGGUACAUUUAAAUGAACUAGAUCCAAGCAAUAAAUUUUUUUUUUCAAAGCUAAGGCUUCAAAUGAAAUAUAACUAAAAAUUUAGAGGCUGAAUUAAGUUAUAAUUAGAAGUUUAGGAUUUCAAAUAUUAAAUUAAAAAAUUUGAGUAACAAAAUAAAACUUGCUUUCACCUCUGGGGGCAAAUAAUGCAAUAUAGCCCUAAAUUGUUGAUUGAAAUUGACUAGCUUAAAUUUUACAUUUAACACUUUUAUAUUUUUAGGAUUAUUUUAUUUUAGCUUAAAUUUUUGGAUGUUGAAGAAUGAUUGACUGAAAAUGCAGAUCACUUGCAUGCUCUUUUCAUAAGGACUUUUUUUUGAUCUUUCAAAAUAAGAAAGUGAGUGUUUUUGACAACGCGAUAUCAAAUUAGCCCUAACUAAUGCCUACCUAACCUGGCUAGAAUCCUCGAAACAAUGUCUCUACUUGAAGAAACAUAAUGCAAGAGUUCGGCACCGAAAGGACCUAACGCGUUUGCUAAGAGAAAUAGCCGAAAUGAAAAUAUGAAGAAUUAUAUAUUGGUUAUUUAUUAUUGGGCGAAAAUAUAUCCAACUUUCUGCUCCGUGACAAUAGGUCCAAAAAGACUAAUAAGUUGAGUUAGAUGAGUCUAAUAAGUGGAGCGGAGAUGUGGUCCACAAGUGGCCUAACGGCAAGAAGCCCAACAAUAGAUCCAACAUUCAGAUGGAUUGAGUGAGGUCAAAAUCUGCGAGCGCUGUUACUGAGUCCUUAAGUGCGAUGGAUGCGUCCUUCCUAUCAGCACGUGUUUUUGAGAUAGUUGUUUAACACUUAUGAUCCACACUAUACACAUUAAAUUUUAGGGCAUGUUUGGUACAGGAAUCUCUUAUGGAAUAUAUUUUUUUAACUUAUCCAAAGACUUUAUAGUGUUUGGUGGAUAGGAAUAUAAUUAAAUAUCUGGAAUGAAAUAGCACAUAAUUAUUUUAAUUUUUUUUUAAAAAAUAAGAUAAAUCAGCUUAUCAGUGAAAUAUGUUAUUCUACCAAAUUACAAAUAUUAAGAUCUUAAAAACAAUUAUCAAACUGAUUGCUUUGGCAUCAAAUUUAAAAUUUAUUAUUAUCCUAUUUUCGUCAAAUGACUAGUUAAUUACUUAUUUGUCAAUGAAAAAGUCGUUCACCAUGAUAUUACACACUGCUCAAAACUCUCCCAAAUUUGUCUUAUACAAUUUGAGUAAAGAAGAUUUUUACGAAGUUACAACUACUAUCCAAGACAAACAGAAAUUCUCGUUUAAAUAGCAAAUAACGAAGCCACAACAAUAAAACCAUGUUCACGACACACACAUAUAUAUAUAUAUAUAUAUAUAUAUAUAUAUAGUCCUCUAUGGUGCUAUGAUAAAAACAAGCCGAACGUAACGGUUUGGUGGCCUCAUAAAUUUUUACCGUCAGAUUCUACUCCUCGGAUUAUUUUAAGCAUGUUAGAUUAUACUAUUCUAAACAAGCAUCGCACUCCAAACCCUAGGGGCCCACACAUCACGUACCGCACAUCGCCUUUAAUCUAACAGCUAAAAAUCUACAAACACCAAUAACUUGGUAAUAUUAAAAACAUAGGCGCUUAAAUAUAUAUAUAGAGGAAGAGAAAGAGAGAGAAGAGAGAGAGGCUAGAGCUACUUAUCUGACUUUAAUAGGGAUAGGAGAGAUUGUCCUAUCAAUGUUGUGAUGAUCUAGAAGGUUACCGAAUCGGAUGAUCGAGCCGUUGAAAUUGAUCUAGAGUAUUUGAAAUAUCUAGAACAUAAAUUUCAUAAAUUUUAAAAAUUAUUUACAUGGUGAUCAAAGGUACGUAAAAUCGACAAUUUUAUGACAGGCACUAUAUGAGCGGCGUUUGCUUGUUAAACGUGUAAGGAGUAAUCCAAAUGCUUGAAUUUUUUGAUAGAAAUUCCUUUAUACUAUUUAAUAAUGUUUGAGUAACUCUAGAUAUGAAUUGAGAAAGGCCUAACCUCUAGUUGUAGAAAGUUAUUUCAUGUUAUGAGCCGUUCAUUUUUUAACUAAUCUCUUAAAAUAACUUGAUAAUGAUUUUAUAUAUACAAAAUUUGGUUCUAAAUAUUUCUAAAUUUGUAGAUCAAUUUCCAACGGUCCGGCCGAUUAUCAUUGAAGUUCGUCAAAUCAAACAACCUUGAUAGGACAAAUGGCUCCCAAUCCUAUUAAUAGAACUAUAGCCGGACUUAUAUAUAAGUGGCGUUUGGUAUGCCUUCUGGAAACAUGGACGGCUCUGUGUGCUUCCAAGUUAAUUUUCGAUGUUCGGACUUUCGAAUCGAUAUCGCUGCCGUUAGAGUUGAUCUAGAAGUAUUUUGAAGUAGCUAGAAAUAAAUUUUGUGAUUUUUGUCGAUAUCAUUUGGCCUAGUGAUCGAAGGGCUCAAAUUCAAUAAUUUUAACGGCCGUGGUGAGCCGUUUGGCAAGUUUAACGGUGUAGAAAAUGACAAAUCACACUUAAAAUUUUGCAUAUGACAAAAAUUCUUUAUACCAUAUAAAACAAGAUCAAUUAACUUUGAUCUAAAAUUUUAAUGUCCAUAUCAUGUCAUAUUUUGUAAGAUUUUUAUUUUCCAGCCGUUGAUUUUGAGCCAUUUCCGAUCCUAGCAAAUGAUAUCGAAAAAUCGCAAAAAAUUUAGUUUUUAGAUACUUCAAAAUACUCUAAUCAAGUCCUAACGAGCCGAUCGUCGAUAUCCGAAGUCCGAACAUCGAAAAACCUAACUUGGAAGCACGGAGUCGCUCCGUGCUUCCAACGACCGCAUAUAUAUAUAUAUAUAGAGUAGGGCUAGAAUACUUUUACAGAGUAUGCCCCAAGUGAUACUUGUGUGUUUUUACCCUUGGAAUGGAGAGAUGUGAGUGAAAAUGAUGGGGUAGGUGGUGGAGGUGUGGUAUGGAAUAAGUUUGGAUCCAAGGGCUAUUUGUAAAUCAAAAAGUAGAUCCAAUGGCUAAAAACGUGAUAGCAACAUGAGGAUGAUACUUGUAAAAGUAUCCUAAGAUAAAGACUUAUAUAUAUAUAUAUAUAUAUAUUCGAUGUGUCUACUAUACUCUCGAAAAGUACCGACCUUUCGUGCUUGUAAGUUGUUUGUCUAUGAUUAAAUAAACAUCCGAUUCCGCAAUCGGCUCCGUUAGGUAUAAUCUACUCUAUUGGACUAUCAGAAACCAAAUUUUAUAAUUUUUGAGCAAUCAUUUACUAAGCGAUCAAUAAGGUCGCAAAAAUGACUAUUUUAUAUGCGAAUGCGGUACAUUUUUAGUUCAACGGUGUAAGAAAUAUCCAAAUACAUAAAUUUAAUAGAAAUUCUAACUAAACUCAAUAGCAAGAUCAAUACUUCUGAUUUGAAAUUUGAGUCAUUUCAUUUUUUUUAUGAGAUUUUUAUUUCAGGCCGUUCAUUUUGAGGCUACGGUGUCAGCUAGGCAAACAAAGUCAAAAUUAAUGAAUUUGAUCUAGAUAUUCAAUACGUAGAUUCAUCGUCUAACGAAACCGAUCACUAUCGAAUUGGACCGUCCCAUCAUCCGAAACUUAAUUGAUUAAGUAACGGAGGCCCCAUACUGUCGAAAGCAUAGAGUCUAAACUCUCUCUCUCUAUAUAUAUAUAUAUUAAUAUAUAUAUAAUAUAUAUUAUAUAUAUAUAUAUAUAUAUAGAGUGAGGCUACUCAUGCUAUCGGAAGCCAGAGCCUUUCGUGCUUCCAGCUCGUUUUCGAUGUUGCGACUUUCGAAUCGUCGAUCGGCUCCGUAAAACUUGAUCUAGAGUAUUUGGAGUAUCUUAGAAAAUAAAUUUUAUUAUUUCGAUAUCAUUUGCCUAUAAUCGAAUGGGCUCAAAAUCAACAAUUUCAAAUGGCCGUAGUGAGCCGUUUGCAAGUUUAACGGUGUAGAAAUAUCCAAAUCAACGUAAAUUUUGAUAGAAAAUUCUUAUACUAUAUAAAACAAGAUCAAUAUCUUUGAAUUUAAAAUUUUAAUGUCAUUAUUACAUUUUAUAAGAUUUUUAUUUUCAGCUCGUUGAUUUUGAGCCCCUGUUCACAUAGGCAAAUGAUAUCGUAAAAUUAAUAAAAUUUAUUUUCUAGUACUUCAAAUACUCAGAUCAAGUUUAACGGCCCGUCGACGAAUUCGAAAGUCCAAACAUCGAAAAUGAGCUGGAAGCACGGAAGGCUCCGUGCUUCGAUAGCAUAGUAGCCCACUCUAUAUAUAUAAUAUAUAUAUAUAUAUAUAUAUUAUAUAUAUAUAUAUAGAGUUGAGCUAGAAUACUCUCGAUAGUAAACGAGCAUUUUACUAUCGAGUUGUUUCGAUGAUAGAGCUUCCAAAUUGACGAUCGGCUCCGUUAAAUAUAAUUCUAAAUCAUUUAAACUACCUAGAAUCAAUUCACGCACUUCGAUUUCUUCUUUUAUCCAUCUAGUGAACAGAAAAUGAAUGGUUGAAAUGAAAAUUCUUUAAAAAAAUGAUGAUAGGAGUCUUGUAAUCAGAUCAAGAGUAUAGAUCUUGUUUAAAAUGUUUAAAGAAUUUUCUAACAAAAAUCAAUGUUUGGAUAUCUUACACCGUUAAACGAGAAAAACGUCUCUAAUCCACCAUUAAAAUUACAAAUUUUGAAACCCUUUGAUCAUUAGGCAAAUGAUGUCGAAAAGAUUUGAAAUUUGAUUUAAAACACUUUAAGUGGUAUAGAUCAUGUUCAACGGAGCCGAUCGUCAAUUUGGAAGCUCAUAUUCAUCGAAAACAACUCGAUAGUAAAAUGCCCUGUUUACUAUCGAGAGUAUUCUAUCUCAACUCUAUAUAUUAUAUAUAAUAUUAUAGUAGGGUUAGAAUACUUGUAAAAGUAUCAAGGGGGUGAUACUUGUUGUUUUUAGCCUUGGAUGGAGAGAUGUGAGGUUGAGAUGAUGGUGGUGGUGUGUGUAGGUUGGUGAUAGUGAAUAAGUGUUUAAUCAAGGCUAUUAAUAAUCAAAAAGUAGACUCCAAUCCAUUAAAAUCUAAUACACCAUGAUGGUGAACUUGUAAAAGUAUCAUAGCUCAACUCUAUAUAUAUAUAUAUAUAUAUAUAAUAUAUAUUAACAAUGAAGCAAAAGUUUGAUUUAAAAUGUAACAUGAACUAAACUUUAAAAUCUAUUUCGCUGUUUAUACGUCGGAUCCUUUAAAAAGGGAAAAAAAAAAAAAAAAAAAAGUGAAACUUUUGAUAUUCAAAGGUAGAGAUGAUGAGCAAAUUGAUCUAACUCUCCCUUCUGCAAUGCUCUGCAAAUUGCCUCCAAAGCCCACACUUCGACAAUUUGUAAGUAGUCAUAACAUCUCCGCUUACGUCGCUUUGAGCUCGAAACUGUUAUCCUUUCUUUCUCGCUCUCCAUCCUUUCUGCAAUAAGAAAAGAUAAACCGUAAAAAUACAAAUUUGAUUUGCGAGAGUAUGAACAACGCUCACACCUAUUACAGCGUUGAAUUUUUUAUUUUUAGUUUCGAUACUGUCGUACUUUUUUGACUUUUGAUUCUGUCGAGUUAAACAGAUAGUAUAAAAAACUGAGAAAAGGAAUUAAUGGAUAAAUUGUGAUAAUUAAAUGCUAUGAUGCAAGUUUAGAUAAUUGUAUAAUUAAACAUCAGGCAAUAUAAUAUAUAUAUAGAGUGAGGCUACUAUGCUAUUGGAAGCAUGAGCUUCCGUGUUCACAGCUCGUUUUCAAAUGUUGCGACUUUCAAAUCGUCGAUCGGCUCGUUAAACUUGAUCUAGAUAUUUGAAUAUCUAGAAUAAAUUUAUAUUUUACGAUAUCAUUGCCUAUGAACGAAGGGCUCAAAAUCAACGGUUGAAAAUAAAAAUCUUACAAAAUGUAAAAUGACAUUAAAAUUUUAAAUCAAAGAUAUUGAUCUUGUUUAUAUAGUAUAAAGAUUUUCUAUCAAUUUCAUAUGAUUUGGAUAUUUACACCGUAAACUUGCAAACGGCUCACUAUGGCCAUUGAAAUUUGUUAUUUUGAGCAUAUUUCGAUCACUAGGCAAAUAUGAUCUCGAAAAAUAAUAAAAUUUAUUUUCUAGGUACUUCCAAAUACUCUAGAUCAAGUUUAACAGAGCCGAUCGACGAUUCGAAAGUCGCAACAUCGAAAACAAGCUGGAAGCACGAAAGGCUCCGUGCUUCCGAUAGCAUAGUAGCCUUACUUCUAUAUAUAUAUAUAUAUAUAAUAUAUAUUAUAUAUAUAUAUAAUAUAUUAUAUGUAGUUAGUAAGUUCAAUGCUUAUUAACCUAUAUGAAUUCCUAAUGUUUUUGCCACGUGGCAAGUUUUUUUUCAACCCCACUUUCUAUUCAAUGACGUUGGCUUUUUCCCUCUCCCCAACCCUCUCUAUUCAAUGAUCUCUAAUCAAUGUACUCUUUAAUUUAUACGUUACUUAUUUUUCUCUUCAAUAUUGGUCAUUUAUUCUCCCUCAAAUCUCUUUUCAACGUCAAACCCUUCACCUCUUCCUGUCCUUUAAAACCACAAGAAUUAAUUAAUCCAAAAUGCAACAUUUAAUUAUAUACACCAUAUUUCACCAAUGAGUAAGCUUUGUAAUUCCAAUCCACUCCCCACCUCCAUUAACCCGGGCCCCCGAACCCUCUCUCUUUUGUAUUGCCUCACCUCCAUUAACCCGGGCCCCCGAACCCCCUCUCUUUUGUAUUGCCUGUUAUUUUUCAUGCAAAAAAGAACAUUAUCAUCUAAUCUCCCACCCCACAUUCAUCUUGCUUUCUCUCUCGUGUUAGUGAAGUUGAUGAGGAUGAUGAUGAAGAAAAAGAACAUGCAAAGAACGUUGUCUCUUUCAAGAAGUAUCGUCCUGCAAAUCCGAGCGGCGAUCCAUAUAAGUGCCCGCUGGGUUGAUUCAGCUGCGUUAGAGCUAGCUCUUUUUUUUUUUUUUUUUUCCUUUCACAACGGAAUGUUCAAGGGUCACAUAAUAUAAUAAAAUUGUAUGUCUUUUACUGUAUUUCAAUGAUUUUAAAAAAAAUUAUAUAAACUUCUAACUAUAAUUUUAUGCUUUUAACAAUUAAAUUUAGUCAUGCAAAUUGACCGUACUUAACAUGGUAUAGUUUUCUAUAUAUCAAUAAGCUGUAAAUAUAAAUUUUAUUAAAAUUUUAAAAAUUUGCUUUUAUUAUCUAUCCACUGUAUUGCGCUGAUCUCUACACUAGUUUGUAAUAAACUUCAAUAUUGUUGAUAUAAGAAUGUAGAAUAAGCAACAAAUAUAAUAAAGAGAUUACAUUAGUCCGCGUUGUUGGAUUGUUGGAAGAUCACAUCUCAACGUGGUUUCAGGGAAUGAGUACCAAACCAACCGGCAAAAACCUAGCAAGCUAUUUUAAUUAAGUAAUUUUUUCUUUAAAUGUGUUUUGAUUAAGUGGUUUAUUGUGUUCUUGUCUAAAACAACAUAUGUAUAUUGAGUAGAAUUUGUGCCAUUUUACGUGCAGACCAAUUCGUAGCGUGGACUAGAACAAAAUACUAUUAUAAGCAAUUUACAUUAUUUAGAAAAGUCUAUAUAUAAAAAAUUAUAAAAUUUAAAAAUUUCAUGCAAAAGCAUCAAUCUAUCGAAUAACCACAAUAAUUAACAAUAGAAAAAAGGCGACCGCUUGGUUGUGAUAUAUCGACAUUUUGAAUACUAUCAAAUGUAAGCAGUCUAUCUUAUCUCAUCACUUACUUCAAUCUCAGUCACGGACUGCAACUUUAAUUUUUGGUUAAGUUACUCUUUAAUUUGAAUUUAAUUCCUUUAAUGGUCACUUUUACAAAGGUUUUUAAAUUCGAAAUUAUUUACAGUUCGAAAAUAAUGUCUGGUCACAUAUUACUAGCUAAAUCAGUAGUUCAACCACUGAAUUAAUUGACGUCAGUAUAUUCAGACUAUAUAAAAAAUAUUUACGAAGUAUUGUAUAUAUUAUUUUUUAAUAUUAUUAUGUUAUUAUAUAUAAUUAAAGAUCUAUCCAAAGUAUUUAUUGAUUAUUAAAAAACUGACACAUAUUUUAAUUAAUCAUUAAAAUAUUAAAUAAAAAUAAUUAAACUAGGAUAGUUUUUUUUUUUAAAUGGAACCAGCUAACAGUCGCUAGUUGAACCACUGGUCUGAACGGAUCCAAGCGAGUUUUGAGCAAGUAUGGUUUCAUGGGUUGAAUCGAAUCACGUUGGGCGUUACACAACCGGUCUACGAACGCUCGGUGUUCCGUGUUCCCGUCCUUAAACGAGUCUGGUAUCGACAUGUCAGCAGCAGGAGACAGGUAAAGACCAACACGCCACAUAUCCGCACUCCGGGGGAAUUUUCCCGACAUUGUCAAAUACCGCCUUGACCACUAAAAAACAAGCAAAAUUUUUGUUCCAAUUUUUCUACAUUUCCCUACACAAAAACUGAUGAUUUUAUAUAUAUAUAUAUAUAGUUUGGUUGGAAUACUAUUGAUAGCACGAAGUAUUUGAUGCUAUCAAAUUUUCUACCGUUAAAUUUAUCUCUUUUAUCAUUUUUAUCCGUUCGAUUAUACUAUUCAACCAACUAUCCACUCAACCCUAGAAGACCUACAUCAUCCUAAUCGCACAUCUUUGAAUCUAAGGAUAAAAAACUUUAUAGCAUCAAGUUAUUGGUGCUAUUAAUAAUAUUUCAGCCUAGUUCUAUAUAUAUAUAUAUAUAUAUAUAUAUAUAUAUAGAGAGAGAGAGAGAGAGAGAGAGAGAGAGAGAGAGAGAGUACGUCUUUUGAAAGUACGGAGGUCUCCGUAUUUAUAAUUUAUUUUAAAUGAUAGGACAUCCGAUUCGACUAUCGGCUCUAUUAGGUAUAAUCUACCAUAUUAGAACUAUUUAGAAAUCAAAAUUCAUAAUUUUUUACAUUAUUUAAUUACCAAGUGAUCAAAAUAUCUCAAAAUUAACUAUUUUAAUGAUUGAUGUGGCACGUUUUUAAAUUCAACGGUGUAAAGCAAUCCAAAUUAUAUGAAACUUUAAUAGAAAACUUUACUUAACAUCAAUAGCAAGAUCAAUACUUGUGAUUUGAAAUUUGAGUCUCUUAUCACUGGUUUUUAUAAAAUUUUUAUUUUAAGCCGUUCAUUUUGAGGCUAUUCAUUCACUAGAUAAAUGAAAUCAAAAAAUUAUGAAAUUUUGUUUUUAGAUAGUUCUAAUAGUAUAGAUCAUGUCUAAUGGAAUUAAUCGCCGAAUCGGAUGUCCCAUCAUUGAAAAUAACUUAAAAGCAUGAAAAUCUCUGUACUUUCGAAAGCAUAGGAGCCUAGCUCUCUCUCUCUCUCUCUCUCUCUCUCUCUAUAGUAUGUAAAUAGUUCAAAUUGUUAUGAACAAUCAAUGUGCGUUUCUAAUGUGUUGGAUUUUGGAAUCAGUUUUUUUAUGUCAUAUUUGUUAAUAUGUUAACAGUUUAUAAAAAUUAUGUUAUAAAAACGUGUAGCAGUACAGCUAAAAUAGACAAUAAAGUAUUUUUUACUAAAAUUAAAAUGAUCACCCAAAUAAUGAUAUUUACCGUUUCAGAAGAGCUCUCAUUGCUCGCAUUUCCUCCUCCUCCUUCGUCGCUCUCCUGAAGCUUAGCCUUCUUCUUCCUCUCUUGCCUCGCUAUCAACUUGCUUAGCUUCACGUGUCUUCUCGAUCCGAACACUUUAAGCACAUCUAUAAACCAACAAGAAGUAUGAGUGUCUAUUUGUUACUAAAUCCUCAACGGCACGUUUAGUAAUUGAAUAAUAUUUGAAGCGUUUCAUGUUUUUAUUCAUAGAAUAAGUUAAUAUUCUAGAAUAGAGCGGCAUGAAAGAAAAUUUAGAUUUGGUUUUUACAUUUUAUUUUUUUAAGGAUAAUCAAAAUCAUGUUUUGUUAUUUUUUUAAAAAUUUAUGGAGAAUAAUGGACAAAGGCGCAGCGUGCAAAACCAUAUAAAAGGGUAGGUAAGAAUGGAAUAACGUAUGGCACAAAAAUAACGCGAAAGAUAAAUAGAAAAAUAGAUUUUAGAGAUGGCGAAAUAAGUCUUAACGGAUUGUUUCAGAAUAAUCUGUAAUAAACUAUUUUGACUAGAAUAAAUUAUUCUCAGCAAAAUAUUUUAUCCUUUAGUUAUUUUAUUACCAAAUGCAACCUAAGUAACUAAAGAGCGAUAUUUAAUCUUUUAUACGGUUAAUUUGUGAAAUAAAAAUUAUUCUCUGAAAACUUAAGCUAUUAAACAGCUGCUGGUACUUCGAGCAGUUACAUUCAAUGCAAAGUAAGUAAAUGUAUCUCUACUCUUGGUAACGUUGGAUGUGAACUUUUAAUCUUUAGAUACUAAAAAGAAAUUUUCUAAGCAAAUGCCAAAAGCAUGGAAACCACAAGUACUCCACCAAUUCAAUCGUCUACAUACUCUAUUACAUAGAAUUUGUAAAUAUAUAAAAAAACAACAACGAUACCAAACGAGGCGAUAGAAUAUAUACGGCAACGCUACCUUCGAAGGUGACGAGGCGGUAGACGCGGCCGAUGUGGAGGGGAUCGUCGGGGCGGAGCAGCUUCACAUGCGCCACCGGUGCAGCAGCACGGCUACCACCGUCGCCGUCGGGGGAAGCAGAGGACGACGAGUUACCAGAAGCAGAGCUACGCGGAGCAGCGACGACGACAACCGCGACGUAGUGACCAGGGUUUGCGGCCAUGACGUUGCUCGCCGCGACCGUCCAGUAGACUCUCUCGACCCUACCUCCUGGGUGUUCGAUCACCGCUGCCGCCGCCACCGCCUCCGCCGCUUGGCAAUUCCCCAUCUCUCUCUCUGUAUCUAUCUCUCAAAAUGUCUAAAUUUCUUUCUCUAUAGCUUUUGGAAACUUGUGUAUAUAUAGCAAUGGAAUUUGUGUGUUAAAUAAGGUACAAGCGCAUUUUCUUGUACCGAACAAAGGAUCUACUAUUUGACCACCACUUUAUUUACGUGUGCGAGGGUUUAAUUGGGCGCUAUUAAAGUUGUAUCGUAGUUUUUCUAUUUAAAGUUGAUAAAAAGUUGUGUUUGGUGUUGUUGUAUAGGUGGCUGGUUCAGCGCGUGGGAAAAGAAAAAUUAAGAAAUACAAGAAGUUAUUGCGUGGUCUCCGUGCACGUGUACAUUAAUUUAUUCCAUUUAAACCCUUGAAUAUAUAUAAAUUAUAAGAUGGCCAUUGAAUGCACGACCUCACAGAAAAAUUAGUUCAGAAUAUGAAAUAUAUAUUCACAUUUUUAGAAAACACGCUUAAUAUAUACACGAUGAAUGUGAAAUACACGUAAAAUUUUAAGAUCAGAUAAGAUAUGAGGAUUUAACUUGUAAUAAUAAUACGCCUGCAGGUAUAAUAUCUAAUAUAUUCUUCAAAAUUUAAAAACUAUCUUAUUUAUUUCUGGACGACCAAAAUACACUUAUUAAUUUUUAAAUUUGUUUUCAAAUACAUUUUUUUUAAGGAUUUGCUAAUGAAAUUAAAUUUUAUUAAAAAGAAUACUUUGAGUAUUGAGGGAUAAAUCUAAAAGUUUUUAUUAUAAGUGAGUGGGCGUAACUGCGUAAGCGUGGGUGUAAAUUUUUUUUUUAAUUAUUUGUUAUAUUAAGAAAUUUUGAACUUGUGGGCGCGAAAUUUAACGAGUUUCGUCUCCUUUUCCAGUGGUAGGUCAUUUUUGAAGACGUUAUUGGUUGCUUUCACUGGCCACCAUGUUUGGUAUUUAAUUUUUUUGGUAACUUCUCACCAUAUACGCUUCAAACAUGGAAUAUAAAAUAAUUAAAUUCCAUUCCAUGCCUCAAAAUGAGGCAUUUUUAUGAUUUUAUUUCCUGUCACGAGGAGAUCUACUAUUAUGAUUUAUAUAUAUUUGGAUGUAUAUAGUCACUAUUUGUUGAAAACUAGUUGAGAUUAUUCUUCAUGCGCUACUAACACAUAAGCACUUUUUUAAAAAAUUAAUUAUGCGCAGUGUAAAAUCGUGAAAAAUAAUUUUUAUAAAAAUUUUUUUUUAUGUUUUUGUAGUGUUUGAUUUGUACAAAAGAAAAGUAGUUUUUCAUCUAUAUUUAUUUGGUUGAACGAAAAAAAUUUAUGUUUGUUCGGUUUGCUGAAAAAAAUUAAAUGAAAAUAAUUUUUAGGCAGUUUGAAUUUUCGUUUUCUACUGAAAAAUAGCAAAAAAUAAAAUUUCAGCUUUUUCUCGAUUCGUAAAAAUAUUCUUACGUCGAACCAAACAAACAAAAAAGUAUUUUUUAUACCGAAAGUAAUUUUUAUGCCAAACCAAACGCCUCUUAAGUACAAAAAGUAAAAACCAAGAUUUAUAUAGAUCGACAAUUACUAAGUCUACAGAGAAAGUGAAAAAGAUAUGCUUCACUAAUAAAAUAAAAUUGAGUUUUAUGGUGAAAAUUUUUUUUCUUUUUAUUUUAUGAAAAGUCUCAGAUAAUAUUAUCUAAAUAAAACUUUUUUAUAUUUUAAUUAAAGAAUUAAAAAUAAUAAUAUAACUUGUUCUAUUUACUAAACAAAUAACCCGAGAGGAGCCACCAAACUUAAUUAAAUUAUAUCCCUGGACCCACUCCACGGGCCCACCAGGAGAAAGCCACCUCUCCGGGGCUCCAAUUCCAAAGCCUAUUGAUAAUAUAUCGCAUAAACCCGGUCUACACGGAUGGUACAUAAUUAGUAGUAUAUUACUCCUACUAUUUGACUUUAAAUUAUUCAAACUUAUCUACAUGUGCUCCACGGCCACGUUUAGCUGAGCAAUUAGAGCCCGACUUAUAUUUGCUGGUGAAUUAUAGACUAAUUAAUAAUAAUUAUCAUACAAUUAAUUUUUUAUAUUAAUCACUAAAGUUGGACUUCUUUUAUGUCUCUUCAUUUUCUCAUCACAUUAUUUUCUCUCCUUGAAACUUUUGGUCACUAAUAGGAUCAUGUAAACUAAAUUUAGACAGUGUCUAAGUUUCUUCAUUGUCACAGAAUUUGUUAUGACAUCAGUUAUAUUAUUUUUUGUAAAAAUUUACAUAAGCUGAAUUUUAUGAUCACCUUCACUAGCGAGCUCUCACAAUUUACGAUAUUUAAAAAACUAUGUGCUUCAUUCUCAUGUAGUAAACUAAAUUUCUUGCGAGAUAAAUAACAUCUCUGACUAUCACAAUUAGUGGUCAUCUUUUUCUAUACGAUCCUAAGUUAAUCAACCAAACCUCUAAAUUAGACUGCAUCCAUAACUGCUUCGAUUGUCGCCAUAUACUACAUCUCGAUAUUUAACAAAAUUACACUAUGCCGUAACGUAGACUUCCAAUUGAUAGAUCCACUGCCGAGCAAAAACACGUCAGCUGUAAUAGACCAAUGCAUGUCGGAAUCACCAAUAUAUACAGUCGGAAUUUAUAAAACCUUUUACUUCACCAUUAUCAAAAUCUGCCAAAUAGAAAUUUUGCAUAUUUGUUGUGCUCUUAAGAUACCGCGAAAUCAACUUCCAAGGACUUGUAAGCUGUAAUGGACCAAUGCCCGUCAGAAUUACCAAUAUAUAUAGUCAGAAUCUACAAUCCCUUACUUCACCAUUAUCGAAAUCUGCCAAAUAGAAAAUUUUCAUAUUCGUCCGCAAAGUUAAUGUCAAGGCGUCUUAGUGCUAUUUUUCUUGAUUUGAUAUUCGUCGGCUAUUGGAAUUAAAGGACAGCGAAAACUUACAAACUGACUAGCCAAUAUAUCUAUGAACCGAAAUCGGAUCGGAUUGCUUGUCUUACUAGCCUUCUUGGGUCGUCCUUGUCUCGAUACUUUUGCAUCUUCUAUGUACCUCAAUUUUUUCUAUACCCGUUGCGAAUCGGAUGCGAAGAGGGCUACUAGAGUGCUCUUCUAUAUUCACACUCCAAAACUCUGGAAACAUAAGUGGACAUCUUAGAGAGAAAGAAGAAAGAGAAGAAGGAAGAAAUCUCUAGUUUUUGAAUAUUUUCGUAGAAAUACACUACCUGCGAAAUGAACAAAAAAUCAGAUUUAAAGCAAAUUAUAGCAUACAACAAGCAACCGACCUUAUUAUCAUUUGAUAUCUUUGACAUAGAAUUUAUCUCUCAUCUCCGUACACUGUGCAACGUACCAAUGCGAUAACGUCCAUAACGUAUUCGGCUAAGUCCAAGAUGUACAUUAUUCAUUCUACUACUGAUAUAUGAAAUUCAUCAAGCAUAUUGUCCCUGCGCACCUGCAUGUUAGGAGUCUGUUUCCUUGUUCGAUCGUAUCCAACGCUCGUCCAUCAUACGACGAUUAGGUCCAAUUAUACAUAACACUCGAACAAUCCCCUCACCUCUAGAUGCCUCACCGUCUCGAACAAUCCCCUAACCUCUGGAUGCCUCACCUCACCGUCCUAAAUGUAUCUACUACUUGUCAAGAGUGUUAGGCUUAGUUUGGUAUCGAGGCCUAUCCAACGCUAAUCGUAACCGACUCAUCGCGAUAUACGAAAUGCAAUAUUACAUACGAAAAUAAACAGAAUAUUUUUUCAACGUAUUUUUUCACUGUAACGCAAUCUCUCCGCAAUUCCAAACGAAGCCUUAGUCAUUAAUCUCCACUCCAUAUUUUAACAAUUGGUCACAAAUUGCAAUGAUCUUAGAUAUCAAAUAACCAACUCAAACCUUAAUUGGAUCGGGAUCCCAUUGUAUAGCCCAAGACACAUCACCGAUAUCCCAACUAAGGGACAUAUAUAAUUUAAGGGCUUCCAACUAAGGUAAUCAAUUAGGGGUCAUAGGUGAAAAGUGAUGGUAUAUAUUCAACUAGAAUUCUCAGAGGUUUUCUAAGUUCAAAUCCGAUACGUACGAUCGCUCCGAAUUCUUGAAUAGCCCAGAUAUAAAGUCUUUUUAUUGUUAAAUAUUAUUAUUUUACUUAUUAAAUAAAAAAAAAUAUUUUAUUUGAGAUGUUUACUAGAUUAGAAAUAUCUUUUGAUUUAUACUAUUUUUAUUUAGAUUUCUUAAAGUGAUUGCAGGCUUAUACAUAAGAGUUUUCCCUUUAUAAAAUGGUCAACUUUUUUUUAGGAGCAUGUAACAUAUUAUCCGCUUCAUUCAUAAAGAAAAUGAACUAGCAUAGAAUAGUGAGACAAUCAAAUCUCGAAGGAGAGUGCCGAUCUAUAACUUUUUUUUCAAAAAAAAAACAUCAAAAUGGCCUUCAUUUGAAAAAUUUUCUAUAAAAAAUUGUUGCUUUUUAGUGGUCUCUCCGUUUGGUUAUAAGAAAAAUAAGUUUUUAUAAAAAAAAUUAUUUUUCAUAUUUUAUAAAAAACUAAUAUUUUUAUUUUUAAAAAAAAUUUAAAAAAAAUGAGUUUUUUAUGAAAUAUAAAAAAAUGUUUAAAAGUGGAAUUGAGCUUUUAUGCUUUUAAAAGUACAAGUUAUUGAUGCUUAUAAAUUUUUGGUCAUUGGAUUAAGGGAUGUGCAAUUAGAAUGAUGUGGGACUUUUAGGCAGCGUUUGGUUAGGGAAUAGGAAUAGGAAUAGGCCCUUAUGCCCCUUUAUACCCAAACGCUAAUUUUUUACACGAGAAUAGUAGUUCUCGGUUAUCCCCACUAACACCUUCAUUUUCUAUAUAAAACUAUCUAAAAUUGUUCUUAUUCCCGGGAACAACCCAAUUUUCAUCCAAACAUUAUUUUUCUUAUUCCCAUACUUGUACUUAUCCCUGUAAUAACUAGUUCUUGUUUAUACCCGAACCAAACGAUACCUUAGGAUAUUCAGGUUGGUUGAAUAGUAUGAUCUAGCGGGUGGAAAUGAUCAAAAGAGUAAAUCUAACGGUAAAAAUUUACAAGCAUCAAAUAUUUGGUGAUUUUACCAGCACUAUAGCCAGACUCUUUAAAAGUGAACGAGAUGGAUAAAAUUUUUUUUUAGGAAAAAUUCAAUCUUUGGACGAACCAAGCAACCCCUAAUUGCAAGUUCGCACCCAACCGAACCAUGCCCGCGCAUAGUGGUGGUCUUUUAGUCCACAACUCCAUGGGCCGCAAUUGCAUCCGAUCCAUUUCCAUCUCUAAACCCUGAAACAGCAGGCAAGCUCGUCGGGCCGCCUUCCCCAGCUCUCCUCGCCAGCCGCUCCCCCCUUUGCGUGCUAUCGGCGGCCGGCGGCAUGAACGGGAUGGCGCGGGGGCUGUCGUGGCUGGUCCGGCAGCGGGCGGAAGCCGUGCAGCAGCAGCAGCAGCAGUGGCAGCAGGCGCGGGGGAUUCGGGUGCAGGUGCGGAACGACAACCUGGAGCAGGCGCUGACGGUGAUGGAGCGGAAGAUGCGGGCCAGCGGCAUGGAGCGCCUCAUCCGCCGCCAGGUCGACCACCACCUCAAGAACUCCGAGAAGCGCGUCCUCGCCCGCAAGAACCUCAUGCUCCGCGUCCGAUCCCAGGACCUCGCCCGCAAGCUCCGCACCAUCCUCCUCAAGAAGAUCAGGUCCCCACGACUUUCUUUUUAAGAAGAAACAUCGAAAUUUUUGAUUCUACGAUCUUUGAGUGCUCUUUCUAGUUUAGAAUUUGUACGCACUGCUUAGUUUAGCAGGCUUGAUUUGAGUAUCUUAUAUGAUUCACGGCAAUUGUAUGACUGAAUUUAAAGUAAUUGAAAGAUUUGAGAAGUCGUAGCUGCUUCUGUCUCUUUCGAUGGUGCGAUGAGUCGAGAUGUGCUUUAUAAUUCGAUUUGCGGCGGCGCAGAAUUCGCUAUUGAUGAGCCAUUUUGUUACCAUAGAGGCCUGAGGACUACGUCUUUUGAGUCUAGCGUAUGCAUCGGUUAGGAGGCCAGUAACUAGGAUCAUCUCUUUCCGAUCAGCAAUGCUGCAUCUUGUUUGCUUUUUGGUUCUUAGAGGGUUUCGUCAUAGUUGGGUUCUUGUGUUGCAAUCCUCUCUUACUAGCAAACAAUGUGGAGAUUGUUCUCUAUUCCGGCUUGGAGGAAUAUAUGGGAUCCGUAACUUUUAAUUCUUAUGUCGGUGCCAGGUUUCCAUUUGUCAUUGCCUCCUAAGAACUUGUGUCACUAGUUAGGAUUAGUCAGACUAACUUCUUUGCCAAACGGCAUUGCUUACGAGGAGUAGAUGUUGGAGUUGUUUUACUUGGAAGAAAGGCUGACAAUUCUGGCUUUCUUGGAGUUAACUUCUUCAACAACGAAUAAUGACGCUAACAGAAUGCAAUAAGAAAACGUAAUAAUAUUGAAGUUGGUUGGUGGUUUUAUCCCUAUCAACCAACUCGAGAUUAUACUAAGUCGCUAACUGAUAGGGGCUGUUUACUCCAGUUUAUAUUAGCGGAUGGUAAGGUAUUCUGCUGAUAUGAGGUGUAUUAGAAUUCUGUUUCUUUAUUCUGAUUCUCCCAGAUUUCAACUAAAACAUAUGAAUAGAUGGUUAUCUUCUUACCGCAAUAUCUCUUUGUGUUACUACACUUAAUUUCUGGUCUGUGAAGCAUUCAAUUGGUUAUCUUCUUAAAUCCACGCAUUUAGUUAGGACCUCUCUCUUAUUUGCAAUUAAACUGAUUUAUAUCAUUCAUUGGCCGUAAUGCAGGGGUCAGUGAGAACAGUUCCUCUACUGAGAGUAAUGUUGGAGGGAAGCACUUUACGGCACUAGCGAAAAAGGGUAUUUCUUUUCCUUUCUUGUCUAAGCGUGCUGAUGCUUAAUUUGAUAAAUCCCUGUUUAAAGAAUACACUAAGAAUCUUAGGAAAAUGUUACUGAUAAGAUGUUCUUGAAUAUAUUCAGCAUGAUUUUCUUUGGGGACCUUUUGCUGCAUUUCGCAUUGCUUAUAGUUUUGGUUUUUUGUUUUUGCUUAUUUCUAUGUUGUUGCAUGAACCUGUAAAAAGACCACUUUAUAUUUGGACCUCUUCACAUGUUAGAUAAUGGAAUAUAAAAAAGAAAAGCUAAUAUGCUUUGUGCUUUAUUGUGAAUAUAAUAGGGUUUGCAAGUCGUGUUGCGAAAGCAAAAUUAAAGGAGAUCUUGCAAAGUACAUACAGCCUCGAAAAAAGAAUUGUGAAUAAAAGUCAAAGGGAAAAGUAUAAUGCCAAACACUUAAACUUGCACUUAAUUUUUGACUAAAAUAAAAUAUAUGAUUAAUAGAUCAUUUUAUUCUACCACUUAGCCCUUCUUUCUGUUAGCAUGGUAAGUUAACAGAGAGGGAAAAAAGUGUAAAACCAAUAUAUUAACCCCAAAAUUUUUAGGAAAUGCUUUUGCAUAAGCCACUUUAUCUAAGGGCAAGUUUUAUCUGUUUAUUUUCUUUGAAAGUAGAGCCUAAAAGGAAAUUUGAGAAAAAGGUGAGAUGAACACAAGCCUUUUGAUCUAACAAUAAAAAACCAUAAAAAUGAGCCGUACUUGACAAGCUAUUUCAUCUAACCAACCAUUAAGAUAAACCAAAAGACGGUUGUAUUCAAAUUCAGUAUCUGCAUAGACAAGGUACAUAUAAUUCUACUAAAUCCAAGAAAAACGUAAAACCCUUUUUAAGAGAACUUGGAUCAUCCUCAUUUAGAAACAUGUAUAUUAUUGUAGACAAGCAACAAAUCAAUAACUCUUAAUUAAAAAGGUCAUGCCACAUGGGUAAUUCAUCUUGCCAAAUGUUUUGGAAUCGAGAGCUAUACAGAAAAUGUUCCAAUUAAUCAUCUUCUUUCGUCCUCGUGUUUGUCGUAGUUCUUCAUAACAAUACUACGUAUCUGCAACUAAAGUGAAGGAAAAUAUUUGCUUAGGCCAUAAGGGAGGGAGUAAAAUUCUUCGCUUCUCGUGUCGGUGCUGUAAUAUCUAAAUUUCUCCCACCAAUGCCAACCGCUAUCUCUUCUAACCGAAGGUUCCCAAUAAAGGUGAGUCCAAUCCAGUAAAUAAGCAAUUAUAGCCGCGACUGUUGCAGGCGACGAGAAUAUCACAUUAACAACAUCAUUGAACUGCAACAAACAAAGGAUUAGAAGUUAAUAAAAAAGUAUUACUGAUGAAUAUUGAGAUAUUGGGGCAUGAUAAGAAAAAUACAUACCGAUCUCGAACGGGUAUGCACGGGGCCAAAACCGGCUUCAGUUUCAUACUCCCUAAAAUAUUGUGGGAUCGACAAGCCCAAGAACAAAGAAAUGCCGAUAAUAAACUUAUUCCUUAGACUAUUAAGAUUGCAGAACUGAAGGAGGCCAAUUCCUGCAGAAGCUGCAUAAAUAUACAAUGAAAGAAGUAAUCAGAGCCAAUAGAGUGAAAGAUUCAGGAAACUAUAGGACAAUUUGAACCUAGAUGCUUUCCAUACUUCCUAAUUUAAAACAACUACAGUAUCUGAUAUCAAAUAUCGAUACCUAUAAAUAUCACCUAAGGCAAGUUUGGUUCGAGUUAUAUAACAUUACAGAUUAUUUAGACAUAACCAGGUAUCAGAUAUUUCUGAAUCAAAUACUACUUAUGCUGCAUUACCGUAUUUGGUUUAAUAUAGUAAUAUAAUGCUGGAUUAUAGUAUAUAUAGAAUUAUUAUGUUUGGUUCAAUUUAUAAAAUUCAGUAAUCCCGACAGUAAAGUGUAGUGGGGAAGGGUUCGUGCGAAUAGAAAUAGGGAAAGAGAAGAGGAGAAAGAGAGAGAGAAAAAAUGAUGUAAUAAAAUUGUAAUUUUAUAGAACAUGCAAGAUUAUCUGCCAUUAAUAAUACGAGAUACCCUCCUUUAUUCUGUAAUACUACAUUACUUACAGACGGGAUGAACCAAAUGCAAUUAUCCUAGCAGGAUUAUCUGUAAUUUUGGCAUGGUAACCCGAACCAAACGCGCCCUAGAGUAUUUCAGGCUUCUAUUAUUAAUAUAAUACCAUUUAUUCGAAAAACAGUGCAGAACCAUUACCAAAAUGGACAAUAGCAUUUCUUGUUUGAGAAUGAGAAUGAUCUUGAUCUAGACAAGUAAAAAUAUGUCUAACAAAAGAAAACUAAAUAGGCUGAAUGAAAUUUUUGGGACUGUUCUAUGUGCUAAGGUCUUCAGAGUGGCUUAUCAUGUGUUUUAGAACUCAUUAAGGUUCGGCGAAACAAACAAAAUACAUAUCCAAGAAUAUCAAAGGUCGAAGCUAUGGUAAUUGAACAAGUUAAUAUGAUAAAUGAUAGAAAUAUGGUGAUUAAACAAAUAAAAGAUUUAAACAAAGAAUAUACCAGCAUAGGCAAAGAGGACGCAGUAGAGUGCGGCAACAAGCGGAAAUGGGAUAGAGGCAAGAACUGCCCCAAAUUUUGCUGUGAUAUUUUGAGAACUGUAUCAGAUUAUCAUGAAAUAUGCAAGAGAUAUCAAUACAAAAUAUUGUAUGUAUAGAAUAUCACCGAAAACUGAGAAGAAGAUCAUAAAACAGGCCGAAAUUUUAAUAACACGUCGACUUCCGACUCGUGUCAAAGCCAAUAAACCUGCAUUCUCACUGUUUAUAAAUUCACCAGUAAGAUAUCUUAAAUUUUAUCGUUAAGUUCAUAUUCUUUUUCACUUUGAGUAUUAUAGAAAGCAGAUUGUUUACACUGAUGCUGCUGAGCCAUUUGCAGUACCAAAAAUACCAUCCAACAAAAUAGCUAUUCCCUGAAAUUGUUGAAGUUAUAUGAGGCAAGAACUUCAUAAUAUAUAAAAAGUAACAGCAUAAGAUCGCUAACUGAUAAAUACCUGCCACCCGACUCCGCGGCUGCAAACGGAAGGUGGUAUAAAUGUCGCACUUGCGAAUCUCGAUGCAAUAAUAAAAGUGCCCGUCGACUGCAAAACAACAUAUAUACUUAAAAGAAAAGGAAAAAAAAAAAUCUAAUUCUUAAGACUUAAGAACAAAACAUAUCCAGAUUAUAGCAUAUGUAGGAGUCUAGGUUGAGAUGAGAGGUGGGGAUAUAUAAGGGGUAUUGAAUAGGGUUCAGCACUGUAGGUUCCAAACUGGAUCACUGAACUGAACAGAUUCAUUUCAGUAAUUCGAUUUGGUUUAAUCUUAUGGAUUGAGAACAUAAAAGAACAUGUUUAACUAACUUUUAUGAUGCUUAUCCAGGUUGUGGGCAUAAACACAGUGACGCUUUUUUCUGCAAACUGAAACUUGAAGGUUAUCUGUCGCAGAUAAAACUUGACAAUAGCCAAAAUCCUAAAGCUGUUGCAAUUAGUCUUGAAACCAACAUCUUAGAUUGUAUAUUAAACCAUUAGAUAUUUGAAUUUUUUUUCCUUAUAAUUUGUCGAUGAUUUUUAUUCAUAUAUUCUGUGAUCUCAGAUGUUCAGAGAAUAAGUUCCUAUUGAAUCAACAAGCUCAAACUACAAAUGGAUGAUUAAGAUACCAACUAAUAAAAGAACAAACAUACCAAACAACAAUGAGGAAAACACGGGCAACGAAAGCUGAUUACUAAACAUCUCAUAAUAAUUCUUAGCAAACUAUGCAAUUAAAGACAUGAUUUCAUAGAAGUAACAUUUGCUGACAUGAAGUCAACUGAAAAGAAAAAGAGCCAACACUCAACAUAUACAUUGCAUAAGGUUCUGAAGGAUCUGAUACAGUAAUAAGCAAGUGAAACUAACAAGAUCUUUCUACAUCAGUACCUCGAUAAGUGAUGCGAACGAAGCGGCCAUCAUGGCGAAAACAUCUCCCGCAUGAAAACGGGGACCUCCCCAUUGAAAUGGAUAAGGAACUCUAACCCUGCAACAAUUCGUCGAUGAAAUCUUAAUCCAAAAGAAGCAUCUCAAUAAGAAGUUAAAGCCAACGUUGAGAGUCUAUUAGUUGAUAUGACUAAUGAACAUGCAUAAGGACAUUCCUACUGAUAAGGUACAUUAGUUCCAUUUAGCAUUGAGUAGUUGCAGUGAAAUACCAAGGAGAGGCGUAAAUAAGUCCGGCGCGAUCGACACGGCAACUAAAUUGGGUCUCUGGAGGCCUAUCUCUGUACGCACCAGCAACCGUCAGAAUAAACGCGUAGAGCCACACGAUAGCCACGACGAUUAACAAGGCGAAUCGAUCGAAGAUCACUCUUCUUCUUGUAUAUGAAUGUGGAACAUACUGCACAAAAAUGAAAUUACUAGUCAAAAAAGAAAUGCUACAAAUACCCAAUUAUAGAAGUUAUAAAUAAGGUGGCUUCUGAGUUAAGUUGUCUGAGUAGAGUUUACCAGAGAGAAUAUGACUAGAAGAACAAGUGCUGGUAGCCCAAUUUCUACACAUUUAGCCAGCUGCAGGAAAAAGGAACAAGCACAAUAAAGCAAUUAAUAAUAAAAAAAAUUGACAAUGAUCUAAUGAUGUGUUUGGCUUGCUUCUGCUUCUGCUCUCAGCUCUCUUCAGCAGCAAAAUGGAGUUUCUAAAUCUCGAAAAGAAUUUUUACUUAGAUAGUACUUUAUAAAAUUACACUGUAUUAUAGUAAUCGUAAUUACUUACUUCAGGGAAUGCAAUAUAGUAAAGUCCAAGAGCUGAUAAGGUCACAAAGGGAACUGCGGCGAGGGGGCUAAGAAACCUAUUCAAUUCAAAAAAAAAAAAGAAGAAAAAUUAGAAAUGCAUUUUUGGAAAUAAAGUAAUGCAAAAAUCCAAUUGCAAAUAAUGAAAAAGGGAAAUUAAGAAAGAAAAGAGAAACACAACAACCUAACAAAAAUUCUCCAGAGGCCAAAGUACCCAACAACUAUCUGAAAAACGGAGGAUAAAAUAAGAGCCCCUUGUAUGGAUCUCAUGGUGAGCACAAACCUCUGUUAAUUCACCCAAAAAAUAGCCAAAAAAAUAAUAAUAAUCAAUCCCACGAACUCCGAAAGGAGAAAAAGAUAGUAACUCUUUUUGUCGGACAUACAGAAUUAGAUUGAAUAGAAUAAGACGAAAAAGUUGAAACACAAUCAUUCUUUUUCAAACCCCGUCCUCGAAACUCGGCCCCGAUGCUUUGAGAUCCGUGCGGAGGGGGGAUCGGUAGAUGCGGGACGGGUCCUGGCGCCAGUUUGGCCCGGGACCCGUUUCGGCCGGUUUUCUUACGGGCUCGUGUUUAACUUCCUAUCCUAUCCAAUUCAAUUCUGGAUGCGCGAACAGAACAGUUUGGUUCGCGGAGCAGUAAAAACAUAAUCUGGGGUUCAAAGCGCGGGCAGAACAAAGAAGACCUCAUAAGGGUCGAUUAUGUAGGCGUAGCGUCUGCUGAGUAUGAUGGAGAUGGUGGGGAGGAGGUAAGUGUAGGAGCCCCCGAUCACAACGGGGAGCCGCGUCCCGAAGUGAACCUGCAACAGAGUGUUGAUCCCAGCCACGAAGAGCAGCGUCUGAAUCACCCUCGCCUUCUCCUCCUACACACACCAUCAACAUUACAAAAACAAUACAUUAAAAACAUUGGCAAGGGUGAGAACCGGUAGUGUUUAGAUGUCUCACGUUUUAAUGCAGCAUAAGUGGAAAAUGAGAUUCUGAUCACCUUAUAGCAACAUCCUUACUCUAGUACUUUAUAUUGAUUUGAAAAAUACCAUAUUAUUCAAAAAAUUGAUCUGAUAAACAAUAAUUUAGAAAGGGGUCUAAGACGAAGAAGAGAUCGCUCACAUGUCUGCCGCCCAUUAGGGGGACUAGAAUGGUGGGUAUGAUAACUGUAGUGCCCAGCAUCACCAAGUAGUGUUGGAAGCCCAGAAGCAUAGCUUCCGCUGAAAAAUUCAAAAAAAAAGAUUAAAAAAAAUACAAAAACACAAGUGCAUUAGCCGUGAGAAUGUACCUAAAAAGAUCGAUUUAAUAUAAAACAGUUGAAAAAAAAAAUGUAGUUAUAGUAUAUCAUGUUCACGUGCAUAUUAUAUAUUGUGCAUACGGAAAAAAUAUGAUAGAAAAUGAUUCAGAAAUAACCCCAUGGCGGAGGGCUAGUGAGGCAGUAGUCGAUCCCCGGCAACUGCUCCUUCACGGCGAACGGCACGAGCUCCUCCGCCUUCGGCCCCGGCGACAUCUCUCUCUCUCUCUCUCUCUCUCGUGUUGUGAGGGGAGAGGAUGUGUUUAGAGAGAAAGAUAGAGAGGGGGGGAGUGAUAUAAAGGAGGGAGUGUGAGAGGGGAGAGGAAACGCACGAACGCGCGCUUUUGGUUUUGCGUUGUAGUUGGUGUCGUUCGGCCUCCCCCGGAAAACCUUCGGUACAAAUGUACGGAGACCCCUCAACUAUAUGUUCUUUUGAAAUAUCCCCCUCUUAUUUUAUUUUAUUUUAUUUUUUUAAUUGAGACUUUCGCAACUUCUUAACUCUUUCUUUUUUUUUUUUUUUAUUAUACGAGUUGCCAGUAUCGUGCAUAAUGUAUACCGGUUAUUAUUCGUUAAUUGAUCUGAUUUUUAUUUACAAAAAAAAAAUUAAAGUUAUUAGAUUCGAUAAAAUUUUUUUUUGCAUAAUUUUAAAAUAAAUUUGAGAGAGAAAAAUAGCAUGCUAUCCGACUUUCUUAUUUUUUUAAGAAAUAAACUAAUAUGAAAACGUGAAACAAUUAAGUUUCGAAUCUGGAUCUCGGGUACCAAUCACCAAAUUCUUUACUGUUUGCACUAGAGGUGGUCGGUUUUCAAAGAUAAAAGUUGACGGGUUGUUUCAAAAUGGCAUAUAGUUGAGGGGGUCCUUGUACAUUUUUACCUAUUUAAAACUAUGUCCAUUGAAAAAAUAAGAAGAUAAUUAGAUAAUUGUGAUUGGACCUCCUCAGUUAUUGGCUAUACCGGUGUGGGCUCCUCAACUUAAUAAUUUCUUUUUUGAAUUAUUCUAGUGUGCUAAGUUAAAAUUAUUAUUAUCUAUAACUUAUUAAUAAUUUUAAUAUUAUUUUCUAUAAAUCAAUUAAACAAUCAAACUAAAUAAAUUUACAAAAUAAGUUAGAUGAAUUUUUUAAAUUAAACCAAGUAAAAUCACUCAAUCUCCAAAAAAAAAAAAAAAACUCAAAAAAUUCAAACAAUGCCAAUAGUAAAACUAAAUUUGAAGGGGCUAUUUCAGAGAACUCUGUAGUGAAGGGGGUCUCGGUACAAUUUUAUCUAAAUUAAAUUGAUAAGGAUAAAAUAUGCAAAUAUAGUAAGUUCAUAUAAAAGUCUCCCUAACAUUUUAUAUGGUCUAAUUUUCCAAAUUUCAAAUAGUGCGUGACAUUAAUGACAUGAGAGUGCAUUUGUCUUAGCAUCUAUGUCUUGGUGUUUAGAUAUGGAAAAGUGGAAUACUCAAAAAGAAAAAAAAAAUUUAAAAUACAUAAAAUUCUUAUAUAAAUAUUCUUUUUUAAAAAAAAUUUUAUGACUUUAAAAAUCUAUGUCUUAUCUCUUCAAAAAUUUAAGUCAAUACAUUUAGACUCCCUCCCUCAGGAUUUCAACACUAUUUCAUCUGUUUUUUUAUAAUUUAUAUCAAAAAUAUCUUUAAAAAUAACAUAAAUAUAUGAAAAAAUAAUUUUUUUAUAAAAUAAGGAAGAACAAUUUGAUUAUUUCGCCUUCUUCAUUGACACGGUAAUUUUCUGAAAAUACUUUUAGACAAAAUAUAGGGAAAAAAAUAGUAAAAAAUAGAUAUUUAUAAUUUUUUUUUUUUUAUAUUUUAGUCAAAAGAAUGAAAGAAAAAGUGUAGAAAAAGUAGAGACUAGACAUGAGUCUGUUUUAUUAGAUGAGAGUUGGUUAGCUAGAAAUUGAAGGAUAGGCACACCCAACUCUACUUACCUGAUCUUUUUAAGUUCAUGUGUGAUGUGGACAUGUUACACUCACAAGUCACAAGAGGGUUUUAGUUUGUAGCUUUCAUGAGCCCCAGAUUUGGUGAAAUUGUUGCCUGGACCUCGUGCACCAUGCACCAGUAUUCCCCAAGUUCUAAUGUGGAAGCUUAAAAUUAUUGGAUGUGAUAUGCAACACCUAUAAAAGAUUUCGAUACUAGAAUAUUUUAUAUUAUUUUGAAAGCUUUUUUUUAUGAUGUGAACUAUGCUAGCUCUGUUAAUAUCGUUAAAAGUUUUGAGACUACUUGUUAAGCUAUUAAUACCAUAAAUAGUAGGGCGAGAAAUCUAUGAGUCGCGGGUUUGAAUUUUAAGUAUGUUUUGGGUAGAAAUAUAGGUGGCCAAGCUGGGGAAGCAAAUGAAUCCAAAUUGAUGGAGCAUUCGUCCCAAUCCACCCCGAAUAGGACGGUAAGUGGUAACAAUAAUAUAGAAAAUUACAACCUGACCAAAAUCUGUCCCAAUCCGCUAAAUAAAUAAAGAGGGAGGUUGGAGACUCUUUUUUUUCUUUUUCUUUUCUUUUUUUUUUUUCUGAUCCGUCUUGAUCCGUUCAGAAUCGAUCAAAAAUUCGCUCCCGUCCUGAUCUGCUCCACAUAAAGCGAAAAGUAGAAGUCAAAAAUAGUAUAAAAAUUAACAUGCUCUGAAUCCGUCAUGACAAAACAUGUAAUGGGGUUAGAGGAGAGGGACUCCUUCCAUUCCAAGAUCUGUCCCAUUUGUAUUUCUAAACUAAGCUGCGUUUAUGCUUUUAAAAGUACUAAGUCAUUGGUGUUUGUAGGUUUUCAAUUCUUAGAUUAAGGGAUGUGUGGUUAGGAUGAUGUGGACUCUCUAGGGUUGAGUGAGUGGUUGGUUGAAUAGUAUAAUCUAACGGGUAAAAAUAAUCAAAGACGUAGAUCUACCGGUAAAAAAUUUAUAAUCACCAAGUGCUUGGUGCUUUUACAAGCACCAUAGCCGGACUCCAUAUGUGUGUGUGUGUGUGGCGCGCACGCCCGUGCGUGUGCGUGUGCGUGUUCGUGUGCGUGUGUGUAGGAGGGAGGGAGAGAAAAAGAGAUUAAUAGAGAUUAAUUUGAGACUAUUUCGUGUAUAGAUAAAAAAAAAAAAAAUUCAAGAUUUCUAUUAUUCUAACGUGAAGCAUUUAGAGAUUAUGGAUCUUAUUCAAUUUUUAGUAGGAGAAUUUGAGGCCUCUAUAGUAAAAAUUAAGGAAAACUUUAAAUACCCUCCUUGUGGGUUCACUUUUUCUCACUUUAGUAUCCUGUGGUUUAAAGUGUAUCAAGCUAGUACCCUGUGGCAUGUGGUUUAAAGUUUAUCAAGUUCGUAUCCUAUGGUUUCUCACUUUCUCACUUUAGUACCCUGUAGUUUAAUAUUUUAUUAAGAGAAAAAUAAAAUCAUAGAAUACUAACUUGAUACAAAAAUAAAACCACAGGAUACUAAUUUGAUAUAAAAAUAAAAUCACAGAGUACUAACUUGAUACACUUUAAACCACAGAGUACUAAAGUGAGAAAGUGUGAAACCGCAGGGUACUAACUUGAUACACUUUAAAUCACAGGGUAUUAAAAUGAAAAAGUGCGAAACCACAUAGAGGGUUUUUUGAAGUUUUCCCUAAAAAUUAUAAGCUGUAGUUCUUAGCAAAGAUGGUGGAUCAGGUCCAGCCAAUAAUUCUUGACAUGAUUAGGUCAAAUGGUCGAGUCUUGACCCUCGCACGUGCGACUCUUUCUUUUCUCGGAAUGUCGUGAUCAUACACCAACUUCAGCACCAAUUGGUUAGGAAGUUCCUUCUCUCACCCUUUGGCCUAGAUAUUUUAAAAAUAAUUUUUACAUAAUUAAUUUUAAUUUAAAAAUAUAAUUUUUAUUAAAAAUUAUAGAGCGUUUGUCAAAAUCUGAUAGAAAACUCAUUUUAAAAAUCUGUAUGGUAAAUUUAUAUAAUUUUUUUGCUAUCUUAGUGAUUAUUCAAUAUGGAUUGAUUCAUACAUUAAUUUCUGAUAUAGACGUCUCAAAUUACGAUCCUUAUAAUCAAGUUUUCAAUGUAUACCCAAGAUAUUGCCUCCCUCCAUAGUUCAACGUAUUUUCACAAGGAUCUGCUUAAUAAGGUAUUGAGAUGUAUUAGCAUACAUAAUAUAAAGUUUUUUUUUAAUAGCUCAUUACACAAAUGUACGAGAAGGAUUGUAGAAAUUAUCAAUACAUCAAGGCUAACAUCUUAGCUUUUUUCUUCUAGACUAGAAGUACAAAAUCUUGUAUGUUUGAAUGUAUAAAUCCACAUAGAUAUGCUAGAAAAUUACGUAGAUACUUAAAUGCUUAAUUGUUCAUACAGGUACAGGGACAAAUAGAUCAUCUCUCAUUAUAUAUUCAUGGAGCUACAACCCACCAUUUCCCGUACGAAUAAUGCCACAGUAAACCAACCGUCUUUAGAGCAAGUGGCAAAGGGCUUGGUGGUUGGUACCCGAGACCCAAGUUCGAAUCCUAGUUGAUUUAUAUUUCUAGCUAAGUUUAUUUCUAAAUGAAAUAAACGAAGCAGGUAGCGUGCUACCUAUAUCUCAAAUAAUAAUAAUAAUAAUAAUGCCACAGUAAAUAAAAUGCAUGGUAACUAAAGUGACUGGGGCUUUCCAAUGCAAUAUGGAGUCCAGUAUCUGGUGAUCUGCAUUAGUCUUUUAGUAGUGUAGUUUCCAUCAUUCAGAUUUUGCUCGAUCUCAUCUACUCCUACUAAGAGUGUGCAUGCAACAUGAAUCUUUGCAUAGGUGGGUCCAUUGUGUCUGACUAUAUGUUGUAAUUGAAUGACCAGAAAAACAGAAAAAUUGAAAAAAAAAAAAUAGUAAUCUGUAAUGGACAUAACAUAAUUUUCAUCUUGUAAAUUUCCUAUCGCAUCCAUAAUAAGUUGGGGUUAUUUUCAUUCCAAAUUUUAGUGUCAACAAAAUCACUAGAACUCCGCUGGUAAGGCAUGGGACAGGGCUUGGGAAGGUAUUGUGCUCCACUCCUCGUUAGAAAGAUCUUAGAGAGUUCUGAUUGAUCACAAGCACUAACAAACUAUUUAGUGAAGCUUUAUUUUAACCGUACAUUUCACUUAAAAGAAAAUAUCUGACUAACUGGAUCGUGAAUUUAGUAUAAUUACUAAAGCGAUAACAGAAUGAUAACGUGAGAUGUACAGUUUGUGAAACAACCAUUGUACUCUAAAAGUUUAACCUAUUAGAGAACGAUGUUUAAACAUUUUUAUAUUUAACACUCUCCCUCACGUCUGGACUCGAAACUUUUUUUAAUCGGCCCAUGACGUGGGCUUGAAUUAAAUGGAAGAAAAUUAAUAUGCUAGGAGUUUGGCGUGACUCGAACUCAGGAUCUCCUGCUCUGAUACCAUGUGAAACAACCGUUGUACUCUAAAAACUUAAGUUAUUAGAGAACGGUGUUUAAACAUUUUUAUAUUUAACACAGUUACAAUGAAGCCUUUAUGGAGUAGUUUUUUAGUGCAAUCUAAAUCUGACCCAAACUCGACUCUCGUGUAGGGAUGUUGGCUAUCGAACAAUCUCCACACCGUUGAUUAAAUUAAUUGCACAUUUUAAGCUAAUGUUAACAAACUUCAAUAUAAUUUUCUUAUUGAGAUUGUAGUAGGUUGAGAAAAAAGAAACCAGUUAAGAACAAUUCAUGAGAAAUAAAGAAUAAUUUAAAUCCAAGUUAGCAAAUAUCUAUUUUCCUGGUAGAAGUUGAGAAAGUAAUGCCCACAUCAGGGAUAGUCCUGCUGAGCUGUUUGAGCAGUACUUGACCUGUCUAGAUCUUCUGAUAUCACUGUUGGAGAAUAAAAAUUGUGGUAUAGUACUUGUAUAUCUAUUAAUUAAGGGCAUUUACUUUGAUAGUGAAGGAGAAUCAAAUUAAUUAUCCCCACUUCACAGCAAGGAAAAUGCUGUAUAUGCACCCUUUAUAGAAGAAAAUUUUUUAAAAUGUUUUGGUCACAUAUGCUAUGUGGCAUGGCCCAAUCAAUCACAAUUGAUCUCUAUGAUUUACCCAUCCCAUCAUAAUUUAUAAAAAAUUAUUUUUAUUGUACUUUUCUCUCAAAUAGAGACAUUGAUUAGCUGCACAUUUUUUAUGUGGUAUGACUGCUACACAGAAGACUUUUUUCUUAUAGAAAAUGUACAUUUUGCACUCUUGAUUUAAGAGUUGAUAAACCUUUUUAGAGUCUUAGUUUUUUUUAAAAAAAAUUUAAUUAGACAAUUGUAUUGACAAGGGUCACAAGUUGCCUAGGGUAUAAAAUUUACAUGUUAUAAGUAGGGUGUAUAGGUAGUAUUGCUCCUAUAGCCAUUAAAUUUUAAUUUAUCAUAAUCUCUAACUCUCACUUUCUUAAUUGUUACUCCAAUUUAGUUGAUUUGAUACUAAUAUUUUGCCAAUACAGCAGUGAUGUGGCAUUUUAGUAAUUGUAACUUUAUCGAUUGCCCCAGUUCCACAUUAACGAUUCAUCACUGUUUAACCAACUAAAUUAGACUAUAGGACUUGUUUAUAGAAAUUUAAAAAGUUCGAGCAAGAAAGUAUAAUAAAUUAAAGUUUAAAAACCAAAAGUGUCACACAUCAGUCUGAGUACCAAAAGUGCAAUUUAGGCUUAUUUUAUCAGUAAUAUAUCUAGUUUAUAAGAGCAUAAAAGUGAUUCCAAAAGUAAUACCACAUAACCAUUAAUCUUUUUCAAUAUUUAACACGGGUCGCAAAACAAAGUUACAACCUCAAUUAAUAGUGGACUAACUAAAAGUCAAAUCCACGCUUUCCACCUCUCAUGAGUCACAGGUUAUUAUUGGAUAAUUUAUUCUAAAAUAGGAUCCAAGUAAAUUUACUUAUUUCCACAUAAAUGAAUACAUAAUCAAUCUUUUUUUUUUUUGAGAGAGAAACGUAGCAUACUAUUUGCUUCGUUUUGCUUCUUUUUUUUUUUUUGAAAAUAAACUUAGCUGAAAAUGUGAAGCAAUUAAGUUUCAAACUUAGGAUCUCGAAUAUUAACCAUCAAAUCUUUUGCCACUUGCGCUAGGGAUGUUUGGUAUCAACCUAUAAUUUUUAAUAGAUCCAGGUUCAAUUAAUAUGACAACUUAGUGCAAAAUAUGAGUCUAUUGCCUACUUACUAGUAAUUACUAAGUAGAGAGGGAGAGAGAGAGAGAGAGAGAGAAAAGGGAAAAGCUUUGGAUAGGAUAAAGUUAGGUGAGAGUAGAAGAGAGCUUUUGAAAAAGCUUCAACAGGAAUCUUAGAAGAGGUAGUUGAUGUAAGUUGCAGCAACCAUGAGAAUGUAAUAACCAAUUAAUGGAAAAGUAAAGGUGGAUUGGUUAUUAUGGAAGGCACAACUCAUCUACUUGUGUCCAAAAUGUGGGUUAGUGUUUUUUAUGGAUUGGAAGAUUGGUUGUUGGGAGAAUUAGGUGAUCUUUUAAGUCAUUGGACAACAGAAUUUUUUUAUUUAUAUUUGGUAAUGGUAGUAUCAGAGUUAAUUUGGUGUUUUUCACAGAAAAUAAAGUUUGAAGAUAUCUAUACACCAUUGUGUAAGUUAUACUAAAAGACAUUUGAGAUGCAUUUCGUCAUAGAUGAGCAAUAAUAUGCACUCAAUGUGCUCCGUGUGCAUGCUUAAUGUGCACACUAAAACUCUUUAUUGCUGAAAUGAAAAGAAUUACAAUAAUUGCUAGGGAGCCACAAAUAAUUCGGUUUGGAUUUUUCGCCGGGACUUGAGCUUCUAACGAAUACUACGUUCAGCAGCUUGGUUUGGACCGAACUUAGAACUGCUAAAAAUAGUCACCUUUUUCGCUCGAAUUAGAGUGCACCGAAUAUUUGAGAUUUCGACUAAACAUUGAAAGGCUCUAGUGAAGAAAUAAUAGCUAUUGCUAAAAAUUCUUGAACUACUUACUAACUAAAGCAACCGAAAACUAAAACGAUCGAAUUGGAUUUUUAAAAAUAUUUGAAAAAUGGUCAUUUCAUUCAUCUCACUCGAGAUAUUUAUAUUCCCUCCAAUCCGACUCCCAGACCACGAAAAUCUUAGCAAAAUUUCGUAAUCUCUUAUUGUAGUUAUCUCUUUUCAAAUUGUAUUCUCUUUCUUUCUAUGCAAGGAAGAGUUUUUUAAAAUGCUAAAUAGUGUGGAGUUUCUAACAUAAUGUUGUUCAAAUCACAUUCAUUCGUCUUCUUCUUUUUCUUUUUCUUUUUUUUUUUUUUUUACUUGUGUUGAAAUUUUUGUUACCUUAUUAAGUAUUUUGAAGGGAAAGAAAAACUAAAAGUUUUAGCUAUAAAUAGAAAAACUGGAAAAAGGAAUAUAGCUUCUCAACACAUGAUAUCUAAUUUUCACUACUACACAGGCAUGAGCAGUUCUAAGAUUGUGAACUCGAACGCUAGGCCCAAAUAUUUAGCCCAAAUAUUAAAGCCAAUUGGCCCACAAAAGGCCGUCGAUUCAGCUCAACAUGCACUAAAAUGGGCAUUGUAAAGAAUGAAACUUAGGGCGCGAUUGUUUCGAAGUAAGCGGGAGCCAGAUUUUUGAUCAAAUGGGAUUGCAUCACGGCUGUGAUACAUACCAGACGUGUUGAGACGUUUCGGACUCAUGUAUAGUCAGAGGUGGUGACUUCGUCUCUCUUCCUCGCAAUGUCACGAUCUGAUCAACCAAACAAUGAAGAUGAUGCGAGGAUGCAAAUGGGUCGGACCAACAGAUAUUAACCAGCAAAUCCUUUAUUACUUGCGCCAAGGGCUGUUGGUCUGCCUAGUAUAGUUAUAAACUUUAAAAAAUUGACAUAGAAAAGAUCGAAGACUAAAACUAGGGUUCUGUCGGGACGAAGCCCAAUCAGCCCGUUUUUUGUGCUUGCAUAUCGAAAUUUUCGUCUAGUCGAAUAAUUUCCAACCCUAUCGGGCUCAUCGAGUCCAAUCCAGGCCACCGAUUUUGCCAGGGCCAUGUAUCGUCCUUGGGCCUUACCCUGUGUCCUAAUAACUUACCAUGUUUUGUAGAUAUUUUCUUAUGCAGUUGCAAUUUACUGGUAUGCUUUUAGCCAUUUCAAGUUCCUGACAACUGAGACUGACUGUCCCUAGAGCAAGUGGCAAAAGACUUGGUGGUUGGUACUCGAGACCCAAGUUCGAAUUCUAGUUGAUUCACAUUUUCAGCUAAGUUUAUUUCUAAAUAANGGAUUCUAAUACAAUCUUAUAUCCUAAUUGCACUAAUAAAGAUCCACUAAUCAGGUUCCGUCGGAUUUCAGGGGAAUGCUGCACAUUGUGAAGGAUUAACGUCUUUCCUGAAGUUAACUUCAGCUUGACUGUUCCGAUCCCCAACACAUUGACAGCUUUUCCAUCUCCAACAGUCACACAUCCUCCACUUGUGUCCUGAUAAGAGGAAAAUAGGGAUCUAUUAGUGCAAACAUGGACAUUGGUUCCAGAAUCUAAUCACCAAUCUAAAUCAUAAUAGGUAAGGUUAACACUAGGUACAAAAGAGACUGACCUAAAAGUGGAGUUGGAAGGUUCACCCUUAAUCAUGUUGACCUGAGGUUUAGGAUAGUUGUUCUGAUUGUCUUGGCCCUUCUUGUAGACAACCUUCUUUUUCUUCCGAUAAAAACAUUUUGAGGCAAAAUGGUUGUCACGGCCACAUACAUAACAGAAACCAUCAUUCUUCUUAUUCCCACUAGGUUGGUUGGUAUUGGGUUUCUGGGUAUAGUUCCGAUUUCGAUUAGGGUUCCUACCUUUAAAGCCUUUACCCUUAGGUUUAAAAUUUUUACCUUUGGGUUUAGGCUCAUGGCUCUGGUUCGGAAUCUCGGUCAGGUUUAUGUUUGAUCGGUUGUUGGACGGUUUAAUCUCUCUAAGUCGGUAUUGGUCUUCUAUUCUAAUGGCUUGGAUUACCGAUCUAAGUUUAAGAGUUUCCUGGGUUCGUCUAAGAUCUUAGGCAAAUUUGGUCCAGAAAGGGGGUAAUUUAUCCAAUAAACAGGUUGCCUGAUAGGUUUCAUCUAGGGUUGAUCCAUUCCUAUGAAUCUCUUGGACAAAAUUCUGAAAUUGGUGAAUUUGAUCGUUUAUAGGAAUGUUGUCUACCAUUCUAAAAUUGUUAAAAUCGGUAAUGGUAAAUCUGGCGACACCUUCAUUAUCUCUAAUGUAGGCAUCUUCUAAGGCAAGCUAUAAAUCUUUGGCAGUUUGAUAUUUCCUAUAAGUUUCAUAAAGUUCGUCAGAUAGGCAGUUAAGUAUUCUAAACCUACAGUGAAAUUCAAUUUCCUCGGGAGAUUUGUCAGUUUUAAGUUCUGUAACUGAGGUGGUUGUAGAAUCAGAUGGAGGAGUUUCAAUAGGUGGAUCAGAAGAAUUUUUAGAAGUAGGAUAAGGAGGUGUUUUUCCAAUUGCAGUUAUGAGGCCUAAGGUGGUAAGCCAAGCCUCUAACUGUUCUUGCCACCUCAAAAAUUCUACCCUUUUAAAUUUUUUUGGUUUAAGGCUAGAAGUGUCAUCGAAAGCCAUUCUAAACAAUCUAGUUGAGGGAAUAAAGAAAUCAAGGAUGAUAAAAAUAAACUGCAAAAAAGGUUCAAAAACCCUUUUUAGAAAAAUAAACAUAUUGUUAAGGUUUCUACCCUAGUCAACCAGAAUAUUUUAGGGUUUAAGUGUUUAAAUUUAAUCUCUUAUGAAAGUUCGUUCAGCAGCAAACAGAUGGCCCAAACAAUUUAAAUAAUUGAUUUCAAUUAACUAAUUUUAAACAGAUAAUAUAUGCAAUGAGAUAAUAUUUAUACAGCAAAUAGAGUUAAGAAACUACUGCAAUAAUAAAAGAAUAGAAAGUAAAAGUGGUAGUGCUGGUUAGAGGGAGUAGUGUUUGAAGAUGCCAUUUAGGCCAAUCGUGGGUUCAAAUCCCAAUUGAAAUAGUUUUUCAAAAAUAUUGUAGCAAUUUUUUCUUUCUAUUUUUUUUUUCCAAACAAAAUUUUACAGUAGCAAAACCAAAACAGUAAAAUAUAUAUGUUUUUUUUUUCCCGAAAAACAGUAUAAAUUAAAAUUAAACUUUUGAAAAGAACCGCACACUUUAAAUAAAUUUACUGUAGCAAACCUUUUUUUUUUAAUUACCAAAGAUUUUAUAGUAGCAAAUUAAAACCUCCGUAUACAAGAGAGCUAAAAAAAAUACUGUAACAAUUUUUUUUUUAACUUUAACGAAAUAGUUUUACUGUAGCAAAACUAAAACCUUAAAUUUUCUGUUGUAGACAAUUUUUUUUUUAGUAACAGUAGAAGACAAAUAAAAAUUGCAAGCAAACUAUAUGCAAUUAGAUUUUAAAAAAUGCUAAUCCCAACUUAAAUUAAUUUUNGUUCAUCACAAUUGUGAUCUUACAAAAUAAUGUAUUUUAUAUCUAUAAAGUAAAAUUUUUAUUCUAAAGAAAAAGACUUAGAUGCUACACAAGUUAUCUCGCAGGCUCUUCAUCGACCAAAUACUGUAUUAUUCUUAAAGUAAAUAAAAAAGAGGCAUCGAGUAAGAUUCUCAUGCAUCAACUUGUCCAUCUAACUACUUCGAGUAAUCGGCUCAUGCUUUUGAAAUAAUCAGCUAUUUCAUUGUGGGUCCCAUGAACUCAACUUUGCCCCCGCCAAACAUGAAGGUCCGUUUGUUUUGGUGUAAGUCAAAAAUAUAAUGUAACUUAAGUUAUGUUAGACCUCCACUUUAUCUACUUUCGACUUUCUCUGCCGAACUCGACUUCCGCCACACUCAACCUCCUCUAAAAAAUUUAUUAAAUAGUGAAACUUAAACUUUAUUUCCUUUAUAAUGGAUUAGAAUUACCUUAUUUAUAAUAAAUUAAAAUUAUAAAAAAUGUAAUUAUAUAAAGGUUAAAGUUUAUAACAGUAAAUUUACCACUAUAUUUAGGAGAUAACGGGAUUCACUUACUUAUAUCAAAACAAACAACAGAACUUAAAAAACUAAUUUUACCAAUACCAAGUUGCAUCAAAACAAACAGAAUUAGUUGAAUUUAACUUUCAAACUGUACAAGUUACGUUAAAACAAACAACAAAAAAAUAAUCACACUUUAGGAAAACUCAAAUACCAUUGCAUUUGACUUACGUUGGAUCUAUAGAUUUGUCAAUCCAAACGCCCCGAAGUUGAAAACGGGCACUGGACAGGAACUCCGCACUCCCUCUCACGCUCCAUACAAUAGGAAAAUGGUUUUGUCGAAUCCGCGAGCAUCAAUGGAAUGCUCCGCUGUCCAAUUUUCUGAUGAGUUCCAUCCGCGAGUUAUGUGCAACCGAACACUCUCUAACCAGGGGCGGAGCCAUCGUAAGGCUCGCAGUCUCAGUGGCUUAUGGCUCUCCUAACUUUUAAAAAUUACAUAUUGGUCCUUUAUAAUAAAAAUUAAAAUAUUACAAAUUUUAGUUUUAAUUUAUUUUAAUAAAACAUGUGUCUCAAUAGUCCUUUUCUUUCAGCUUUUAUAGUCUUGCUUUUUUUUAAAUACAUUAUUGUUGAGGAAAACCCGCAACGAAUAAUCCGAUUGUGACAAAAUCUAACUAAUUUAGUGAUAAAAUUAAUAACAUUAACUUACCAGUAAUCGCUAAAUUCUAAAAAAAUAAAUUGUGGAAGUAGAAUGCCAAAUUAAUUUGAUCCGGAAGCGUGCGAAGCACUGCCCUAAGGCGUAUUCCCGUCCUUCGUGUGGGAUUAACCGGAAACACCGCCCCAAGGUGCGACCGGAACUCCUUCUCCUACGAGCACGAUCGCGGAAGAGGUUGACGGAGACUCUUUCAACACUCGGUGAAAAAUAAUAAAAUGAAAGAAAAUAACAAAUGAUUCUCAAAUAGUAUUCCUUCUCACUGUUAUCUAUGUUUCCAAAGUGUUCACCUCAUAUGUAUAUAUAUAUAUAUGUCCUGUCCAAUACUAUGGACGAGGUAAUAAAAUAUAAAGGGUUAAAGUAUGGAACGUUAGAGCCCACAACGUUCCAACGCACUAAUUAAGGUCUUAAUUAGUGGAACGGAUCUGCGCACGAUCCCCCCCUCGCGCGGAGCGGCCGUAGUUGAUGCGGUCGUUUCGCUAAUUGAUAAUUAAAAGUUAAUAAAAAAAAUUAAAUAAAUAAAAUUUUGGAUUUUCUCCAACAAUUAUAACUGCUGUGCUAGCAAUAGAUGGCUAGUAAACAUGACAAACUCUUUUUCUUAUUAUUCGAUGCCGAAUUUUUUUUUUAUAUCAAACCUAAAAUUUUGGCUUCCCCUUUCCCAACUUUAAUUUUUGACUUCGUCCCUGUCUCUCUGACCCACCGAUGCCAAAAUCAAAUAAACACCGAAAGGUGAAAGAGGAGCCUCGAACCACCAGCUUUAUGGCCAUUACUAACAAAUGAAAUUAGAAAAAGAUUGAUGCCACAGUUUUAGUUGAGAGUUGGCGCUUCCCCCUAUCAAUUAAUGUGUAAAAAAAAAAAAAUGUAUGAAUAGUCCCUGUUCUAUCCCGACAUUGUAACUUGGUUUCUCUACUUUUUAAUUGUACUAUUUAAUUUUCAAAUAUUAGGGGCGAUUUCAAACAUACUCCACUAAAAUUUAAAAGUUUACUCGUAUGCACUUUUAAAGUCUAAAAUAUCAGUUAAAUCCUUCACACAUCUAUUAUCAACUUCUAUUAGUAAACAAUUAAUAAGCUUGUCCGAGUUAAAAGUGAGUUAAAUAUUAGUUAAGUUAGUAAAAUGAUGAUUCUACCCUCGUCUAUUACUUAUAUGGGACAAUAUAUUUAUACAUAUUUUUUUAUUUAGAAUAUAGUAUUUAGUUUUAUACUUUAUAGUAUGAUAUUUUUUUAAAAAAAAACAAUUUCUUAUUAAGUAUGUGAUCUAUGACUUUUAUUUUAUUAUUUUUUUAUUUAGAAAAAUUUCUUGAUACUAAGUUUACUAAUUUUACUACGUUUUUAGCUUAUUACCGGGGGUACAAAUUAAAUUUUAAAACUAAUCCAUUAAAUUUGGACGGUUUUUUGUUAGUAGAAGUAUUCGAUAAUAUUUUUUAUAUUUACAAAGGCAUUGAUAAUAUUUUGAACUUUAAAAAUAAUAUUGGUAAAAUUACAGUUUCUCAGCAAGAUAUUUGGUCAAAUUUUCCAUUUUAAGUAUAUAUGGACUUUACUAUAAGUUGGUCUCUUAUUAAAUUUUAUUUAAACUAAACUAAAAUAAAUUAGGCAUUUUCGAAAAGAAUAAAAUGAUUAUUCAAAAAAAAAAACAGAGAUUAUUUUUUUCUUAAUCAUCAUCUUACUUUUAAUUAAUGCGGUGCCAAAGUCUUGAUUAUCGUUGGACCAGUUAAGUGUCCACCAUCACAAACGUGGGGCCCACACAUGUGAGAUUCACAAGUUUGCUUCACAAUUAAUACACAUAUAACAAUAUAUAACGGCAACCUAAAUUCUCUAUGGAGUCGUCAACCGUCUAUGACGUAGGUGAUAAAGGACACUAGUAAUCGUAAGUUCAAAAUUUAAUUACUUAAUAUUUUUUAAAAAAGCUCACAUUACCAAAUAAUGGAGUACCUUUCUGUAUUUUCAAAAAAAAACUCAUGUUUUCUAAUCUCACAUUUUUUUUUUUAGGGACAAUUGUUUAUAUACCUCUGAAAGUUUUCGAUUUUUCGAUUUACCCCUCUUAGAAUACUAAUAUUGAAAAUACUUUUUCUACGUUCCAACAUAUUUCUAAUAUAUCCCUAGAGUUAAAAUCUGUUAAUGAACUUUGUUAUCUCUGUAAAAUUACUAUUUGACCUUUUCAAAUAUACCCUUCCACCAUCACUGAUUUUCUUAUUUGCCCUUAAAAUCAGGGGCACAAAAAGUAUUUUGAUUUUUGGUCUUUUUCAAUAUACCCGUCUACCGUCACCAACAUUUCUUAUUUGACCUGCAGUUAAGGGCAAAAUCGGCAUUUUAAUAUUUUUUAACUGUGGUAGAUAUUUAACUCACGUUUAACUAAAGGUGUCCAAAAUAUCCGAUAUCCCAUACCCGACCCGGACCCUACCCGGACCCAAACCGGACCCGAUAAAAAAUGAAUAGUAUACGGAUAAAAAAAAUUACCCAUUAAAGUUUCGGGUAUGGGUCCGGAUAUUUUAUACCCAUACCCGAUUUGGACCUGACCCGAACCUAACUUUUAAAUGAGUAGGGUCCGGAAUAGUUUUCAAAUCCGGAUCCGGACCCGGACCCGAUGAAAUAUCCGAUAGUAAAUAAAAAAAAAAAACUUUUGAAGUUGAAGAUUAAUUUUAAUAUGACUUAUAGAUGAUGAGUCACUACGUAUUUUCAUCCUAAUGAAACCCUAGCCGUCUCUUUUACUCAUUACUUUUUUCUAAUUUUUUUACUCUUUGUUUUCUACUCCUUUUUUUUCAUUUCAUUUCCGCCAACAAUAUUUCAUUGUCAUCAUCAUCAUCAGUGUCAUCAUUAUCAUCAGCGAUAAUAUUUCUUUUGAAUGAAUUUUAUUGGACGGUACAACUUAUUAGAAUGCGAGUUUUUUUAUGGUGGGGUUUAUAGUUUGCCUAUUGACUAUUUAAUAAAGUUUAUAAAAAAAAUAUAUUUAUACGGAUAUCCGUACCCGAUCUAGACCCGAUCCAUAUCUGGUCUUGAACGGGUUACGGAAAGUCACUACCCAGACCCGCUCAAAUAGACCCGAUGAGUAUAUUAGUAACUUUAGUACCCAGAUCCGGACCUGACCCGAAGUUAAAUGGGUAGGGUAUAUAUAUUUUUUUGUAACCAUUUCUUUUUAGGAUAUGGGUACAGUAUAUUAAUUAUCCAGACCCGACCCGGUCCACGGACAUCUUUACGUUUAACCCAAGUUAACUUAACAGGAGAUAACUGCGGGGUAUUUUACAAUAACGGUAGAACAUAUGAAAAAUAUUUUAGAAAGGAAAAAAAAAAUAGGAAUAAAUCGGAUAAUUUCAAACAUAUGAGGAGUAUAUAAGUAAUUAUUCCUUUUUUUUUAUAAAAAAGAAAGAUGUAAGUAAUCUUUCUGUUUCCCUGUUUCCCCCAAAGAAAAAAUAAAACUCAAUCAAGAAGGUAACAUAGUUUGUCACCUUUCUGUCUCUUAAAAAAAAAAAAAAAUCAUGUUUUUUGGUCUCAUAUUUUAUUUUUUUUAAAUGAAGUAGAUAAUAUAGAAUCUUUCUAUCUCUCAAAAGAAAAACUCAAUAAAACAGAUAAGAUCAUACCUUUUUGCCUUAAAAAAAAAUUGUAAUUUUGUUCUAUUUUUUUUGUUUUUGGUAACGCGCCAAUAAUUCCAAACUUGUAGAAGGUUGGUGCUUCUCGUGCUAUGUAAUAAUAUUGUAUUAAAAAAUUGAAUUUGACUCCUGUCAAAUAAAUAAUAACUAUUGGGAUCAGUAGUAACUCAGACAAAUCCUAUACAAAACUUCUGCGUCUCACCAUGGCGUGUAAAAUUUUAAACACUUUUAUUUAUUAUUAGAUACUUAAUUAUUAAUGACUAAACCUAAAAACAGAAACAAACAUACAGCCAAAUAGAUGUUAUAAAUUAUUUGCACGAAACCUAUCUCCCUAAAUUCCAAUUUAUGAAACCUUGACUUGUUCAAUUUUAAUAUCUUAAAUAACAGCACAACGUUUUCGUGCUAAAGAAUGAAAAAUGACAGCAUUUGAAUUUUUUUUUUUUACCUCUUGCUUUUUUCUGUUUUUUAUUUUAUUUUUUAUGAGAACAACAUUUGAUUUUGGGUCUACACUCAAAGCAUUUAGUGGCACCACUAUUUUUUUUUUCUAUUUUUAUUCUUAAGCUUCAUUUAGGAUUGUAGGAAGAAUAAUUAAUUGUAUUACGGGCAAUAAAAAAAAGUAUGGUGAAAAAAUACUCUAUUUAUUUUAUACGUAAUAUUAUAUUCUGCAUAUUGCAACGCAUCAAAUAUCUACAAAAUAUAUUUUAUGGAGAAACAUAUUCUUAUAUAUUUUUGUCCCAAUUCCGUUUUGCCUAUUAGCUAAGAUAAAACUCAAUAUCAAACAGACUUAUAUUAUAAAAUAAUUUGUUGAAUAUAAAUAUUAAAAAUAUUGUUCACUUAAAUUUUAGUGACAAAUGGUUGUUCAUGUAAAGGAACAAAAAUUUCAAUAUUUUAUAUUCAAUAAUAUCACAACUGCAAAAAACCAAGAUAAGAUAGUUUGCUUGUAGUUGCUUUGAUUAUUUUUUUUAAAAAAAAUUUACCAAGUUAAUUUUAUGAUUCUUUUUAUUGCAAAUAUUCACAAAAUUGAUCAUAUUAAUUACCAAAGAGAAUUAUUAUAAAACAGAAAAAAAAAAUUAUGAUCCUGUAAUUAAAACAACUAAUUGUUCUAAAAACUUAAUUUAAUAAUUGAAUACUCAAAAUAAAAUUAAUUAAGGUGACAUAACAUGAUGGUUCUGUUACAUCCAAAUUGAAUCGAAAGUAAAAGAGAACAAGUGAAAAACAUGCCCUAAAAUUCUUCAAUCUCAAAAAGGUUUUAUUAAUUUCUUAAUACUAUAGAUUCGAUUACUUAAUUCAACAUAUUUUCCUUUGACUUUUCCGUGUUUUUCUUUGAACCCUAUUAUAAGAAAUCGUUCUCAACAUAAAUAGCUUGUGAAUUGUGAUGCACGUGUCCAACCACAUUAUUUAAUCCCACAAGAAAUGAAGAACCUCUCAUAUCUAGUCACAUUUAGUUGCCAUGUUUUUUUUUUUUUUUAAUUCUCUCAUUAAUAACUCAUUUUGAUAAAUCUCUCAUUAAUUUAAUUUGAUAAAAUUUUAAUAUAUAUACAUGUUUUCUUUUGAGCUUGUCACAUAUCAUGUUUACUUUUUUUAAAAAAAAGAAUAAGAUAACAUGCCACUUGCUUCAUUUAGUUUUAUUAUAAAUAAAUUUGGCUGAAAAUGUAAAGCAAUUAGAUUUUAAACUUGGGGCCUCGGAUUUGCACUGAAAUGGUCGGUUUCAUAUAUUUUGUUGUACAUCUCCAAAUUACUCUCUCUCAGAAGAGAUAGAGAGAGAUCGACUAUAUUUAUUUUUGUGAUUUUUUUAGGAAACUCUCAGUGUAUAUUUUUUUAUACAAUUUUCUUAAUAACUUUUUGUUACAAUAAAAUUUACAAGUAUUUUGAAUCCUAUUCAUAAAAAUUAUAUAAGUUAUUAAGAUUAACUGAUGAAUGCAAAGUUUGGGAAUUGAUUGUAUUUUUGCCAUCCAAAUUUGACCACUAUUUUGUGGUCUGUUGACCGUUGAUUUUUCAGUAUUAGGACCAUUAUAAUGACCAAAAAGGACAUUUUUUUAAACUAAUUUAAGAUUUAUAUUUUAUGUAGAAUAACAUAAGAGAUGGAAUAGAAAAAUUAGAAAUUACAAAAAAUGACUAAGAGUGUUUAAAAAGAUCCUCAUUUAAAGGUAAAACAGUAAUUAAUUUUUAAUUACUAAAAAUCCAAAUUUAAAUGGUCGACUAAUAAAUGGUGAUAAAUUACAAUUUUUGAUUAUCCGUGACGAUUAAUUAUCAAAUUAACAUUUCUGAGGAAACAAUCUAUAAUUUAGUAUAAGAAUGUACAACUUAAACACCGGCUAAACAUGUGAGCUCUAGCAAAUAAUCUCCUAAACUUUUAAUUUUGCAAUUAAAUCCUUUAGACUUUAUUAAACAGUACUAUAGCUUACAUAUGAUCUUGCGAAGUUUCAAAAUAUAGUAAAAUCUAUCUUAUCUUUUCAAACGCUUGAAAAAAAGAUAAUAAAAAUCAAAUAUACAUUUUGCAUAUUAUUCAAUUCUUAGCAUAUUAUUCAAUUCUUAAAGCCUAACUAAAAUACUAUUGAUAGUAGAUGAAUAAUAUUUACUAUCAACUUUUAAAAUUCUUGGAUUCAUAAUAGUACUAUCACCAAAUAGUAAACCUUAAAAGCAUCCAAAUGAUAAAACAUUGAUAGCAAUCAUUAUUCCUCUUCUAUCAAUAGUAUAAUUAUGAUGCUUAAAUUUUAUCCGCAAAAAGAAAAGUAGGAUUAUUUGUGAUCAUAUGCAAGGUAUUCAUUGGCGCCGCCAUUUGAUGAAAUUUAGAAAAUCUGGUUGGCAAAAUUAAAAGUUUUGAGUGUGAUAGAAAUCACCUGAAUUCAUUCCUUCUAGCAUUUUGCAGUGAUUAGUUCACAAAUUCUUUCUGAUGCUUAAAUUUUGUCCCCGAAAAGAAAAGUAGGAUUAUUUGUGAUCAUAUGCAAGGUAUUCAUUGGCGCCGCUGUUUGAUAAAAUUUAGAAAAUUUAGUUGGCAAAAUUAAAAGUCCAGAGUGUGACAGAAAUCACCUGAAUUCAUUCCUUCUAGCAUUUUGUAGUGAUUAGUUCACAAAUUUUUUCUGAUGCUUAAAUUUUAUCCGUGAAAAGAAAAGUAGGAUUAUUUGUCAUGAUCAUAUGCAAGGUAUUUUAUUGGUGCCGCCAUUUGAUUAAAUUUAGAAAAUCCAGUUAGCAAAAUUAAAAGUUCAGAGUGUGUGAUAGAAAUCACCUAACUUCAUUCCUUCUAGCAUUUUGCAAUGAUUAGCUGACAAAUUUUUUCUGAUGCUUAAAUUUUGUGCGCAAAAAGAAAAGUAAAAUUAUUUGUGAUCAUAUAUGCAAGGUAUCAUUAAUUGGCGCCGCCAUUUGAUGAAAUUUAGAAAAUCUAGUUGGCAAAAUUAAAAGUUUAGAGUGUGACAGAAAUCACUUGAAUUCAUUCCUUCUAGCAUUUUGCAGGGAUUAUAUAGUUGACAAUUUUUUUUUUGAUGCUUAAAUUUUGUCUGCGAAAAGAAAAUUAGGAUUAUUUGUGAUCAUAUACAAGGUAUUCAUUGGCGCCGCCAUUUGAUGAAAUUUAGAAAAUCUAGUUGGCAAAAUUAAAAGUUUUGAGUGUGAUAGAAAUCACCUGAAUUCAUUCCUUCUAGCAUUUUGCUUUGAUUAGCUCACAAAUUUUUUCUGAUGCUUAAAUUUUGUCUCCGAAAAGAAAAGUAGGAUUAUUUGUGAUCAUAUGCAAGGUAUUCAUUGGCGCCGCUGUUUGAUAAAAUUUAGAAAAUCUAGUUGGCAAAAUUAAAAGUUCAGAGUGUGACAGAAAUCACUUAAAUUCAUUCCUUCUAGCAAUUUGUAGGGAUUAUAUAGUUGACAAAUUUUUUCUGAUGCUUAAAUUUUGUCCGCGAAACGAAAAGUAGGGAUUAUUUGUGAUCAUAUAUAUGCAAGGUAUUCAUUGGCGCCGCCAUUUGAUGAAAUUUAGAAAAUCUAGUUGGUAAAAUUAAAAGUUCAGAGUGUGACAGAAAUCAUCAGAAUUCAUUCCUUCUAGCAUUCUGCAGGGAUUAGUUGACAAGUUUUUGCUUUCUUAUUUAUUCAUUUAUUACAGAUCUGAAACAGGCAAGCCACCAAUCACACAGCAACCUAUAACUACUCAGACAACUCUUGUGUUGGGGAAUCUCCCCACCUACAUUUGCGCUCACAAGGGAUCAAAAGGGAAUAUAAUCCCACAUAUUCCACCAUUUCCCUUUCCCCCUCCCUCUUUCUCUCCUUUCCCAUCACUCAAACUAAAUUACACCACCAAUCAAAUCCUAGCAUUUCAUGAUACACACAAUAAGAGAGAGAGAAAGAAAAGAAACCAACUUAGCUUUUCUCCUCCUCUCCCCUCUCUCUCUCUCUCUCUCUCUCUCUCUCUCUCUCUCUCUCAACAUCUUGGGUAUGUCACAAGUUAUGCUCAUCUCAAAAGGAAAUUGAAGGUUUUGUGUUUGUGUUUGAAAUGAACUCAAGUGUGAUCUUGUUUUUGCUGCUGCUGCUGCUGCUGCAGAGAGGAGGAUGGGCUCCGAGGACUCGUCGACCGCGGCGGGAAGCAGCGAGUUCGGCUUGAGGAAGCGGGGAGGCAAGAAGAGGAAGUGGGAGCUGGUCGAGUUCGACGCGUUGCCGGAUUAUUUGAAGGACAAUGAGUUCAUUGUAGGGCACUACAGAUGCGAGUGGCCUCUCAAGGAGACCAUCCUCAGCAUCUUCUCCAUCCACAAUGAGACCCUCAAUGUUUGGUCGUACGUAACGCAAUUUCCUCUCCUCUUAAUUCAAUCACUAACAUUUCUUCUUUCGUAUUCUCCGCUUACGCUUACGGUCUGUUCGGUCUAAAUUAUGCGCAAAGUAUUUAUUACCAGUAAAGUUAACUUUUACGUGUUAUAACUAUUCUUGUUAUCAUGAUAAUUAUGUGGCUGUACUGUAAGGUAUAGUAUUAUUUAAUAAAAUAAUGUCUAUACAACACUAUUAGAAAGAAAAAAGAAAAAAAUCAUACAAGUAAAAUCCUCACUAGCUUCUUUCCGCGGCAGAAUCAGAAAUGUCAUAUCGCAAGUUUCGCUAGCGAGGCUCACAAUCUCAUAUUUACUAAUUUUGAACUUUUCUAUCAGCCAAACACUCUGCUCAUGUUGAAAACAAAAGCAGAAGCGUACGAUCAUAUUAACACGUCCUUAGACUAAGUUCUAUCAAAUCUAAUUAACACUUUCUCUUUCUUUUUGGGUGUUUAUAGGCAUCUAAUUGGGUUUCUCAUCUUUAUGAUCCUAACCAUAUUCACCACAAUGGUGACACCCAAAGAAGAGAGGAAUAUCCCUUCAAUGAGGCAGUGCAUGGGUUUGGUGGAGACCAACAUGACAGCAGAGGGGGAGGCAUGCAUCAUUGCCUGCCUGGUAUCUCCAAAUAUUCCAGCUAAUGAAAUUGAGGCCUCUCUGUCACCUCUGCACAGCUUGCAUCUCCCUGACAUUCUCACCAGCUACCUCCCCAGCAGAUUCUCCCAUGCCAACCUCAGCAACAACCCUUAUUUUCCGGUAUCUUUCUUAAAACAUAUAUAUAUAUAUAUAUAUAUCUCUGUGCUAUAUAUCCUUCCUUUUUUUUAAAUUCUAAAAGUACACUUUAAUUUUUGUUCACUAUCAUUUAUUUUAAUAGUUUUAUUUUUCUUUUACCGAAAGAAAGAACGUAUUUUCAAGUAGUAUAACAAAGUGGUUUAUCUUACAAACCAAUUAAAGCGCAUGAUUUGUAUUCCGCUACCAUGUAAUUCAUAAAAUAUAUUAUCAACGGUAAGCUCUUAUGCCCAGAUAAAGAGAAAAAUAUUGUUAAAUAAUGAAAUACAAUAACUUGUUAAUUAAAGUAUUUGAUUACAACUUACAAUUAGUCAAAUCUAGGAAAUCCUACAUGCAUGGAAAGGGAUUGAUCAACCAACCUAAUAAAAGUUUAAGGAUUGGUGGGAGAGAUAAUAGAAAAGCUAAAUGUGAUUCAAGAACACAAAUGGGAUCUAAUUUGAUAAAAAACACUAACAGAGUAGGAUGGUAAUUGAGAAAGGUGAAAAAGAGUUUUUUUUUUUAAAAAAAAAAUUAAUGUUUGGAUGGAUGUGGACCACUAAUUGUUGGGUAUAUUACUGUCCUAUUGAAUCGAAAUGGUAAAUUGCACGGAUUGUCUCCGGAAUUUAGAAGAACUUUUACUUUAACCAUUAUUCUCCUAUUAGUGCACAACCAACUCAUGGUACAAACUUUUUUUUUUACUUAUGGCCAAAAAAAAAAAAGGAUAACAAAAUAGUUUAUAUGUUUUUCCGUAAUAAACAUAUCACAUUUUCCUCAACAAAAAAAAAAAAAAAAAAAAAACAUAUCAUAUGGUGUAGAUCCUAAUGAUUCAGAUAUGAUAUAAUUUAUUCAGUUGCACCGAAAAAUUACCAAAGUAUAUCAAAGAGAGAUAGAAUGCUACUCUUUUCAUUCAUUUUCUUUAUAAAUGAACUUAAUUGAAAAAAUAAAGUAAUUAAGCUUUGAACUUAGAACCUCGGGUCUCAAGUAUCAAGUCCUUUUGCCAGCUAUAUUAGGGAAUAUCAGUCUUAGUAGGAAAUUUGUUGCAUAACCUUCUUGUACAUUCGUCUAUGAGCCGCUUAAACGCUAAAUUGUCACUAUUUUUUUUUUUGGUUUAAAGCAUGAUUUUAAGAUGGAAACAAAUCAUUUGGCAUCAAGUUUACUAUCCAAAAAUACUUUUAGUAAUUAGAUAUAGAUAAAUUUGUUAUGGUUAAAGUAUGGUGAGCUUUUGAGCAAGUUGACAGAAUAGAUAAAGAGUGGAGUCUUUGUAAAUAGAGUGGAAUAAGAAUGAAAAUUUUCAAUCUAACAUAUCUUAUCUAGCGUAUUUGGAUAAAAUUUUGACAGUUGAUAUUCGAGGUUCUAAAUUCGAAAUCUAGUUAAUUAUCUCAAAUUUCUAAUAAAUUUAUUUUUAAAAAUAAAAAAAAUAAAAUAAAUAGUUUACUAAUUAUUUCUUAAACAAAAUCAACAUAGUGAGAUGGUGAACCGAAAAGAAAAAAAAAAAGGAAAACUUCAAAUAUCACUCUUGUAGUUUCACACUUUCUCACUUUAGUACCAUAUGGUUUAAAAUGUAUCAAUUUGGUGGCCUGUGGUUUUAUUUUUAUUUUUUUAUUAUCNAAACCACCAAAAUUCCUACCUGUUUCAUAUUAAUCACAACAAGAUGAUCUUAUAACAUAACCACAAUCAGAUGACCUAACCACAAAGCACAAAGGGCAAUAAACUCAUCAUCGGAUUAGAAGAGAAGGAAAAAUCCCAAAGCAAUUAAGAAAUCAACAUUCAAAUAAGAAACAUCAUAAGAUCUAUUUUUCUUGAUAGGAUGGGUAUGAAAAUUGACCCAUUCCUUUGAUCGUACAACUUUACCCAAAAAGUACUUUUUAACUUUUUAUCGCAUAUUAAUUCCUUUAACAGGACAAGUAAAGGACAAAAACUAACUAACAAUUCACAUUAACCUCACAACUAAAUCGGAAGCUACAUAUUAAACCAUUGUCAUUCGAUUAUUUGUUUAACUAAAAGUUCCUAAGAAGAUGUCAAUUUUUACUACUUUGGCCAUUUUUUAUCAAAUCAAAAUUUAUCCACUCGCUCAUCUAUUCAUUCUUUUUAAACAGUCUGCACCUGAAGUCGAAGUCGCCGAUACGCUCUCACUUUCUGUGACCACCUCCGCCACCGCCACGACGGCGCCGAUCACGCGGUGGCCGAUUCUUGCAUUCCUCUGCGGCGCCAUGUUCUGCCUCCUCACCAGCAGCAUCUGCCAUCUGAUCCUUUGCCACUCCGAGCAGAUGGCCUGCUUCAUGCUCCGCCUCGACUACGCAGGCAUCACCGUCCUCAUCGUCACGUCUUUCUAUCCUUUAGUCUUCUACUCCUUCCUCUGCGACCCCUUCUACUGCGCUCUCUACACGGGCUUCAUCACCGCCUUCGGCACCGCCGCUUUCGUGGCCUCCCUCAUCCCCGUUUUCCAGACUCCCCAGUUUCGGCCAAUCCGAGCCGCACUCUUCGCCGCCAUGGGCGUCUCCGGCAUCGUUCCCAUCGUGCACAAGCUCAUCGUGUUCCACGACCGGCCCGAAGCGGUCGUCUCUACCGGGUACUAUAUAGUACAGCAACAACCGAUUCCUCUAAAAGCUUAAACCACUAUAUGUAAUAUUUUAAGUCAACUUUAGUAAAAUCAUAAUUUUUUAUGGAAUAAAAACUUUAGUGCCAAACAUUUUUUAAGUCAACACAGUAUCCACACAUUUCACCUUGUUUUUUUUGUUCACAUUCCCCGUACCGGGGUGACACAAUUCAUUUCUCGAGAAGCUCGAGCGACUGACAAAAAAUAUUUUAAUAUUUAUAUUCAACAGAUAUGAAGUUCUCAUGGGGGCGUUUUACGCGGCGGGCGUGGUCGUGUACGCGGCGCGCGUGCCGGAGCGGUGGCUCCCCGGAGGGUUCGACCUGGUCGGGCACAGCCACCAAUUGUUUCACUUGCUGGUAAUUGCAGGGGCGUACACACACUAUCUCGGAGGAUUAGUUUAUCUCAAAUGGAGGGACGUGGAAAAGUGCUUAUAAUUAUAACAAUAAUAAUAAGCACAAUAAUAAUCAGAACAAUAAUUAGAAGAGAUUAAUUAGGAGUGAUUUUUGGGGAAGCAAUUCUUUUUGUGUAUGAGUUGGGGGUUAAUCCAGGAUCUCCAACUUGUGCAUAAGCCAUUUAGAGCGAUAGUAGAUUUUAUACACUUUUUAAGAUUGUUUAGAGAAGGAAACAAGAGAAAGAACAGAUGUAUGCAUGCAUUAUGUAUAAUGAGAGGAUCGCAGUUGAUUUGUUGAUUUGUUUGUACUAGUGUGAAAUACUACUUAUAUAUAAAUAAUUUGUGUGAUAUGCUGCUAUUAAGGGUAAGUACAUUUAUUAGAAAUAAGAAUCCUAGCCAGAGUAUAAUAUGUAGGAUUUUUUUAAAAAUUUAUGAGCUUUAAUUUUCAGAGUGGUCUCCCCACAAAGAUGCCUGAUCAUUGGCACCCACCAUUAAUCCCAAAAAUUCGAACUAUUAAAAAGAUACAACGGGUUCAUUUAAAGUGUUCAGGCACAGCGCCCACAAAGUCUCAAUUGUGACUCGCUCUAAUUAGUUUUACGCCACUUCGAACACGACUCAGCACGACUCGACCUACCGCCAUUUCAAAUAUAACUCAGCCCAAUCUGACCUUUCGUCCAUGUGUUCUAAUUUUUAAGAAAGAGGAAGAAGAACAAAAGGAAGACGGACCGGCCAGAUUGCGACUCAGCUUGAGUUGAGUUAAAAGGCCAAGUCAUUUUAGGCCUGGCCAUAUGGCCUUGGAGUUUGAACAUAAUGGGCCUUUAGUGGGCUUCAUCAACACUUUUAAUAUUCUAACUAAAUUUUGUUUUGGGCCUUGAAUUUUUAAUGUUGACACUAAAGAUUCUUAACCUUAAAAAAAAAAUUAUUAAGAGCAAACUAUUGCACUGACCGUCCCUAACACAAGUGGCAAAUGGCUUGAUGGUUAGUAUUCGAGAUCCCAAAUUCGAAUCCUAGUUGAUUCACAUUUCUAAGUAAGUUUAUUUCUAAAUGAAAUAAACAAAGCGGCUAACAUAAUACCUAUCUCUCAAAAAAAAUCGCAAACUAUUGCUCACACUCGGUGCAUAUGUAUAUUUGUAUCUACUAUAUAUUUAUCCACGACCAUUUAUUUUCAUUUACUAAUAAUAUUUUUACUAUCCAAAUAAAUUUAAUAAAGUACUUAGUUUUUAAAGUUAAAAUAUUAUUGACCGGCUAAAAUAAAACAAAUAAAAAAAGUAAGAUAGUAAAAUAAAAAUUUUAAAAAUUAAGUCGUUGAUUCAAAAUGGUCCACAGCUCGAAAUUUUUGUACCUUUUUUAUCAAUUGAAAAAAAAACAGCAAGUACUUUCAUGCUUCCUUCUCCUUUUCAAGGAAGACUACUGUGUGACAGUUACGCCACAUUAUUUAUAUCUAGUUAAUUAUAUGUCUUAUUUUGAAAAAAAAAAAAGUAUAAUAAAAAUAUUUUUUCUAAACAUUAUAAUGUUUUGGAUGAUACCCAGGAACUCAAUUUGAUUGAUUGAAAAUACCACAUCAAAUCAUCAACAAUAUGACCGGCACAUUUUAAACUUUUUCCUCCUUUCCUUCCGGUUUCUUUUUUCUUUUUUAUUUUUUAUUUUUUACAAAUGGUCUUGAAAAGUUAAUAUUUAGAGAAAUAGUCUGCUCUCUUACGCAUGAGCGCCAUGCUGGACAGGAGAGGAUAAUAUAGAAAUUUUUAAUUUAAAUACGAUAAUUCAGUCAUCAUGUUUAAACAAGGUAAUUGGAUAAUCGAGUUUCUUUUUAUAUUUUUCGCUUAUAGUAAAGGAAAAAAAAAUACUGUAAAAUUUAAGAAAGAACACGUUUAUUAAGUCAUCAUGUUUAAAUACAGUAACUGAAUCACCGUGUUUAAUUUAAUAUUACAUUUUUCUGUCCAAUGCGACACAUGCAUAGCAGAAAGAGAAUAAUUUAUACAAAAAUAAAUUUACUCGGAUUAUUUAUAAAUAACUAAAAAGAAAAGAAAAAAAAAACAUUUCUCCCGCCAUCUUCUCCGACUCACCGCGGAGAAAGGCCUACGCGUGGCUGCACGCCAGCCGUUCUUCACCGGUACAGCCAACGCUCCGCAGCCGUCCAAGCCAAAAUUAAUACGCUUCCGUCACGAAUCUUGGCGAGAUAAUCUCCCCGCGCCCACGCGUUCUCCGCUGCGGGUGCUCAAACGUCACCGCCGACGCGACUCCUUUCGUACAACCCCCCUCACUUUUUCUUAAUCCCGCUAAACUCACGUAAACACGACUAUAUUCAAUAUCCGAAUAGUAUAGGGACCAUCCGUAAAUUUUCCCCGCUCACUUUUUCUUCCUUUCUCUUUUUUUUCUCUCUGACACUCCCCGCGCACUCUUUUCCGCGCAACGACGACGACGACGCCACCACCCCCCACGCAGCUCCUCCGCUAAGCUCCCCAUGGCGCGUCCCCCGAAACCCCACUCCUCGUUCCUCUCCGACGCGCUCAUCUUCGCCUCGGGCGCCCUCCUCGCAAUCCUCCUCCUCCUCGGCCUCUCCUCCCUCCACCACCAACCCCCGCUCCUGCUCCUCACCCCCUCCUACGCGCACCCCGCGGCGCCCAAACCCCACCCCGACGACCCCUCCGAACCCACCUUCUACGACGACCCCUCCCUCUCCUACGCCAUCGACUCCCCCGUCGCCGACUGGGACGCGAAGCGCCGGCGCUGGCUCCUCCUCCACCCCUCCCUCUCCUCCUCCGGCGCCGGCGCCGGCGAGCGGGUCGUGAUGGUGUCGGGGUCGCAGCCGUCGCCGUGCCGCAACCCGGUCGGGGACCACCUCCUGCUCCGGCUCCUGAAGAACAAGGUCGACUACUGCCGCCUCCACGGCAUCGAGCUCCUCUACAACACGGCGCUGCUGCACCCCGCGAUGCCGACCUUCUGGGCGAAGAUCCCGCUCAUCCGCGCCGCCAUGCUGGCCCGCCCGGAGGCCGACUGGAUCUGGUGGGUCGACUCCGACGCCGCGGUCACCGACAUGGACUUCGCCCUCCCCCUCCGCCGCUACGCCGCCCACAACCUCGUCGUCCACGGCUGGCCCCACCUCGUCUACGACGAGCGCUCGUGGGUCAGCCUCAACGCCGGCGUCUUCCUCAUCCGCAACUGCCAGUGGUCGCUCGACUUCAUGGCCGAGUGGGCCGCCAUGGGCCCGCGCUCGCCCGACUACGAGAAAUGGGGGAUGACGCUCAAGCGCACGUUCCGGGACAAGGUGUUCAACGAGUCCGACGACCAGUCGGCGCUCGUCUACCUCCUCCUCACCCAAAAAGAAAAGUGGGGCCACAGGAUAUUUCUUGAGCACCAGUUCUACUUCGAAGGCUACUGGGUCGAGAUCGUCGGGCGAUUGGAUAACAUCUCAACAAGGUUUAUAUACAUACAUCUUACUCUAAUCCGCAUAACAAUAAUACUGAUUUGAAGUUGAAGUUGGAUUGAAUUUUAGCCUGUUAGAUGUGUAUAUAGUCAGAAAAUUAAUAUAAAUAAAUGUUAAUUUAAGGGUGUUUUUGGGCCUAGCUAAGAUGUGUGGAUUUAAUAAGGGUACAAAAUUAUUAGUAUUUUAGUUGUAAGGUAUUUGAUAUAAAAAUUUACAUAAAAAAAUUAUAAAAUUUAUUUGAACAGUAUAUAUUAUUUUAAAUUGAUUAUCUAGUAAUUUUAAAUUUUGAUUAUAUUAUUUAAUUAUUUAAUUUAUUUGAUUUGAAUAGGUCAACGUUAUUUUGAAUCUGUUAUUUAUUUUUACAAUUUAUUUUUACGAAUUUAGUUAAUAUUAUCGAACAGUUUUGAAAAUGUGAAUCAACUAGGAUUCGAACUUGAGUUUCGGAUACCAACCACCAAAUCCUUUGUUACUUGCUCUAGGAACAGUCGGUAUCGAACGAUGUUUUAAUAUUUUAUAUUUGGCAGGUACGAGGAGAUGGAGCGGCGGGGGCCGGCGGUGCUGCGCCGUCGCCAUGCGGAGGCUGUCGCCGCGGCCGUUCAUCACGCACUUCACCGGGUGCCAGCCGUGCAGCGGCGACCACAACAAGCUGUACUCCGGCGAGAACUGCUACGAGGGCAUGCGCCGCGCCCUCACCUUCGCCGACGACCAGGUCCUCCGCAACUACGGCUUCCGCCACGCCGGCCCCCUCAGCGACGACGUUCGGCCCCUCCCCUUCAAUUACCCGGCCACCGCGGCCUAGCAGUAGCAAUAAGAGUUACUUGCACCAGCUGAUUUUAUCGGCCUUUACUCUUCUUUUUUUUUCAUUUUGAUCUCCAAUCUUCUUAUUUCUGUAUUAGAAUUAACGGUUUUUUGAAUAAUGGAUAGGAUAAGAGAUCAAAUUGUGAAAAAACUGGAAUAAAGGAUUAGGAUCAUUGGUGCAAUUUAACACUAGCUAGCUAAUUACGGUGGUGGAUUAGUUUAAAAGAAAUAUUUGUUUAAGAAAUAGAAACAGUAUGUGUUUAAUUAUAUAUAUGUUGAUGUGGUAGGAACCUGAAAUGAAAUGUUGCUUAGGAAUCUUUAAUAAAAAGAGUUGUUUUAUUUUUAGUGGCGUAAUCUUCGGAGGGAUAUAUGCGUUGCUUGUUUGUGUUGAAAAUAGAGCCCUUUUAUGUUUUCUGCAGCUUUAGUUGCGGAGACAUUGUUGUUCGCUGCACCGGGUUCUCCACGUCAGCAUGUGGAUCGCUAGUGGGUUGGUCUAACUCUCUGAGAUAAAGGUUUCUGUAUGAUGAAAUGAAAGGUUCACAUAGCACGUGGUUUUUCAUUUUUUUUAUUUUAGUAUUUUUAGUUUAAAGUGUAUUAAGUUAGUGUACUGUACUUUUUUUUUUUCUCAGUUUUUCUAUUAAUAUUUCGUUAAAUUAUAUAUAAAAAAUUUUAGAUACUUCACCUAAAUUUAUCGAAUAUUCACUUUAGUACCUUUUAGUUUUAAUUUUGUCACUGAUUUAACGAAAAAGUUAGUAAAAUCGAUAAUAAAAAGAUAAAAAUAAAAUUACAGAACACUAAAAUAAUACAUUUUAAAUCAUAAGUUAUUAAAGUGAGAAAGUGUGAAAUCACAGAUAAGAAUUUUAAUACUGCAGCAAGGAAUUGUGUCAGAAACUUAUUGAUACUGUACGACACGGUGCGUACCCGACCGUGCCGAUGCAUGCCGGUCACAAAAUAUUCAUGUGUGCUAAAAAUUCAUUUUGUGUUUUGUGCAGCUUUAGUCGUGGAGAGAUUGUUGUUCGCUGCACCGGGUUCUCCACGUCAGCAUGUGGACCGCCGGUGCGUUGGUCACUCCCUGUUUCUGUAUCACUGUAUAAUGAAACGAAAGGUCCACACGAUGACGUGGUGCACCACUUCCGAACUCUGUGGAUUUUGUGGGUGAAUUAAAAAAGUAAUUUUUAUUUUAAUUCUCCUAUUCUCAAACAUUAAAUUAUUAUUUUUUAUUUAUAUAUUUUAAAUUGGUAUAAAAUUAUUAGCUAUAUAUUAACAAAUUGUUAAUAUAAAGUUAAUAUAAUAUUUUAAUUAUUGCCAUAUUACAGAUCAUAAUAUUUUUAUCACUUAUAUUAACUAUUAAUCAUUAUUUAGCUAUCUAAAUUAAAUCAUAAAUAAUUUAAUUAAACUAAAAAUUAUAUUAAAUUAAAGUUUAAAAAUAAAAAAUACCAUGCACUAUCUAGUUUUGUACCAAAAGUGUAAUUUAACAUGCGCGCACACACACACAUACAAAAAAAAAAAAAAAAAAAAAAAAAAAAAAGAGCAAACAUUUGAUGCGUUACGGACACGGGAGUUGCAUGGGAAAAAUGAGCGGCUCAUAGUUGCGCGACACGUGUACGAUUUCAACGGUCGUUAGUGGACACCUCGCGCAUUUGCAUGCACGAUAACGUCACGGCAGUUAAGGUUGGUUGGUUGUUUUUGUUUUUAUUUUUAUUUAUUAUUAUUGUUAUUAUUAUUUUACUAUCUUGCUUUGAAGUAAAUUAUUUGUAUCGGGUGUUAAUAAUGCCCGGAUCCACGAAACUCUUUACCCAAUUUUUUCGCCUUGGGCCAAAUUUAUUGUUUUGGAGGAUUAAAGUGUAUAAAAUUUAUCUGUACUUUAGUCCGUUUUACAUUAAGUAUUUAAUCUUUUAAAAUUUUAAUACUAGUACUUAAUUCUUUUAUUAAUUUGUUUCGAGCCAUUUGAUAGUUCUUUUCGUAUAAAAUUAAAACUUAUUACUAAUUUUUAUAACAUUAUGGUCCCACAAAUUAUGUGGAAUAUACUAAUCCAACUCCGAAAUGCGAACAACAUAUUCAAAUUGUAGUCUACGACUCGGCAAACGACUCAAAUGAAAUGAAUUAAAAUAUUCGAUAGUAAAAUCAAAAAUUACGAAGGAUAGAUAGUUAGAUCAAAAUCGGCAAUAAUUCAAGUAAAUUUUAUAUAUUUUUAUUUUUUUUUCUGUUAGCUCUCUAACUUUUAUAUUUUGUUUCAGUUGGGUCUCUACCGUCCUAAUUUUUAUUAAUUGUAACAAUAUAUGUGACGUCUACUCUAUUAAAGCACUACUUAUUUAUAUAGAUCACAGUUAUUGUCCGAUUGCUAAUAAUCAAUUCGAGCACCGACUUUUUUAAAUUUCUGAAAUAGCUGGACAGCACGUUCGGCUCAAUGUCAAAAGUGUCGAGCCUCCAAAUGAAACUGCAGAAUCGUGUCGCAAGGUUGAGAUGAUUGUAUGCAUUGAAGGUGGUGAAUUUGGGCUUUUAUGGUAUGUGCAUGCAUAUGGUAGAAGAGGAUAGGGACAAUAGCGAAAAAAAAAAAAAAAAGAUGAAAUGUUAGAGACCACUAUAAUUUUAAAGGUUAAGGAUCGAUUGCAAAACAAUAGAUUGUUGCAACAAAUUAAAAUAACAAGAUGAGAAAAGAAAUGGAUAGAUUUGACCAAUCUACGAAAAUUUGGAUGAGCUCAAUAAGCAUAGCUUUAAGAUGCUUCGUCCCAUGAAUUAUAUUUAAUAAUGAUGUAAUGAAUCAGUUUAUUUUAAUUUUUCCACCACUAGCUUUAAUUAAUAUAGUNAACUAUCAUGUAGAUACAUUUUUUUAUCUCAGACAGCGAUCCUAGCUUGUGCAUUUAUGUUAAUUUGCAUCAUCAUUCUCAGGUGAUCAACUAAAAUUAUCGCUUUUUCCCGCCACAAUUUGAAGCCUUUUUCGUUUAGAUGCUGAAAAAGUAAUUUUCACUGAAUUAAUUUUGAUUUAUAAUUAUUAAUUCUUAGUUUUAAUUAUUAGUUGUUUCAACCCGUUUCGGCUCAGUAUUAACCAAUCUGAUAUUUGAAAAAUCGUACCAGCUGGCGGGUAGGUUAAAUCUGUUUUUUUUUUUGUUUUUUUUUUUGUUUUUUUUUUUUUUUUUUAAAUCGUACUUACUUGCAUUAAAUACCUUUUUUUAGUCACGUAUAAACAGUCUUGAGUUUAUUAUAAUUUUUUUUUAUAAAACUAUCAUUAUACUAUUUCAUCAAUAUUGGUAUACCCACGAGCAGAGCCACAUAGGCUUAUAUUAGAAAUGAGUUUAGUUUAUCAUUCAUCGUCAAUAUGAAUGGUGUAUUACAUUAUGUCAAGAGAUCGAAUCUUAAAGCAAUAGAAAUGGUGUAUUAUACUGUGUCACCGCGGGAUGGUGCUGGUGCAAAGUGGAAGAGAGAAUAUAUAUGAGAGUUGAGAGCUGCUCAUGGGAUCUAUCAUUGGUAACUGCGUUUUAUCUCCAAAUAGUAAUGGUGAAGGAAAAAACCAUCCUUUACAUAUGAUCUCAUGAGAAAGAAAUGGCCCAGUCAAGGUCGAAGCUAGGAUUCAAUCUUGAGGAGGGCCAAAAUAUAUUUAAAUAGAAACUUUAGUAAUAAAUAAUAAACAAAAUUUAUCCUAAUUAAAAAUUUUUUAUUAAAAAAUUAUUAAUUAAAUAAAUAAUGUAAAAGUAUGAACUUUAUUUUUUUUAUUUUCAGAUGUUUAACUUCUAAUUAUUUUAUUUAUAUUAUUAUAUUAGAAAUUUUACUAAAUUUAACAGUAAUUUUUUAAUUUUUUAGUAAAUAAAAUUAACAUAGUUAUUAAAUUUAAUACAAUUCUUGAUUUAGUCAAAUAAAAGAGCUCACCUAAGAUAAAUAAAAAUUUUUAAAAAUUAUUAAAUAAAAUUUUUAGAGUAGAGAAAUAUAUUUUAAAAUACUCUAUAAGAAAGAAGCUUUUAAUAUAUUUUCACUCAUAAAAAGAGUAUACCGAUUAGGAGAAAGAGAGAGAAAGUUAUAUUGGCACCAUACUAUUAAAUAAAUAUAAAAAAAUUAGGGGGGCCAAAAUUAUCCAUGGUCCAAAAAAAAAAAAAAACCUUUGAAGGACCAUUAAACAAAUAUUGAAAAGUUGAGGAGAGCCAUGGCCACUUUGGGCCUCCAUGUAGCUUCGUCCCUGAGCAUAAUAAUCUUCUCAUAGUUUUAAUUUCUUACUCUUUUCAUUUUAUAUUUCAUCUUUUGAUGUUAUAUGCUAUCGCGUGUGUAGGCCGAAAAAAAAAAAGAGAAGUACUAUUAUAGGUUCCAAAGAAUGUUGUUUUUAAUGAUAUGUUGCUAAUGUGAUGAUACUUGUAGUAUAUAUAAAGGUGUUAACUCGAUUGUGUAAGGCUUCGUUUGGGAUUACGGAGAGAUUGCAUUACGUGCGGUGAGAAAAUAUGACGUAAAUAUACUUUGUUUGUUUUCAUAUGUAAUAUUGCGUUCCGCUUAUCGUGAUGAGUCGGUUACGAUCGAUAUAUUUUCUACGGUCCCACCGGUAUAUGCUUUUAUCCCAACUCUAUUUUAUCUAAUAACGUCAGAUUAACCUCAAUACCAAACUAAGUAUAAAAUCACUAUUUCUUUCUAAAAAGCUAAGAUCUUUAUUAAUUAGAUUAGAAUUCUACUAAAGUGCUCAUGUUUUUGUGUCAUGUAAAAUAAUUAUUUGCCCCUAAAAAUUCAACAUGUUAGAGAAUGAUGUUUUAAUAUCUUUGCAAAAUAUGACAUAAAUUUGUCAACCNAGUUAUGUUGGCACCAUACUAUUAAAUAAAUAUUAAAAAACUAGGAGGGCCAAAGCUAUCCAUGGUUCAUUAAAAAAAAAAACUUUGAAAAACCAUUAAACAAAUAUUGAAAAGUUAAGGGAGGCCAUGGCCAUCUUGGGCCUUCACAUAGCUUCGUCCCUGCCCCAGUCAAGAAUUAAAGUCCCCAUCGGUAUGGGCCGUAUCCACCGUUAUCGUAUCGUGUCACCAGAAUAUCAGUAUGAUAUCAGUAUGAUACAGCACAACUUAAAACCCUCUAUUGUUGAAAUUAAUAGAUAAUUUUUUCAAUGAAGUUCAAAAAAUGCGAUAAAAAUACAUAAUAAAUAAUUAACAUAUUUUGUUGCUAAAAAAAAUAAAUAUUUCAUACCUUUACGUGUUGGCACACAUAUUUUGUUUUUAACCGGCAUGCAUUGGCACUACCCUGCACACACCGUGUCGUACCGUGCCGCCAAAUUUCCGAUACGACUCUAUGUCACAACACUUUAAUCCUUGGCCCCAGUAACAUCAAACCUGAAAACUUGUACAUAGACUACCCAAAGAAUCGAGGAUAAUGCAGAAUCAUUAAAUAUGGACACAAACAAAGAUUGAUCAAGCCCAGUUCUACAUAACUAUGCCUGAUGAAAAAAUGAAAAGGGUAAAAAAAAAAAAAAAGAGGAAACAACUUAAGGCCAAGAGAAGAGUAUCCAUGAGCAAAUUGCAUAAAAUAAGUUAAAACUCAACAAUAGAGACCGCUAGUUCAAGUGUAGAAUACUCACAGCAAACACCACAUGACAGUCGAAUUGGAGGUACAAAAUUAUAAAAACAGAGCACACUCAGCUGACAAUUUUACCCACAAAUCCUAAUCCUAAUGUCGAAAAGAAAAUAAAUUACAGCUAUAUUUAUCACAUUGUUUUUAGGAUCUAAUCGCUAAAAUGUUACCAAGAGAAUAGCACCCCAGUUAUGAUUGUAUACCCAAGAAAACAAGCUCCCAUCAAGAAGAUCCCUUCCCAUCAGAGUCGUUAAGAUUGCAUAGCUUCCUCGUCGUCUCCAUCUUGCGGGACCUCGUUGAACAUGUACUGGCUCUGAUACUCCAUCAAAUACUGCGUCGACCUCUUGACAUCCAGGAACAGCUGGUACACCCGACUUAUGUCCUCCAUCUCUACCACCUUACCCUUGCGUUUCUGGCAUGCCAGUGCGGCGGCUGUGAUGAGAUGGAUCGCGUACCUCAACGAGGUCUCGACCCCGAUCUUCGUCAACAAUACCUUGGCGUCUUUAGACAUCUCCACCUCUUCUUCGUCGCACCUAAUAUCUAGAAUCUGCCUGAUCUCCUCUUCUGUGUAUGGCUGGGUGUUUAUUAUUAGCAAACGGUCAAGGAAGUCGGGGGGGAUGCCGUGGGGGGACUUGUAGUUCGUGCCGCGGAUCUUCGUGAUGCCGCGGUUGGUGGCGAUGACAAGGAUUGGUGCCAUCUCAUUCUCAAGGGCGCGGUUGAGGAAGGAGAAGCACUCGAUGUCGAGCAUGUGGACCUCGUCGAUGAAGAGGACGCCCGGGAUUAUCUCCGCUUUGCCUUCCUCCCGCCACUCUGCCACUUUCAUGUCGAUCUGCUCCCUCACUUCUGCUCGGAUCUCGCCAGUGUCGCCGGUGAAGAGUGCGAGAAAGCCCUGUGUUCUGGAUGGUGGGUAAUCAACAGAAACGAACAUAAGACUUAAAGUGGGAUGUUUGAGAGUAAAUAGCCUAACUACUUUAUGUUAUUGAAAGAAAUUAAAUUACUAUCAACUGUUAUACCAAGGUAUCUGUGAUCGGAAUCAUCAGAAAUUCCUUAAACAAUAUUGGCACCAAAAUAAUAUCCAAUUCUUCGGACGUCAAAAUAGAUAUCCGGAAAUUCUCACAGUAGUAAAAUAUCGUGACACCUUAUUGGCAUAUCUGUUAAUCAUAGAACAUGAUUCAAGGUUUAUCAUAAAGUACAGCUGCAAACAAGAGGCAACUUGUUUAGGAUUCGGUUUUCUCAGGGUAUCUUAGAUUCAAAAGAGUGGCUGCAACGAUUUAUUAGCAACAUCCAAUAAUGUAGGGUGAAUUGGGAAUUGUCCAUACAAACCCUCUUAAGCAACGAACACCACCAGUUUAACCCAAUUCUGUAGAGCACCUUGUUAAAAAGGUUGGUUAAAAAUAUGAUCUACUAACUAUUUUGGUCAUAUUAGGAUUAAGGCCACAAAAAUUGUAUUACCAUGCCUGCAAAAACUAUCAAAACAAUAAUUUGUUUCCCUUUCUCAUACAAUUUAUCUGUAUAUCCUGCGACAUCAGAACAGCUUUUCAAAAAGGUAUUCUACAAAGAAACCCUAUACAAAUAGCAGGGCAACUUAAGCUUAAAGCACCCAACCUUAAAUAGUAAAUAUUGACCGCAUUUCAGCUCGCUCUAAAACAAACCUUCGCCAAACCAGUCUCUCAACCUACACAGAGAAAGUAACACAAUUCACUUACAGUUGCCAUUUAUCAACUUGCCAUCUUGCUGACCAAAUUAAGCAGAUUAGAGAGUUGAUAAGGUCAGCUAACACUGACUAGUAGCUGGUUAGAAUGGGUUCAGAAACAAUCCUACACAGCCUCUAAAUUGAAGGUUAACCUUGUACAAAUGAUUUUAACUGGAACACUUUGCAACUUCACUGGUAUUAAGAUACCAUAAAGAAGUAAACCAACAUUUUAUAUUCUUUCCGUGCUCAGUAGAUUUUAAAGCAAGAUUCCACAUCCGACAGUGCACGACCAAGAAUCACAUAUAUGCUUCGUCAUUAUUGUAUAUAUUUCAAAGGUUCCAUUGCCACUCUGGAAAGAGACAAACACAGAAGGAUAGUCUAGAAAUGAAGACUUGUGUCACCCAUUUCUCAUCAUAGCUGGCUCUUGCAAGAUUGUCAAUACAGGCUUGGGCUGGCUGGUCGGCAUUGAUCCCUGUCCAACCAGAACGGCAUUUUUAUGGACUUGAUUUUAUCUGACCCAACAUUUUCCUAAAGCCCAAGCGGAUUGACUUAUUAAACCAUCAACUGUUCCUUAACAAACUGGUUCAUAAGUUAAAUACGCAUGGACACCCACUCAACUUUACGCCAUUGUGCAAUAGGCGCUCGAACUUCUUUUAAUUGAGACUGCCUAGACUCUGUUUUCUGUGAUUUGGUUUGCUUAAGUCAAUUGCAUGGAAGAUUUUGCUAGAUAAUGAGGUUAUUUCAGUCAAAUUUCACAGCAAUUAAGAUCAAAUUCAAGUUCCACGGCAAUCAAGCAUUCUCAACUAAGUCGAGAAAAACAGUGGGUGGUACUAGUAAUCUGUUCGACACAGGUACCAUAUAUUUUCCACCUGGGCCGAUUUUUCAUACUGAAAGACUCCUCUAAAAGGGAGACAUGUUGCUCAUACCUCUUUUUCUUGUCCCAAAUCAUCUUCUCAGGCUUAAAUUUAUUCUGGAAAAAGGACUCCUAAAACCAAUACUAGCCAAACUGUUUACAUUCCUUUUCUAUUUAAAAGACCAAACAUCUCCUUUAGGAAAUUGAUUUAAAAACAAUAUUCUCCAACAAGAUAGACAAGAUAACUUUUAUCAGCCCAAAUUCUAUCUGACUCAAGGUUAUUAACCAUUGAACUGCAGUAGACUCAAUAACACAAUCAACUUAAUUGAACCAUAUUUGAACCAAACUGACUCAAAUUCGCUACAAAAGAGAAUUUAAAACUCAACCUCAUAGUAGAUUAAACCCAAUAUCCCAGAUUGAUUUUAAACAAUUUCCAUGGAGACCAAAAGUUUCAGAAACAUCGAUAACAUGCAUUAAACAUCUGCUCUUACAAUAUUAGGAACUUAUCCAAAAGCAGAGGUUAGAACAUAAGUUCUCGAAUUUGACUAAAUUUCCAGCUAACUUCAAGCCAGGGCCGAGACUUCCAAGUUUACAAUUGUUCUGUCAAACCCAACUAUAAACCCUCAGUAAUUCCUCCCCACUCAAUCCUUGUUCUACCAAUUAAUCAAAACCAUGAUACUGGAUACUUCUUGCCCAUUCCAUUCACUUCUUUUAUUUAUCUUUUGCCAUUAUAAAUGAUUUUGUACUUAAAGCACCACCCACUGUUAGAGGCCAAAACAGCACGAAAGAAUCAAUUGCACUUGAUGUAUUCUCAAUUCUUUAUAUCAGCCUUUGUCUAACUCUUCUUCUAUGCCCACUAUUACUGAUCCAACUUUGUUUUUGGUUAGCCGAUACUCCACGGCAAACAAGCUAAGCCCUAUAACUACAUUCAAAGCAUAGCAAAUAACAAUGCCAAUUUCAAUUUCUUAAUAGAAUAGACAAUAAAGAACAUAAAUUCCAAUAGUACAAGUACAUUAAAAAAAAUGCUAUUUUGCAGGCGGAGAAGCGAUUAUACUUGACGUAUUCUCAAUUCUUUAUAUCAGCUUUUGUCUAACUCUACUUCCAUGCCCACUACUAUCGAUCCAACUUUGUUUUUGGUUAGCCGAUACCUGACAGCAAUCAAGCUAAACCCUAGAAUUACAUCUAAGAAAUUAAAAAAAAAUGCGAUUUUGCAGGUGGAGAAGAGGAAAUAAGACCUGCUGUUGAUGACGUCAAUCUCGUGGAGGGUGACGCAGUGCACAACCUCCUUCCUCUUCUGCAGCUCGCCCUCGGGGCAGCGGACGAACUUGGUGUGAGGACCGACGGCGUCGUAGUCGCGGGAGCGCCCGACGGAGCGGCCGAGCUUGGUGACCUUGCCGGAGGCCUUGUCGAGGGCGAUGACGUCGCCGCUCUGCACCUUCUCCCUGGCGAGCGCCUCGAUCAUCUUGCCGCCGAGCUCGUAGACGGUCUCCAUGUCGGUGGUCUUGAGGGUGAGGCGCCCGGUCUUGGAGGCGGCCGAGGGGGGUAGGGUUGCGGAGGAGGAGGAUGAGGGGUGGGGGUUGGGGUUGGAGGAGGAGGAGGGGUUGGUGUUGGCGUUUGCGUUGGGGUUGGGGGAGGAGGCGGAGGCGGCGGAGGAGGAGGAGGCGGGGCGGUCGAUGGCGAUCUCGACGACCUCGCCCUCGAUGACCUCGGCCUCCUCCUUGAUGCGGACGCCGACGGAGCGGCGGAAGGCCUGGGUGAGGGCCUCGGUGCGGGAGAGGUCGAGGGAGAAGAGCUCGGAGGCGGAGAGGGUGGCGAAGGGGGUGUCGGGGCCGAGGGACUUGGCGAGGCCCAUGGCCACGGCGGUCUUGCCGGUGCCGGGCUGGCCGGCGAGGAGGACGGCGCGGCCGGCGAUGCGGCCCUCGCGGAUCAGCCGCAGGAGGAGGCCGGCGGCGCGCCGGGCGGGGAGCUGCCCCACCAUGCCCUCCGACACCGCGCGGGCCUCCAACGACGCGUCCAGCCCCAGCCCCCGGAUGUGCGAGUGCGCGCCGAUGCGCUCGAUGCGCGUCAGGUCCCGGCUCUCCGACAGCCGCUUCAGCUCCGGCGUCGUCGCCAUGGCUACGGAGUUGGGACGAGAGGCCGGGACGAAGGGUGUUCGGAGAAAUGCGCGAGAGAGAGCGAGAGGCAGACGAAAAGUAAGGGUCGGGGUUUUGAAGCGAGGGUUUUGCCUCACGUUUAUUUAACUUUUCUCGAAGAAGCGGCGCACUGGACGGGUAAAUUUGCACUUUAGUCCCUUAACUUUUCGCUAAAUUCACUUUCGUCCUAAACUUUUUAGUUCCUGUUAAUGUUUUCUUUUGCGUUUGUUGCACUGCUGCUCUUCAAACUUAAUUUCCAAAAAAGCUUCAGUUCUGACCCUUUUUUGCCAUUAAAGUACAUAGAUUAAAUAAAAGGAGAGAUCAAUAAAAAACAUUAGGCGAUCGUUCGGAGGAUAUAUAUAUAUAUAUAUAUAUAGUGAGGUUACUAUGCUAUUGGAAGCACGGAGCCUUCCGUGUUUUCAGCUCGUUUUCGAUAUUGCGACUUUCGAAUCGUCGAUCGGCUCCAUUAAACUUAAUCUAGAGUAUUUGGAGUAACUAGAAAAUAAAUUUUAUUAUUUUUCGAUAUUAUUUGCCUAGUGAUCGAAUGGGCACAAAAUCAACAAAUUUCAAUGGCCGUAGUGAGCCGUUUGCAAAUUUAACGGUGUAGAAAUAUCCAAAUCACGCGAAAUUUUGAUAAAAAAUUCUUUAUACUAUAUAAAACUAGAUCAAUACUUUGAUUUAAAAUUUUAAUGUUAUAUUAUUAUAUUUUGUAAGAUUUUUAUUUUCAGCCGUUGAUUUUGAGCCCCUUCGUUCACUAGGCAAAUGAUAUCGUAAAAUCAUAAAAUUUAUUUUCUAAGUAGUUCAAAUACUCUAGAUCAAGUUUAACGGAGCCGAUCGACGAUUCGAAAGUCGCAACAUCGAAAACGAGCUGGAAGCAUGGAAGGCUCCGUGCUUCCAAUAACAUAGUAGCCUCACUCUAUAUAUAUAUAUAUAAAAUUAAGUUUCUCCAAACAAUAAAGCUAAUGUCGACAAUCCAUAAAGACUCCGAGGUCUUUUCACCGAAGAUUACAUAUUUAUCUACAUCACAAUACUAACACAAAAUUCCGACUACGGAAGCCUCGGUCGUGUUCCAGCAACCAAACUCUUUGAUCGCAAAUGUUUCGCAUAUAACAUAGACAAGACACUAGCAUAUAUGUUAGUAUUCGAACGAGAGAGAACGCUUUUUCUGAAUCAAUUGCACACCGUCUUCAGCCUCUUAGCGGCUUGCACGAACCCCGUGAUAACCUGCAACUCAUCCAAUUGCUUCGGGAUCGAUCGAGGGCAAUUGGAUUUCGUGUAAUCAAGUCAAAAUUUCUCACAGUUUAUGAAUCAAUCGUUUACAUGCAAAACAAAGAAACUUUCUCAAGUUACCUGCGACGUGAAAUGCCGCUGAACAGCAUCUAUCAACUGUUCCUUAGAAGGGUUGGGGCUCGAAUUCUGCAAUAGCAGGUAAUGUAGGCACAACAGAAGAAGUAUGAAAUUGUUAAGUAACAAAACUAAACGAGAUAUUUGCAAAUAUACCCCUGAAAUCAUCUAUUUUUAGAGUUAUCACCCUCUAAAAUCUGAAUUUUUCUGUUAUCUUAGGCAGAUUUUAUACUGGCACAUGUAAAUAGAUUGUUUUGUAGGGUCAUAUAUGUAAGGGAUUUGAAAAAUAAUAAGACUUACAAGGUUAAAAUGGCGCCAAUAUCUCCACAACGCCGUAGUUUCUAACUUACUCAGGUCAACUUUCUGCAUGAUCACAUAAGCAGUUCGAUUAUGAGAUGAUUAUGAGACGACUCAGAAAUGAAUGGAAAACAUUUAGGAAAUAUAAAAAGUUGCAAACUUAAUUCUCAAAAUGAUUACAGUUCUCAAAAUAAAGGUUAUGUGAAUGGCGUAGGUUGUAUCAUACCGGAGUUUCCGUGGAUGACGAGACGGAACCCUUAGAAUGUGAAUCACAAGAAUUAGACCGAUUCAAGGAUUUAUUCGUUGAUCCUUUAUGCUGUCUGCUUCUCGACUUGUGCGGCUUUUGCAAUUGCAUGUCAUCCGACGCUGUGGUGAAAUUACAAACGUUAGAGGAAGAAGGUUUAAUGAAAGAGAUAUAAAAUGAUAAUUGGUGGCCGUUGAUCUGAUAUCAACAGAGAGAACAUCCACUGCAAGACAGAGGUACAACUAGAACACAGCUGCAUGCAUCAUAGUCAUCACAGACACUUGAAAAAAUAAAACAACAAAGAAAGCAAAAGCGAAACAAAUCAUAUGGCUAAAGCUUGACUUUUGUCAGAUACACAGAAUCCACCCCCACUUCCCCUUCACAAUGGUAAGCAACAGAACUUUAUUAGCAAGUUUCUCUCUCUCUCUCUCUCUCUCUCUCUCUCUCUCUCUCUCUCUCUCUCUAAAAAAAACAAGUUCUGAGGUACCACUAAGCUAUGUUCCGAGGUACCCAUGAUAAAUGUCAUUAUAAAUGAUCCAAUUUAGAUAAGUUCGUGGGGUAUUAUUUUAGGCCAUUUUUUCAUGCAUUUAGAUCUGCCUGUGUAAACAGAUUUUUUUUAAAGAGUUGCAAGCAAAUACAUAAAAAACAAAUCCAAAAAGAGCAGGCUAAACUACAGACAGCCACUAAUGAAUUUGCACGGGAGGUUUUCACGUCUGUCAAACGUAACUGUUCCCCAUGCAUGAUUUACAUAGCCUUUCCACAUCAGAUAUUCUUCAUAGAUAAUUCUAGCCAAUUCACCAAAACAAAAUUUUCUUCGUAAAACUAGGUCAAGUUCUUUCGUAGAAUAAACACCAUUUGAAUUUGAUACAAUGACAAUAUUGUAGAGAGGAGAUCAAACCAACAAACUGAACUGAAAAUCCGUCUGCUAGUGAAGAUAUACUAAUACGUAAUUGCGUUUAUGUCCAAAAGGCUAGAAAUCAGGCCAUACAAAAAGUCCCAUCUUCAUUAAUCGGAUAAUCACUGCGAUUAGCUAUGAAAGAAUAAAUUAAAGAUCGAUGAAGAUUGAGUCUUUACCUAAAUCCGAGGCAUUCCAUUGAAUAUUUUCGCACACAAGCUCGUCAUCGUCCUCAUGGCCCGUGGGGGCUUCAAUAACACUAAGAGCAUUCCUCUGCAGCUUCACUUCUAUGCCAUUCGUCAGAACCUAAAUGGCAUGGAUAAAAUAUGCAAAAAAAUAAUCUUCUUUACCCUGACAUAAUCCCAUUAAAGAAAGAGAUUAAUUAUGAAUAAAUAAUGCCAUCCUCUUAAACCAUAUAAAUUUUAUAUUACCCACGAUAACUAAAGAUUUCUUCAUACAAACCUAUAUGCAAAAUUCUGGCAUAUCUAGAUCUAUAGCUUGUUAAACAAGAUUGGAUCUUAAAACAUUAAUUGAAAAAAAUGGACUGAAUCUAAGUGGAAAUUAUUGUAAAUCACUAAUACAGUUUAGCAAAAUAACCAAUUAAAACACAAAAGGGAUGAUUUGGUAAUUGCCCAAAAUCCUAAAUCUAUGAACAAAAGUGCACAUCUUGGAUUAGAGAAAGAGUGUUAAGACUUAGGAGAUCUAUAUUACAUCAAAAAACAGCCUCAAAUUUUGCUGGGAACUACAGAGAAGCUACAUGAUACUAUUCAAUUUGUCUAUUAUGUGGAGACAAAACCAGGAGGGAGAUAAAGUGUUUGGUCCCUUUCAACUAAUAAUGAUAGGAAAUUAAGAUUCGGGAAAUAAAAGUCAAAUUGAUUCCUUUCUUUGCCAGAAGAAUCACUUUGCCAAACCCUAUUUCUGAUAAUUGCAUCACAAAGAAUUAGAAAAGAAAUGGUCCUUAAAAAAAUGAAAAAUAAAAAACUAAAUUGCAUGGGCAUCAACUAAGUUCAUCAAUAUAGCAAACCCUAGAACCAAGAAGAGCAAAGCUUCCUAGAAUUAUAGCUACACUAGGCAAAAUUCUCACGAAUGUGAAACCACAGUACAAAAAAAAAAAAACCAAUAAUUGAGCAGAAUUAAACUGAAACCAAAUUAGGAUACUCAUAAAUCCAAACCCUAAACACACCCAAUUGCACCGCAUUGUCCAAUUACACCAUCACAACGCAUCAAAACACUAAAAAUAGAGAACUUUUGACCAGCUACCAUUCCACAAACACGAAAACCCAAUCCAAAUUAUGCCCAAAAUCGAUCAAAAAACAUAAAAAAAAAAAAAAACACCAAGCCCCACGGCCUUUUUCACGACCCCUUGGAGCCCAACGAGCACCGAUUUGGUGCGAUUGUUCCCGGUGACCACCACCUUGGUGUGACGCGGCAACACCGUGAGCUCCUCCUCGCUGCUCUCGCCGUAUCCCCCGUCCAUUCCCCCAUCAACGGCUCCCAUCAUCAUCAUCCUUCUCCUUCUCCCUCUUAUCCUCUACUUACCUCUGCUAUGCUACACUAAAAUGUACCAAAUCUCAUCGGAAAAACUUGAGAAAAAAUUGGAGCGAUCACAGCGAGCGAUCGCAUGGGAAUUGAGGAUCGCGCAUUGGGUGGAGAAUUACGUGAAAUUGGAGAAAAUUUGGGAAAAAUUCGCGGAUUUUUGAAGGGAAUUAGAGCGAGAGCGAGAGAGAGAGGGGAAACGAAAGCGACCGUGCUUUUUCUCUCUCUUUUCUAUCCCUUGUCUUUCGCUGCGUAAACAUGCAUGGAGACCCCUCAAUUAUAUUCAAUUUGGAAAUAUACGCCUAAACUUUUAUUCUUUUAAUCAGUCCUUAUUUAACUAUUAAUUUUUUAAAAUUAAAUAAUUCUAGUUACUAUUUAGCAAUUAAAAUGGUAUUUUGUUUAAUAAAAUUGGAAGAAUUAACAGUUUAAGCUAUUAAAAAAAAUGUACAAAAAGAUGAAGUAGUUGUUUAAAAAUACUCUACAGUUGAGGGGCUUCAAUUCAUUUUUACCCAUUGCUGAAUCCCGACGACCGGAGGAGGGCCAAUUGGAGGAGGACGCGUGUCUCCAACCGCGCCUCGGAUGCGAACCUAGUAGGAGUUACGGGGGAGGAGCAAGUGUGAUGGUGAAAUGACGAUAAUGCCCUUAUACUGUACCUUUUAGGACCGUUUCUACACGUAAUAUAUGUUUUGUUCUUUAAAAUUAAAUUUUUAUAUUUAAAGUAGGCCUUUUUGCAUAAAAAAUUCACUUAUUUUGGGCUUUUGUAAAACCGGGUCACCUUUUUUGUUUUUGCAGAUUCGGUCCGCUUUUUCAGCAAACUGACCAAAAUACCCUUAUUACUUUUUCUCUUUCCUCUUUCUCUCUCCUCUUCGUUUCUGUCGUUCUUUUUUUUUUCUCGCCGAAAAAAAAAGGUGGACCGUCGCCUUCUUCUUCACCGUCGCCUCCCUCCUCACCAUCCUUCUUCACCGUCGCCCCCCUCCUUACCCUUCUCUCCACCGCCCGCGACCCCCUCCUCCUCUCCUCCGCUGCCGCGGACCCCCACCCGAUCCCUUCGCCGCGGCGGCAGCGGCCGCGGCGAACGGGGUCGGGCUGGAUGCGGAGAAGAAGACAACUGGUCCGUAAGGAUAAGAAAUAAGGGUUUUAGACUUGCAAUAGCGUCUAGGGCGCAGGAGGGGAGGCGGAAGCGCAACCGGCGCAGGCACCAGCGUCACGCGUGUUUCUUCUCGUCGGCGGCCCCUCCUCCCGCCGCGCGCAGAAGCGCCGACCAGCGCCUCUGCUUCUCCCACGACGACGUCGAGACGCCGCGUCCGCGCGGACCCCCAGCCCGAUCCCGUCGCUGCAGUGGCAGCCGCGCGGCGAACGGGGUCGGACUGUUUUUUAUUUUUUAAACUACACAUCUUAACAGAUAUUUAUACUGCUUCUCCUCUUGUUGCACUGUUUCUCUCUUGUUGCACUGUUUCUCCUCUAAAGAGGAGAAACAGUGCAACAAGAGGAGAAGCAGUAUAAAUAUCUCUUAAAUGGGUGCAGUUUAAGAUAAAUGGGUGCAGUUUUUUUUCUUGUUGCACCAUUUUUCCUCUUGUUACACUAUUUUUUAUUUUAAACUAACACAUCUUUAACAGAUAUUUAUACUGCUUAUCCUCUUGUUGCACUGUUUCUCCUCUUGUUGCACUGUCUCUUCUUUAAAGAGGAGAAACAGUGCAACAAAGAGGAGAAACAGUGCAACAAGAGGAGAAGCAGUAUAAAUAUCUCUUAAAUAGGUGCCAGUUUAAGAUAAAUGGUGCAGUUUUUUUUUUCUUGUUGCACCAUUUUUUUCUUGUUACACUAUUUUUUAUUUUAAACUACACAUAUUUAACAGAUAUUUAUACUGCUUCUCCUAUUGUUGCACUGUUUCUCCUCUUGUUGCCACUGUUUCUCCUUUUUAAAGAGGAGAAACAGUGCAACAAGAGGAGAAACAGUGCAACAAGAGGAGAAGAGUAUAAAUAUCUCUUAAAUGAGUGCAGUUUAAGAUAAAUGGGUGCAGUUUUUUUUCUUGUUGUACCAUUUUUCUCUUAUUACACUAUUUUUUUAUUUUAACUACACAUCUUUAACAGAUAUUUAUACUGCUUCUCCUCUUGUUGCACUGUUUCUCCUUUGUUGCAUGUUUCUCCUUUUAAGAGGAGAAACAGUGCAAACAGUGCAACAAGAGGAGAAGCAGUAUAAAUAUCUCUUAAAUAGGUGCAGUUUAAGAUAAAAAAUAGUGUAACAAGAGGAGAAAUGAUGCAACAAGAGGAGAAACUGGCAACAAGACGAGAAACAAUGCAACUUUCAUUUAAGAGUGUAAUUUUUAUCUUAGUGGGUGCAGUUUAUAUCUGAAGAGAUGCAAUAAGAAGAGAAACAGUGUAAAUAUUCUUUCAAAGAGUGUAAUUUUCAUUUAAAGAGUGUAAUUUUUAUUUUAAAGCUGCAGUUUACAUCUUAAGUAGUGCAACUUGUAAUUUUUUUGUAGUUAACGAUACAAUUUCAUCUUCAUCCUUUUUUUAUAUAAUUUUUUAUCUUUAUUUUUUUCUGUUUUUUUUUUUGUCACCCUCUCUGUCAAUAACCGUGUCGGGGUGACGACGCCGCUAAAGACCCCCACUCCGAGGCUGCAGCGCCGCAGUGAUCUCCACGGUGUCGCGUCGGUGUCGGCGAAAAUACAUCGUCGUCGGAGGGCAGCAGAGAAGGAGGGAGAAGGAGGACGGGAAGGGCAGGGAGAGCGAGAGAGCGCCGUCGUCGGAAAAUCGUGGAGGAGAGUCAGAGAAGAAAAGAAAAGAAAAAUGCAAAAAAAAAAAGUCACAGCCCGGCCUUAGGGGGAUCGGAGGCGAGGAAGGUGGGGGCGCCGGCGGCGACGCCGCUCUGUCUUCGCCGCUCUCUAGGAAGAGAGAAAAAAAAGAACGAGAGAAAAAAGAGAAAAGAAAAAGGUAUAAGGGCACCUUCGCUCCGUCUUCGCCGCUCUCUGGGAAGAAAAAAAAAAAGAACGAGAGAAAAAAAGAGGAGAGAGAAAGAGGAAAGAGAAAAAGGUAUAAGGGUAUUUUGGUCAGUUUGCUGAAAAAGCGGACCGAAUCUGCAAAAGCCAAAAAGAUGACCCGAUUUUGCAAAAGCCCAAAAUAAGUGAAUUUUUUAUGCAAAUUGGCCAUUAUAUAUUAAUGAUUUAUAAGAAUAUAUAUAUAUUUUUCUAUAUAUACAACAAUCAAAUUUAUUUGUGAUCACACUGACAAAUUUGUUGUUACUUGAGAUGUGGGAGUGAUCACAUCCUGGUAUAAAUUGGCAUCAUUAGCUGUUGUCAGAAUAGUCAAUGCCAAGGAUUUUGUUGUUGGAUUCUUAACAGUUAAAAUAUUCCUUUCAAUCAUAAAAAGGGGUAAAGCUAACUAUUUCCUUUACUGCUUUUAGUUGCUGUUGCUUUGAUUACUUUCACAUUGCUCACUUGUACUAGAGCUAAAACAAUUUGUGCAUCACACUGUUAAUUUCUCUUGAUUUAAUUUUUGAUUUUUUUUUUUGUUCUAUUUGAUAGUCACAGCAUUCUACAUGCUUAAUUUCACUCUACUAUAUUAUCCUUUAGUAUUAUUUUUAUAUAUUAUAUAAUAUUUUUUUCAAAAGAUUUUAUUAUAUUAUUAUAUUUUAUUAAUUGUUGUACUACUGUAUUUUAGAAUUAUUUUUAUUUUUCUAUUUUAUACUAUUUUUUCUCAUAAAUAUCACCAAAAUAUUUUUUUUACUCGUCAAUCUCUAUAUUACUGUUAACAACUCUAUUAUUUUAGACAAAAUAUAAUAACUUUAUUGAGAAGUACCAGUUAAAUAGUAGAAAAAUAUAAAAUAAAUUUUUAUGAUAGAUUCAUUAAAAUUUUCUAUCAUAUUGUUUUCAAUUACUAUUUUAUUAUUUUUAUAUAUUUUGCUAUUUGUAUAUCAAAAUGAGCUGAAUAUAAACUCAACCAGUUUUAUUUGGUAUUUUUUAUUAACUUGCAUAUAAUAUUAUAAGUUUAUUCUUUAUAGUAUAUAAAUUGAAAAAAAGAAGAAAAACAGUUAAGUGGUGUGUUUGAAAAAAAAAAUAAUACAAUAUAGAAAAAGAAAUCUAUAAAGUACAGCAUAAUAUAGUGCAAUUAGGCCUACUCUAUAUAAGAGUUAUAAGUAUUCCAAAAGGUCUUUCGUAAAUACAAUUGAUAAGUUAUGUACUGCGAAUAUUUCUAUAAGUUUUGUGUGUUUGUAUCCGCUAAUAUUCAUGUCAGACUUGUAUUCGACUCUAACACGUCAUGGACACCGAUUCGACAUAGGUACAUGAUGCAUCCCAUCAAAAAUAUCCAUAUACUUUUUUAUUUUAUUUUUUAUUCGUAUAUAAUAUAAGAUGAUAUACAUUUUGAUAUUUACAUUUUGAUAUUUUAGGAAUCCAUAUUAUAUUUUUUUGGAAGAAUAUAAAUAAUUAUGUAUAGUUGUGAUUUGUGAAGGUCUUUCAUUAAACCAUAUCAACUAAUCUUAUUAGCUUUUUCAUUCCUAUACAAAAUAUAAUAAUAUUUUAAUAUUAAUAAGUAGUAUAUAUAUCGUGUUCAUGUUCUAACUUUUUUAAAGCUGCUUAGUCAUCGUGCUAGAAUCGUGCCGUGUUUCAUAUCGAUGUCCAUGGCGCCUAGUUGAUGAAUUAAACAUUGUCAAGUCCCCUAGCUUCUAAAUUUUUUUUGCUUAAUUAAGUUUAAAACAGUAUCAAAUUUUAUCAUUUGAUUGGUUAUUAAUCGUUAAUUGACCUAGUUUUACUUGCUAAAAAGUAACUAUUAUUAUUAAUUUGGUGAAAUCACCUAUGGAUUUAAUAAAAUCGUCAAACAAAAUUUUGCGUAAAACCACUGAAUUUUUUUUAAAAAAUAGAAGUUUCGGGUUCAAAUAAGAGCAAAAAGAAAGUUUAGUGGGCUAUUUGAAUUUGACCAAAUAAUUUUUAAAAAAUUUAUUUGGCUAAAUAACUUUAUUUUGUUCAACUCAGCGCCAAACAAAAAUCAAAAGACGGUGAAUUCGCUUUUCAUAAAAUUUAAAAAGCAGCAAAUCAUUUUCGUUUUUCAUUUUUAAAAAGAAAAGAUGAAUGAUUUACUGUUUUUUUUUUAUAUUCUCUAUAUACAACCCUAAUAGCCGAACAAAAAUCCAACAACGGACAUAUAAAUCUAACAAACUCACAAGAAUUUUAACAACCCAUAAUACAAUUAUAAUAAUCAAAUAAAAAUUCCAACAACCUUAUAAAAAUUAUAACAAGCUAUAUAAAAAUGUCACAAACAAUAGUAACAAUCUGAAGUUUUUUUAAAAACAGUAAAUAAUUCACCGUCUUUAAAGUUUUAUUAAAUCCGGUGAAUGAUUUACUUUUUUUCACUUCUCUGUCUUUCCACCAUGGCGCUGAGUUGGACAAAAUAGAAUUAGUUUGGCAAUUAUAAUUUUGACAGAAUUAUUUGACAAAUUAUAAACUUUUUUAAGAAUUAAUUUAAAACAUAAGUCAUUUCUAAAAAAAAUAAAACAAAUAACAUAUCACCUUUCUCUCAUUGUACUUUUGAUAAGGUUUUAAUUGCUCACGGCUACUGCAUGUAAUAAACCACUGUUUGGGCAAUUCAAGCACAUUAAAUACCACACCUGCUUGUUUGUAUGAUGCCUUUAAAUUAAAUUCCCAUUUUAGUACUACUAAUAUAAGAAUCUUACAUUUAUGACCCUAUAUUUACUUAGUAUCUUACAUUUAUGACCCUAUAUUUUUCCCAACCGGUUGUUGUUGAAUAUAUAUAAUAUAUAAACAGCAUUUUCUAAUAAAUUAAGCAUUCAGAAUACAAUAGUUGUUUCAUAUAAUUCAACAUGAUAUCAGAAUAGAAAACUCUGAGUUUAAAUUUCGAGUGGAUCCAUCUCAGCUGCUGGAUCCCGCAUUUUCACCGAUCGUAUAAGAAAUUUUUUUUCACACGAAGCUGUAGAAUAUUUAAAUCCUUUUUAGUUGAGAUAAGACUUUGCAAUUAGCAAAAAGGCCUACAGUUUUGUUGCGGCAAAGAGUCAAAAUGAGUUUCUGAACUUUAAAAAUAAAGUUCUAAUUUGAACCUUUUAUUUCUGACCUAUAAAAAGAUUAUUACAAGAUUUUACUGGAAAAAAAUAAAAUUUAAAGAUCUAAUUUAAAACUUCUAUUUCUCACGUACUAAAAAGUUAUUAGAAAAUUUUUACUUAAAAGGUUGUGAGUUAUUCUCCGGCCCGAUUCUAAACUUCAAAAACAAAAGUCUUAAGGCUUCGUUUCGGAUUAGAGGGAGCUUGCGUUACAUGCGGUGAGAAAAUAUGUUGGAAAAAUAUCUUGUUUGUUUUCGUACGUAAUAUUGCGCGUUCCAUAUAUCGCGAUUAGUCAGCUACGAUAUAUUUUAUGAGUCUUAUCGGAGAACACAAAAGCAUAUCCCUAUAUACUCUUACCCAAACUCCAUUUUUUCUAAUAGCGUUAUAUAGAUUUCAAUACCAAACUAAGCCUAACUAGAAGCUUCUAUUUGAUAGAUUUUUAAGUGAUUCUUCGGACGACUUUUCCGAAUCCCAAAUUGAAAGAUCUAAUUUAAAACUUCUACACUAGCUGUCCCUAGCACAAGUGACAAAAGGUUUGAUGGUUGGUAUCCGAUGUCGCAAGUUCGAAUCCUAAUUGAUUCACAUUUCCAGCUAAAUUUAUUUCUAAAUAAAAUAAACAAAACGAAUAGCAUACUACCUAUCUCUCAAAAAAUUUAAAAGUUCUACUUCCGCUGAACUAACCUGAGAAA